GCUCUGUUUGUUUGGUAUGUAUUGCGGUGUUAAUGUUAUUGUCUGUUGUACAAUGGAUGGUCUUGCUUGGUACUGUUGUUGGAGAGCUGCAGUGUUUUGAUCAACACCUCUAUCCUUAGCUUUCAAGUUAAGUUGAUUUUAUACAACACUUGUUUAAUUAAAAACUUGUAAUAUUCUUACUACUUUGAUAAAAAAAUAUUACGAUUAAAGCAUUAAUGGCACCAUAAUACGAAAUGAAUCUUAAGUGGUCAUUAUAGAUUUUAAGAUAGAGUUUUAAGUGAUUACCAGAUACUUUAGCUGCUGAACCGCCACAUCAUGGUUGCCACACAACAAUUUCAAACAGAGCCUAAAUAACUUCAUUGCAAAACAGUUAAAUGAAUCUAACUUAGUUUCGUCGUUUGAUUUUCAGCUGUUUUUAACAAGGAAGAUGAUAUUGGAACCUACACUAUCAAAGCGGUUGAUGAUCCGAGAACCUUGAACAAAAACUUUUACAUUCAGCCUCCCGGUAAUAUUUACUCAUUCAAUGAUCUUGUGUCUCUGUGGGAGAGAAAGAUUGGUAAAACCCUCGAAAAGGAGUAUGUUUCAGAGGAGCAGCUCCUAAAGAAUAUUCAAGGUUGGUUAAAACUCUCUUUUUUAAAUGUAUUAAAGAGAGCCGUAUAUUCUCUGCCGUAAAUGUUAUUGAUCCUGUCUUCUCCAAAAUGUUGCAGAAGCUGCACCUCCACACAAUGUGAUAUUAUCAAUUUAUCACUCUGCUUUCGUGAAGGGAGUUCAAACCAACUUCAAGAUUGAACCAUCUUUUGGAGUUGAAGCCUCGCAGCUUUAUCCUGAUGUCAAGUACACUACAGUUGAUGAGUACCUCAAUCAGUUUGUGUAACCCUUCUCUGUUUCCAGCUGCAGCUUGCAGGAUCUUGGACUCUUGGUAAAUAAAUAAUUGGCUUGUUGCCAUCUUUGGUUUUAUAUGUAAAAAUUAUGGUUGUUGGCCUUACUUUCUUCUGGUUGUCCAUGGAAUUUGUUAGACCAUAUUAUGUUUGCUAUGUCAGUGAUCAAAUGAAGUAGGCCAUGUACUUGAUUUGAGAGUAGUAGUUAUAAAGCCAUCAUGAUCAGGUGGGUGCGUGGGUUGGGCUUCUAUUAGGGUGCUUGUGUUGGGCUUCAGGGGCUUGUGAUAUGGCUUCGACAGCCCCUAACGGGCAGUCAUUAUAAAAAUAAUUAUAGAGUUACAAAUCUAUGUAAAAAGCAAAAAUUAAAAGUAAUUUAUCAAUAAAAAUAAUUAAAAUUAAUAAAAAGUAGGUAUGAUAUUUCAGAAAUUAAAUUAAAGAUAGUAUUCUAAAGAGUUGGAUAAUCCUCCAACUAAACUAAAGAUCUAGUACAUUUGAGAGCAAAUUUAAUUAAAGAAAAGGAUAAGGAAAAACAAUAGAAUAAUAAUAUUAAAAAUUGCAAAUCUUGGUCUUUUUUUUUUACGAUGAUGUUGAAUUCUUAUAAAUUUAAUCUUAUCUAUAGAAUUAUUUAGUUACUGUAUGUCAAAAUUUCCUAUAAAGAUGAAGAAAAAUUAUAUUAGGAGAAGAUCCAAAUCCGUUUAACUGAUGCAUCAUCAACAACAUGAGUACAACAUUUUCGAAUAAACAAAAGAAACUCGUUUUAUGUGCGAACCAGUUCCAAAAUAAAGAGCAGACUAUUGGAAGGAGACAAAUACUACAAGAAGAACAAAACAUUCUACAGUUCCUACAUGAGCCCGCAACAAUUAAUUAUUAACUCGACAUUCAUUACACUUUUUCUUUAAUUUGACAAAGAAACCAAAAAUAAGAUAAAAUUGACUAAGAAAUAAAAAAAUGACCAAAAUCUUUUUGAAGUUUUGCCAGUUCAGCCAUGCACGCUUAUCUUUAUUCACUUGUUUCCUUUCUUUCCUUUCUUUCCUUUCUUUGCUGAAGCCUUCACAGAUCCUUUACCUUUCUGAGCCUUGCCAAUUUUCCCCUUCUUCAAACCACCUGGCCUUGCUGGAUCCACGUGUCCUUGCAUCCUUUUUCAUUCGUGGAUCAACAAGAAUCUUCCCCUUUCCAGCUCUCUCUUGAACUCCUUUCUUUGGGACCAGUAUUCUUUUGUCGGCCUUUUGGGUAUAGUUGUCUUGUAUAAUUGUUCAAUUUGAUUCCUCUUCGAACGAUCAGAGAUGUCCGCUUAGUCUGAUAUGACAUUUGCCUUCUUGCGAACCUUCUCAAGAUUUCGCAUGGCAACCCGUAUCUUUCGAGCUUUGGUCUUAGCCACCUUCUUGGCAGUAUGGGUGGGCGAUUCGGUUUUGGGAUAAACUUUUGGUUUCGUAUCGGUUUAGAUUAAAAAAUAAUAUAAAAAAAUAUUUAGAUUUUAAGGGAAAAAAUCCGAACCGAGACUCACCUAUCGAUUUCGGCUCGGUUUCAGUUCAGUUUUGAUUCUCCUAAUAGUUUUAUUUUGCCUUAUUGACUUCCGGUCAAUGACACUUUUGAAAAAUUUACAAAAAAAAAAUAAAAAAUGGCCAUAACAAAAUUUCUAUAUGCAAAUAUUUCCUAAACAUUAGGCUAUACUAAAUUUUUUUAAAAGGUAGGGAUCCAAACGAUAUUAUCCCUCUACUUCAUCUUCAACCUUCGUCAUUAGGGAUGGCAAAAUCCGAGUUCGGGUCCGGGUUUAGCCAUUCGGGAUCCGGACCCGGAUGAAUAUUUUCUGUACCAGACCCGAAAAUAAACCCGCAUUUUUCCACUUCGAGUCCGGUACGGGUUCAACCCGAAAAAAUUCGGGUUCCCUGACUGCGGGUUUCCAACUCGGAUUGAUGAAUCCAAUUGAAAAAAAAAAACUAAAUUCAACUAAAAAAAUCAAAUAGAAAUACAUAUCCAGGAUUUUAGCAAAUCAAAGAAAAAUUAUUUCAUCUGGAAACUAAUUAACAAAAACAACAAUUUUGUUUGGCUGCCCAGAAUCAGCAACCCAAUGUGGCGGCUCGUUCAAAACAUUAGUGUUUUCAACAGAUUUUGGGGUAGGAAAAGCCAAACCUAUCUAGAACAAUGAAUUUGUAUUUUUGGGGGAGAUGAGGUACCUCACUGGUUUGUUGUGUGCGGUGCAGUGUAUCUUAAAUUUGGGGGAUGUGAGAAGGGGAGAGGGAGUGGUAAUAAUGGUGAAAGGUCAAAACCAAUAGAGAUGUCCUUCAAAAUGAGCUUCACACCUGUAAAACAGUGAAAUAAAGGUUAGAGGUGAAGCUGGGGUAUCCCGGUGUUCACACUCCGACGCUCAAGUUAGCAAACUCAAGCUUUUAUGACAAAGAGAACUGGCUAGCCCUCUGUAAAUUAGGGUUUAAGGUUCAAGGAAACCUAUUUUUUGGAAUGUGAGUGUUAAUGGUGAGUGAGAGACCUCUCGGAGAAUGAAACUUAUGCGCCUUUAUAUAUGGAGUACCUCAGCUGCCACGUGACGUACCCUUUUUGGCUAACGUCAUUUUUCCUUUUUAUGAUUUUUGGGUCGUUAUGUUCAUGUUCGCCGGGUAUCUCAUCUUUUAGAAACGUGGCGCGCGCUGGAGAGUGGUCCAGGGUACCUCUGCAGUAGCUGUCGGGUAGGCGGCUGAGGACCACUGUCCUUGGGACAGUGUCCUUCACUUUUGGUAAAGGUGACAUGCGGUUGUCCCCCCUUUUAACACGACAUUUUUUAUUCCUAAUUAUGACAAAAUCAAAUAAUAUCUUUUAAGAGAUGGAGACGUUUCUCAUGGUGGAUAUUUUCGGAAGAUUCUCUUGCAUCUGAUCAGCCGGGUUCCUCUAAUUACGCAGGGUACCUCAAUUUAUGUGGGGUACCUCUAAUUUUAUGGGGUACCUCUAUUUGCGCAGGGUACCUUGAAUCAUGCCAAGUACCUUAGAUUAUGCGGAGUACCUCUAAUUGUGCGGGAUACCUCUAUUGCGCUAGGUACCUUGAAUCAUGCCGGGUACCUCAGAUUGUGCGGGGUAUCUCUAUUUGCGCAGGGUACCUUGAAUCAUGCUGGGCACCUCAGAUUGUGCGGGGUACCUUGAGUCAUGCGAGGUACCUCUAAUCAGGCCAGGUACCCUCUAAUUGUGCUGAGUACCUAUAAUCAUGCAGGGUACCUCUAAUUAGGCCGGGUACCUCUAAUCAGGCCGGGUACCUUAGAUUGUGCGGGGUACCUCUAUUUGCGCAGAGUACCUUGAAUCAUGCCGGGUAUCUCAGAUUGUGCGGGGUACCUCAAAUUGUGUGGGGUACUUCUAAUCGUGCGGGGUACCUCUAAUCAUGUCGGGUACCUCGGAUUGCACUGAAGUUAUUCCAUUCGUUGACACGUGGCGUUAUGCUAUCUUUCUUAUUUUUCCCCCAAACAACAUCCCUCUAGUUUCUUUUGGCAAGAAGUUUUGGAGGCAAAAGAAACUUACAUAAAAAGUAGAAGCGACACGUGGCGAUAUGAUGUUUAGCUCGAUGGGUAACUAAAUAGAGGGCGCCUUUAGGGGUACCCUGAGAACCCAAAAAGGGAAGAUGGGCUCCAUUUCCUCGGAAAUGGCUACCACUUUGGACAUGUUGGAAAGGAUAGAGCUAAUUGAUCAAAAAAAUUUCAUCUAUUUCUGGGGAAGAACACCAAAUACGGGUAGAGGGUAUCGUUAGGGUACCCCACCAUUAUCCAUAGUUUGUUUUCUAGUGACUGACAUGUAUAAAUCGCUCUGGUGAAGGCUUCAAUACAUUCUUUGGGCAUUUAAGAAGCAAUUAUUUGAUUAUCUCGGGAUCCACCUUAUUUAAGGGUAUAUUUCCUUCAUGUACUUUGAAGACAAAAAUAAAAUCACAGGGCUUUCUUCCUUGUAACUUCAGAGGUACCCUCGACAGAAGAAUAUAGUCGACAAUGCUUUUAAGCGUAUCAUGAUCGAGGAAUGGAGUGCUGAUCUGGGGUUGGUGGUGCCAAGAGUGGAGAAGAUGGUAGAUGAACCGGCUAUCUUGAAGGCGAUUAACGAUAGCGGGGCUCUCAACACAUCUUGGUCUGAAGGGGUAAUGCAAAUAAGUUUACGUUGAUUGGAUAUUCAGAAGAAGUAAUACGCCAUUAAAAGCAACAAGUUUUCCAAAAAGCCAACAAAGACAGACACCACCACACCACCCCGCACUGGAUGAAAAACGAUGAAAGCAUGAUAAGUGGCAUCGAGUAAGCCACGUUCUCUCUCUCUCUCUCACUCGCACUCGCACUCGCACUCGCACUCGCACUCGCACACACUGUUACUAAGGUAGUGUUUACUUUCUGGAGUGGGAGUGUGGAGUGUGGAUUCCUCCCACUCCAGUGUUUACUUACCUUAAAAAUGGGGAGAGUGGGAGUGGGAAUCCGUGGGUCCCACCUAAAUUUGGAGUGGGGAGUGGGAUUCCCACUCCCAUUGGGGGAGGUGGGAGUGGGAAUCCACUCCCCCCUCUUCCCAUUUUAUCCUUAUAAAAUUAAAAUAAAUAAAUAAUAUUUAAUAAAAUAAAUAAAUAAUAUUUAAUAAAAUAAAUAAAUAAUAUUUAAUAAAAUAAAUAAUAUUUAAUAAAAUAAAUAAUAUUUAAUAAAAUAAAUAAUAUUUCAUAAAAUAAAUAAUAUCAUAUUUAUUAAAAAUAAUAAUUAUAUCAUAUUUAUUUUAUUAAAUUUAAUAAAAUAAAUAAAUAUUAUAUUUAAAUUAAUAAUAUUAAACAUUAAUUUUAAUAAAUAUUAAUUAUUUAUUUAAUUAAUAAUAAUAAAUAUUUUAUUCUAAAAAAUAUUAAUUUUGUACUAUAUUAUCAAUAAUAAUAUUUCAUUUGUGUUGCUAUUAUUAAUAAUUUUUAUUCACAUAAUUUAAAUUAAAAUUAAUAAAAAAUUAUGAUUUACAUAAUUAAGAAUAUUAGUAAUUAUUAUUAAUUUAUAAAUAUAAUAAAAUAUUUAUUUUAUUUUCCAAAUAUAUUUUUUAUUAAUUUUUUAAUUACAAAUUAUAAUUCUGUACAUAAGGAUAAAAUUGUAAUUUAAAACAAUUUACUCUCAAUCCAAGACAAAGUAAACAAAUAAUUAGGAUUCUAAUUGACAAUCCAUACUUUCAUUUAGUCUAAGUAAACACCCUACUCCCACUCCCACUCCACACUCCUAAUCCAAGGAUUCCCACUCCUCAGGAUUCCCACUCCAAUCCAAAAAGUAAACGCAGCAUAAAAUGACCAAAAAUAAGAUUCCCCUCAAAAUAUUUUCAAGUAUCGUUCUUGAAAGUGGCGGCGGCUGAUGAUGAUGAACACAGCCGCGAUUGCGAUUGGCGAAGGCGGCGUUCAGCCCGUAUCACAGAUAGUUAUCGGUCGCGGCAGAAAAGAUAAUGAAACGACGGUUGAUGAUGAUGAUGAUGAUGUUGAACAGCCGCAAAUAUGGGUAAGUGAUGCGACAAUGAUUUGAUUUGAUGAAGAUGAGCUGAAGAUGGAAUAAGAGAGGAAAUGUUUGUGCGGCUGGGAAAGUGUAAUGAGCUGCUAGGGCACCAUUUGGGUUUUUUUGCUUUCCUAUUUAUAUUAAAAAUAAUUUUUAAAAAUUAAUAUAUAUCCGGGUUCGGGUUUUGGAUGUACGGGUUUACCUAGACCCGGACACAUGCGGAUUCAGCAGCACCGACCACCCACAGACUUGGAUUCGAUUGCAAAGUUGGGACUUAGGAUUUGGGUUUGUGGCUGCUGAAACAGAAAGUGAGAGAGUAGAAAGUAGAGACUGAGAGUGGUGCAAACAUGUGUAAUUUUGUGUGUGUGUCUAUAUAUAUAUAUAUAAUGUGAAAUUACAAAAAUGCCAUUAUAUCAGUUCAAUUCGAAUUUUGUAACUUGUGAUCCAAAAACUGAACCAAACCGAACCAUUUGGUUUGGUUUUUAUAUAUUCAGGUUUUUAAUUUAAAAAAACUAAAUUGAAAUUGAAAGAACUAAACCGAACCGAAUUUUUUUUUUUUUUGUUUCGGUUCAAUUAUGCCCAUCCCUACUUAGUAGGCUGGGCAUCAAUUUCUUUGAAUUGUGCUUUCAUUGCAGUAAUCUCCUCCUUGGUAAUAGGUUUAAUUGCUUGCUGAUGCCUCCUUUCCUCUAGUAACAACUAGUCUAACAAGCCAUCAUCGUCAAACAUGUACCUAUUAUAAGCAUCAUCCAGAAUUUGCUCUCUUUGCUUUUUGCUUAGUGUCUUCUUUGCACAAGCUAUUAUCUCAGCUUUUGUAUCAAUAUCUUUAUCUUUUGAUUCACCAGAGGAUGAAUCAUCACCGGAAUAGAGUGGUGAAGGCCCCAUAGAUUAGUGUGAUCAAGUUCUAGUGUAGUUUUGGUUUUGAUUUCAGUAUUAGGAAAAUGAAGCCUAUGAAAUUUACUAAGCUAACAUGCUUCACAAAAGUGCUUUAAUACUUGAAGAGGAUAAAUGAGGAUAAAUAAAUUUAAAUAUACAUUAGAUUUUGAGGGUUGGGAUGUCAAAACUUUUGGUGAAAAAGAGUUAGUACAAGCAUUUUUAUUGAGAUUGAAAACAUUUCUUAAGAUGAUCAAUACUAGUUACAAAAUUGGAAUGAAAAAAAAAGGCAACAUAGACAAAGGUUUGUUUAUUUGAUUGUAAGAUAGAAAAGACUUGUAUUUAGGUUGUGGAAAGGAUUUGAGCAGCAAUUUAUACAACCUUUUCUCAGCAAAACCUUCCUCUUCAAUGAAUCCUUCACAAAACAAAUAGAUCCAAGAAAUUCGACAAAUAAAUUGUUGUCAAUGGUAAGUUUUGAAAUGCUCAAUAGAUUCUUUGUAAUGGAUGGAACAAACAGUACAUCCUUAAGUAAAAUAUGUCUUAUAUUAUCUUUUUUUAAUUCUUUUUUAAAAAAUAAGUGAAUAAUAGUAUGUCAAUCUCAAAUAUCAAUAUGUACAAUUUUUAUUUGUGUAAGAAUUUGCAUCCAAUAAUCAUCAAUACAUAAUUGUCUUUUAAUUGAAUGGUUCUCACCUCCCUUCCAAACUUUGAAAAGGUAAAAUAAGAUCAAUCAUGUCAGUGGCAAUUAAUAUAAAGAUUACUUUUCUUAUUUGUAGUAACGUCCUCUGAUUAUUUAGCUGAUUUUCAAGCUACACAUUUAUUCCAUUUGAUGUUGAUAUUAGUAAAAUUAAUGUAAUAUUUAAAAAGGAAAAAAAUCCGUCGAGCUAAAAGCCGAGUAUAAAAUUGAACUGGACCCAAACCAGAAACGCACGCCAACAACAUGCUUGCGUUAGUCGGCCCAUGCCCAUAAACCCACCAAGCCCGAUCCAAAUAGAAAAAUGAAUUGGACACCCGAGAUAGCAGAAACAGAUAAGUAACGGUCGUGCUAUCCCCAAUCUCAUAUCUUCAACGGUAUCCAGCCAACAUCUCAAAGUGUUCAAUUUUUUUUUAAGCCAAAAAAAAAUUCAAAAUUUUCAAGCGGAAUCUGGGAAGAUGGCGAUGAAAAGCAAGAUUCUGGUUAUCGGCGGAACCGGAUACAUCGGUAAGUACUUAAGGUGCGUUUGAAAUUGAGGUUGAACAACUAUAACUUUAAAACUGCAGCACUAAAAUAUUUGGUAAACACUAACUGUUGUAACUUAAAAGCUAUUUAAUAUAAUUUUUCAUUUGUAUAAUAAAAAAUUUAUUAUCUUUAAUAAUUUUGUCAAAAUUAUUAUUUAAAAUAUAUACAGUAAGAGAGAUUGUAACAUUUUCAAUCUUUGGUUUGAUAUUCUGGAAGAAAACGGUUUGCCGUUUACGGAGAAAAUGGCUAACCGUUUAAUUUCAUAGAGCAUGUUUUCUAUUCUAGAGAAAACGACUAACCGUUUGGAGAAAAUGGCUAACCGUUUGGAGAAAACGGCUAACCGUUUUGAGAAAACGGCUAACCGUUUAAUUCCAGAGAGCAUGUUUUCUGUUCUAAAGAAAAUGACUAACCGUUUGGAUAAAACGACCAACCAUUAAUUACAGAGAGUAACUUAUUUGACAUUCUGGAAUAAAACGGCUCACCGUUAUUGAGAAAACGGCUAACCGUUUAUUUCCAGAGAGCGUGUUUUUGCGUCAACUGGAAAAACGGUUAGCAAGCUUGGAAAUUUCAAUUGUCAAUCGAUGCAAACUCAAACCAAAAGAGUGUUUUUUAAAAGAAGUACCAUUUUUAAUGGUUGUAUUCUUUCAAAUAAACAUCUUCUUUAUUAAAGAUAGACAAACUAUUAUAUCAUAAUCAGAUUUUGCAGGUUUCAUAUAUGUUCUGGAAAUACAAUCUUAUUUUCUAGAGAUUGUAUUCAGGAUUUGAUAUAUCUUAGGGGUAAUUUGCCAUUAAAACUCUAUAGCAAACCAAGAUUGGUGAGGGCAAAUAAAACCUUAAAGAAAAGUGUGCAAACACGUCUCAAAUCCUAAGAUCUUUUCUUUGUUCUUUGCCUCCAUAUUCUUAAAAUUUGAAAAUUCACCCAUCAAUCUUUAAGGUUUUAUUUUGAUGCAAAUAGAGGCUGAGAAGAGUUUGACGCCAUUUCUUAAUCCUAGUGUCCAUCUCGAUCGUUUUGAUGGAACAAAUUUCACUCGUUGGAAGGGAAAAUUGUUCUUUCUUCUUACUGUUCUUAAAGUGACAUAUGUUCUUGAUCCGAAAUUGGAACCAUUUCCAGAACCAAGAGAAGAUGAUACCGAAGUUGUUAAGGCUGCAAGGAAACGUCGUGAAGAUGAUGAAUUGAUGUGCCGGGGUCACAUACUCAAUACGCGUUCUGACAGGUUAUAUGAUCUCUACAAUUUUAUGACUUCUCUGGUGGAAAUUUGGAAUGCUCUUAAGUACAAAUACAAAACGGAGAAAGAAGGUACUGACAAAUUCCUUGUCUCUAAAUAUUUUGAAUUUAUUAUGGUAGACACACAAUCCAUUCUUGAUCAAAUACAUGAGUUAUAAAUUAUUGUUGCUAAGCUUCGAGAGUUAAAAGUUGAAAUUUUUGAAUCAUUUCAAGUUGGGACUAUUAUUGCUAAAUUGCCUCAAAGUUGGAAUGAUUAUAGAAAGAAACUCCUUUAUAGUAAAGAGAACAUAACUUUAGAAGAAUUGCAAAAACACUUGGUAAUUGAAGAAGAGACUAGGUCUCGCGAAUCCAAGGAUAAGCAUGAUUCUACUAAAGUUAAUGUUCUUGAAGCUAGUAAAUUCUCAAAGAAUUUUAAAGUCAAGAAUGACAAGAAAUUUAAGAAGUCCAGCACACAAAAGUUUUCUGGAAAUUGUUUCUUUUGUGGUAAGAAAGGUCAUCGCCCAAGUGAUUGCAGAUUCAAGAAAAAAAAAGGAAGAAGUGAAUUCCUAUAAAGCUAAUGUUAUUGAAAACAAAUCUGAAAAGAUUUGUGCUAUGGUUUCUGAAAUGCAAAUUGGCAUGAUUAUCGAAACCAAUAUGGCUGAAACUAAGUCCUAUGAUUGGUGGCUCGAUUCGGGUACAACAAUUCAUGUUUGUAAUGAUAAGAAAUUUUUAUUAUCAUACAAAGAAGAAACGGAAGGACAAAUGGUUCUCAUGGGGAACAAUAAUGCAGCCAUAGUAGCAGGGAAAUGAGUAGUUGAGAUCAACUUCACUUCUAGAAAGAAAGUCACAUUGUAUAAUGUCUUUCAUGUACCUUUCGUUAGGAAGAAUCUUAUUUUUGCUAGUUGUAUGUGUAAGCAUGGGCUUAAGAUUGUGCUUGAGGGUAAUACUUGUAUUAUCUCAAAGAAUGAAUUAUUUGUUGGGAAAUGGUAUUCUUGUGAUGGAAUGUACAAACUCAACAUUAAUAAUAAUAAUAUCAACUUAGCUUAUAUUGUUGAGUCUUGUGAUGUUUGGCAUGCUAAAUUAGCACAUUUGAAUUUUAGAUCUUUGAAAUACAUGUCUGAGCAUGGUUUGAUUAAUUGCAAUGAUGUUAAAGGUCAUAAGUGUGAAAUCUGCAUCCAAGCUAAAUUAACUAAGAAACAUUUUCUUAAAGCCGAACGAAAUACUCAAAUAUUGGAUUUAAUAUAUACCGAUAUUUGUGAGUAUAAUGGCGUUUUAACAAGAGGAGGUAAGAAGUACUUUAUCACUUUUAUUGAUGAUUGUUCUAGAUACACUUAUGUGUAUUUACUUAGAACAAAAAAUGAAGCUUUUGAUAAAUUUAAAAUUUUCAAAGCUGAAGUUGAGAACUAAAAAGAUAAGAAAAUCAAAAUGGUUCGUAGUGAUAGAGGUGGUGAAUAUUUCUCAAUUGAAUUUAAUAAUUAUUGUGAAGAAUUUGGAAUUAUUCACCAAAGAUCAGCUCCAUUUACUCCUCAACAAAGUGGUUUGGCUAAAAGAAAGAAUAAGAUCUUCACGGAUAUGAUAAAUUCCAUGAUCCUUAAUGCAAAACUACCAAAUAAUUGGUGGGAGGAAGCAUUACUCACUGCAUGUCAUAUUCAUAACAGAAUUACAUCUUUGAAAACACAUAUAUCUCUUUAUGAAAUUUGGAAAGGAAGAAAACCAAACUUGAUGUAUUUAAGGGUCUAGGGUUGUUUAGCUUUUUAUAAAAUACAUGAUCCUAAAUCAUCAAAGUUAAGUGCUAGAUGUAUAAAGAGUGUUUUCGUAGGAUAUGCUGAAAAUUCCAAGGCUUAUAGGUUGUUAGAUUUAGAUUAUAAUGUGAUUGUGGAAUCUAGAGAUGUUGAAUUUAUUGAGAAUAAAUUUCAACAUGAUUCUAAUAUUGAAUUAGAAUCAAUUAUUGAUCAACCAUGUGUUAAUACUCCUGUUACCUCCACUAACAAUAAUAAAAGGAAAGACUCUAUGACAUCUUUCGAACCAAUGAGGAGUCAAGGUGAAAAGAAAGAAAAGAGUUUAGCUCCGAAUUUUAUUUCAUCACAAGCACUGCUCUUCUUGGUUGAAGGGGAUAGAAAGAAUGUACUUAACAAAGUACCAUUGUUGUUAAAUAUUGAAAAAGAUCCAAAGACAUUUAGCGAAGCUAUGUCUUCUAGAGACGCUUCUUUUUGGAGAGAGGCGGUAAAUGAUGAAAUUGAUUCGAUUAUUUCGAAUCAAACAUGGGUCUUGGUUGAUCUUCCUCUAGGAUCUAAACCAAUUAGCAGCAAAUGGGUAUUUAGAAGAAAGUACAAUAGUGAUGGUUCUUUGCAAACUUUUUAGGCUAGAUUAGUAGCCAAAGGGUUUAAGCAAAGAAAUGGUAUUGGUUAUUUCGAUACAUAUGCUUCGGUAGCAAGGUUAACUUCUAUAAGAGUGCUAUUUGCAAUUGCUUCAUUGAAUAAUUUGUAUGUGCAUCUAAUGGAUGUUAAAACCGCUUUUCUUAAUGGUGAUCUUGAUGAAGAAAUCUAUAUGGAACAACCUGAGGGAUUUGUUUUACCAGGAAAUGAGAAAAAAGGUAUGCAAGUUAGUCAAAUCACUUUAUGGUUUAAAGCAAGCACCAAAACAAUGGCAUGAGAAGUUUGAUUCGGUAAUUUUAUCUCAUGGUUUUAAGCAUAAUAAUGCUGAUAAAUGUAUAUAUUUUAAAUUUACGAAUGAUUUUGGUGUGAUUAUAUGCUUGUAUGUUGAUGACUUGCUUAUCUUUGGAACAAAUAUGCAAGGAGUAGAUGAUACAAAGAAGUAUUUAACUUCACAAUUUAAGAUAAAAGAUCUUGGUGAAGUAGAUACUAUCUUAGGUGUCAAAGUGAAGAAACAUAGUGGGGGUUACUCGUUGUGUCAAUCUCAUUAUAUAGAGAAAGUGCUUCUUAAAUUCAAUUAUUUGAAAUUUAAAGAAGCUAAUACCCCAUAUGAUUCUAGUAUUAAAUUAUUAGAGAAUUCAGGCCGAGUAGUAGCACAACUAGAAUAUGCUAGUGCUAUUGGUAGCUUGAUGUAUGCUAUGCAUUGUACGAGGCCUGAUAUAGCAUUUGCAGUUUGCAAAAUGUCAAGAUUCACGAGUAACCCUAGUGUUGAACACUGGAAAUCAAUUGGUAGAAUACUUGGUUAUCUUAAAAGGACCAUUAAUUUGGGUUUGUUUUAUAAUGAUUAUCCUGAAGUACUGGAAGGAUAUUCAGAUGCUAGUUGGGUAACCAAUAUAAGAGAUAAUAAAUCCACUUCUGGUUGGAUUUUUACAAUUGCUGGAGGAGCAGUUGCUUGGGCUUCAAAGAAACAAACGUACAUAACUCAUUCAACAAUGGAAAGUGAGUUUAUAGCACUCGCAGUUGCAAGCAAGGAAGUAGAAUGGCUGAGAAAUUUGUUGUUUGAUAUAAUGUUAUGGCCACAACCGAUGCCAUCUAUUUCUUUGUACUGCGAUAGUGAAGCUACAUUGUCUAGAGCUUAUAAUAAAGUGUAUAAUGGAAAGUCUAGACAUAUUAGCUUGAGACAUGAAUAUGUGAAACAAUUAAUAGCAGAUGGUGUUAUUAAUAUUGUUUAUGUUAGGACUAAUAAGAACCUAGCGGAUCCUUUAACAAAAGGUCUUACAAGAGACUUAGUUAAGGAUACAUCUUUUGGAAUGGGAUUGAAACCUUUAAAUAAUAAAGUCACCAACGACGAUAACCCAACUAUGUAGUAGUUGCACCGCUACUCCAUAGUUAAAUGGAUAAUAACAAGUUGUUGUUAUGUGACUGGUUUGGCACCGAGUAAUAAAUAAUCACAUUCGAGAUAUUCGGUGCAAAUAGCUACGAGGUUGAGGUUGAGUAUUUACUCUUAAUGAAGUUCAAGUCUUAUACUAGCUAAAGACAUGAUUUGAAACUUCACCUAAGUGAACAUAAGAAAUGGUGCCGUUUCUAACAAGAUCAUGGUUUAAUCUAGUAAAUGUUCAUGAAUCCAAGAUAGAGCACAAGGCCGGAAUAGUGCUAAAUAUUGGAACACAACUUUGAAAAUCUGGGAUAGCUUAUAUGUGAUGUAUCUCCGGUAUUUACUUAAGAGACAAAGUUUAAUGCUUAGCACACUAUUGUUUUGUAAAUGCUUUGAAAUACACUCACUAAUUAAAGGUUAAAAUCGAAAGAUAUCUUUUUGUAUGUAUAAGUUUAUCAUUAAUAAAUAUGAAAAAUAUUACAAUCUAGUGGGGGAUUGUAAGAGAGAUUGUAACAUUUUCAAUCUUUGGUUUGAUAUUCUGGAAGAAAACGGUUUGCCGUUUAUGGAGAAAACGACUAACUGUUUAAUUCCAAAUAGCAUGUUUUCUAUUCUAGAGAAAACGACUAACUAUUUGGAGAAAAUGGCUAACUGUUUAAUUUUAGAGAGCAUGUUUUCUGUUCUAGAGAAAACGGCUAACCGUUUGGAUAAAACGGCCAACCGUUAAUUACAGAGAGCAACUUAUUUGACAUUCUGGAAUAAAACGGCUCACCGUUAUUGAGAAAACGGCUAACCAUUUAUUUCCAGAGAGCGUGUUUUUGCGUCAACUGGAAAAACGGUUAGCAAGCUUGGAAAUUUCAAUUGUCAAUCGAUGCAAACUCAAACCAAAAGAGUGUUUUUUUAAAGAAGUACCAUUUCUAAUAGUUGUAUUCUUUCAAAUAAACAUCUUCUUUAUUAAAGAUAGACAAACAAUUAGAUCAUAAUCAGAUUUUGCAGGUUUCAUAUAUGUUUUGGAAAUACAAUCUUAUUUGCUAGAGAUUGUAUUCAGGAUUUGAUAUAUCUUGGGGGUAAUUUGCCAUUAAAACUCUAUAGCAAACCAAGAUUGGUGAGGGCAAAUAAAACCUUAAAGGAAAGUGUGCAAACACGUCUCAAAUCCUAAGAAUUGUUUUUUGUUCUUUGUCUCCAUAUUCUUAAAAUUCGAAAAUUCACCCAUCAUAUACAUACUACAUAUUAUUAAUUUUUGUUUUAUAACUAUAGUUUUUUUUUUACCGCAACUGUAGUUUAAAAACUGCAGCACCUCAAUCCCAAAUAAGACCUUAGUAGAAGUGAGCGCGAAAGCCGAUCACCCAACAUUCGAGCUUGUGAGAGACUCCACUCUCUCCACUCCUUCCAAAUCCAAAAUCCUCGACCGUUUCAAAAAUCUCAGCGUCAAUUUAGUUCAUGUGCGCCACUCUUUUAGCUUUCCAAUUUUCCCGCCAAUUUUCUUUUAUUGUGAUUAAUUAAUUAAUUAAUGUAAAGAUUUUAUAUUAUAAUUUUGUUUGCAGGGAGAUCUAUACAGCCAUGAGAGCUUGGUGAGUACAAUAAAGCAAGUGGAUGUGGUGAUAUCAGCGAUAGGUCGCACUCAAUUAGCUGAUCAACUCAACAUUAUCGCAGCAAAUUGCGAUAACUAAGUACUUGGGAUUUUAAAGAAGCUGGAAAUGUUAAGGUUCUGAUUAACUUAAGUAAAUGCGUUAACUAAUUACUUGGGAUUUUAAAUUCAAAUGUGUGAAUUGUUCUAAAAAAUUAUUUAUGUUUAUUAGUCAGAGAUUCUUUCCUUCAGAAUUUGGAAAUGAUGUUGAUCGCGUGCAUGUCGUUGAGCCAGCAAGAACAUCAUUUGCCACCAAGGCUAAAAUCCGCCGAGCUGUUGAGGAUGAAGGAAUUCCAUACACCUACGUAGCUUCCAAUUUCUUCGCUGGUUUGUAUCUUUCCAGUUUCUCACAGCCUGAAGCCACAGCUCCUCCAAGGGAUAAAGUGGUCAUCGUAGGUGAUGGAAAUGCAAAAGGCAAAGCGCUUCUGGAUACAUUUACUCUGUACACGCAAUGUGUGGUUACUGUUUGGAGAUAAAAAAGGAGAUUAAUUAAUAAAGAAAAUGAAAUUAUUGAGGGAUUUGCUGAAGAGUUGCGUGCACUCCUCAUUUUUCUCCACCACUCAUCUUACUUGCAAAAUGCAAUGACCAAACUAUCCUCGCCAAAGCCUAGACAUUUACUUGUGUUCAAAGGCCAUUUAAGGGAGACAAGUACAAAAAGUUAUAAAGGAUAGUAAGCAGAAGAAGAAAAUGGAAAGGGGAGGGGGGGGGGGGGAGAAAGAAAAAAGGGAAUGGGGCGUUAUCUAGGGAGGAAUUUUAUUUUUAUUUUUUUUUCUCUCUUUCUCCCACUAAGAAAUUCUUUCUUUUACACUCUAUUUUACUUUUAUGUAAAUUAUGCAAAAAACUUUUGAUUUUAAGGCAAUGUUUAUUAAGCCACGUGAAUUUGAAAAAGCAUGAAUAAGGGGAUGAUUUUAACACAUUAAUUCACCAACAUUAAUUGGAAAAGAUCAGUUGCCACUUCGAAUCAGAGUAAUUUCUUCGGCAAUAGCCAAAUAUUGAUAUUUGAUCUUGACACUGUAGUUAAAUCAAUGUAACUGAUUUUGUCAUUUGAUCCCCAGUAAUUUUUAACAAGGAAGACGAUAUUGGAAUUAAUUCUAUCAAAGCGGUGGAUGAUCCAAGAACACUGAACAAAAUACUUUACAUCAGACCCCGUUGCAAUAUCUACUCAUUUAAUGAUCUUGUGUCUCUGUGGGAGGAAAAGAUUGGCAAAGCCCUUGACAGGGUCUAUGUUACAGAGGAACAACUUCUGAAAAACAUUCAAGGUUAGUUAGAACUAUCACUUUAUCAAGUGGAUAGAUGUAACUGACCGAUAAUGGAAAUUUUUUUCCUUCUCCAAAAUGCGAUAGAAUCUAAUCGGUUUCAACAAUCUCAAGAACACCUAUUCAUGGUUGUGUUGUUUGAAAUCUGUAUGUAUCAGUUUUCUUUCUAGAUCUCAGAUUGCUCGCAAGGAUGUCAAGUUUUGAUGAUGCUUGCCUGUUUUCCUGUGUUUACAGAAGCUUCAUAUCCACUCAAUAUGAUAUUACCUAUUGGGCACUCUGCCUAUGUCCUGGGAGAUCAGACCAACUUCGAAAUUGAACCUUCAUUUGGAGUAGAGGCAACAGAGCUUUAUCCAGAUGUCAACUACACUACUGUGGAUGAGUACCUCAACCAGUUCAUAUAAACCUUCUGAGAUGAGCAGCAGGAUCCUAACAAAAAAUUGGGUGGUUUCCAUCCCUGAUUCUAUGGUAUAAAGAUAGCGGCUUUCCCUGCUUUUGCCAGUUCAGUGAAGUUUGUUAGAUGAUGUUAUUUAUACUAUACUAGCAAAGAUCAAGUUGCCUUUCUUGUCAAGAAGCCAAGCUCUGGCAUUGGUUUAUGCUAGUUUUUCACACUAAUAUUGGUAUUCACUAAUUUUUUUUUUCAUUUCACACCUCCAUCAUCAGUGGAGAUGCCCUCUUGUAUGGUACUAACUUUGAUUUUCCUUAUGCUUCACUUGCUGUCUCUGCAGAUUCGUAAAAGAUCAUUCAUGGAUAAGAUCAGAACAUCAAUAUGAUACAGUAUGCAUUGAGAACUCCCACAUGAUUCUUGUUCUAGUUCUGGUUAGACAUGAAACAUGUUACAGUUCCAUAACUUGAGACAUUGUCAUUCAACAAUUAUCAUCACAUUAAAACAGUGGCCAAUCCCUAACAGCUACCUUUUGACUCUUCACAUUUUUUUUCUGCAUUUUAUGCGCAUUAAUUAUCUAGACCUAGACUUAUUACACUUCUCAGCCUGGCCCGUUGGACAGUGAGUGAUGAAACAAAUUUUUUUUCAUGUUUAUUACUUUUUUUGCAUUCAAAAUGAUAAAACUGCAGAGGUUGUUGCAUGCACGUCAUUUGUUAGUAGGGGUAUCAAUUUAUGAACGUAUGAAGUAUCUCUUCUGCACCGGCAUCCUCCUUAACUGUCAGUAGGAUCACAAUAAGUCGACCAACCAUCUACCGUAUGGAUUAUCUAUAAAUUGAAAUUGGUGUGUAUUAUGGAUCUGUCACUCUGCUGUUUCUGUUUUCUUUUCUAUUUUUACCAAGAAAGAAACAUUGUUAAAACUGAAUGGUUGUUAUCUCGUCUUGUUGUAAUGUUGUGUAUGCUUUCUAGAAAAUAAUGAAGUGCCAAAUAUGAAAAUACUAGUGGCUACCUUACCAUCCUUAAUAAGUUGUCUGAUUGUCACCGUCAACAAUCACUCUCAGCAACUCAUAAUCCAUUUAAGCAUAUUAUAAAAUAAUCAAUUUUGUAUUUGCACCAACUUUUAGUUUUAAAUGACAAUUUCGUUGAUCCCCACACUUCUGUACUAAUCAAAUCCACUGAAACUGGACUUUUUUUUCUUUUUUUUUAUAAUUACAUCGAUUGCAUUGGCUAUUGCAGGGAAAAGACUGCCUCUACAGGGAACUAAACUUUCAGAAUUGUUCUUAUGAGGGUUUGAAUAUGCUCUCGUACUAGGUCAAUGGCCUAUUGGUUCGAGACCAUUCACAAAGAAAGAAAUGAGUUUUGCUUGUAUAAAUGAAAGAAAUCCAAAUGAUAACUAAUGUAUAGUGGUACAUGAGAAAAAUAAUUUCAGCCCCUGUGUAAAGUCAAAAAGAGAAAAUAUUAAAAGAAAGGAUAAUGUCAUUGAGUUCGGUGAAGUGAAAGAAAAUGAAAAACAUGGGAUUUAGUCAAACUUAGUGUCCCAAUCAGCAGAAAAAGGUUUUAGAAACUCACCUCAAGUUAAGCCAACUAUUAGGAGCUUUAUUUAAUCAUGGCUUUCUAAUGUAUAGUACUCCAAUACUAAACGAGGGCUACCUCUACGCUUGCAAAUGUAAAUGAAAUUGAGUUCGUGACGCACAAUGAAGUGAGCAAAAUGAGUUGAGAUCUGAGAAUAUAUUAAAGAAAAUAUGAAUCAAUGAAUUUUGGUUAAAAAAAACAAAUGCUGGUUCUUCAAGACCUGCGUGUAUUGUGUAAGUUUUGUUAGGAGAAGGAAAGCAUUUUGGUCUAAAACGCACUAAAUCGGAUUCAUUUGCUUGAUAUCUAAUAAGGGUGAAUUAACCACUCGCCCACAGCAAUUCAAGUCCCCAAAAAAGUAUUGUGGGGGCUAAAUUUCUUCUUUAAUUAUAACAAAUAAUUGAGCGGAGGAUAAAAAUUUAGGCCAUGUAUAACAAUAACUAAUAUAAACUAGUCCUAAUAAUAGUAUAAUUGUAAAUAUCAGUUAUAGUCUCAUACAAUAUAAGUUUAUAGAUUAUAAUAUCGGCAUAAAAAGAAAAAUGAUAUCUGAGGGUCAAUCAAUAAAAGGACAAAAACUUGGAGUAACAUACCACAAAGUCAAUGUAGCUGGACAGAUGAAUAUAAUAUGUAAACAAAUUUAAAUGGGAUAAUACCAUACGGUACAUACAUAACAUUUUAAAACUGAAUUAAAAAAAUAAAAUUAAAACUGAAUUGGAAUUCGUAUGUGUAUCCAGCUACCUUGCCACAGUUGUAAGGUACCCUAACUUUGCAACAAUUUCAUCCUUCGUGCAUUCGGUCACAAAGUCCAAAUUAGGCACGUUUAAGAAUCGAACUGAAAAACUAAAAAAAAGAAUCCGGCGAUAUUUGCGAACCGGAAACGAGCCAGCGUUAUGCUUAUGUCAUUUCAGAGAUAUCAACAGUCGUGCUUUCAGUCCUUAAACCUCAAGGGCAUUUUCGUCCUUUCACUCAAGCGUGAAACUGCAUGUAAGAACUGCUUCGCUUACACGCUCCAUGCACAUUUAAAGGCACCACUGUCGGAUAAAAAAUAUCCAUCCAUUUGAUCAUUUCAAAACAAAACGAAAAAAAAAAUCUCAGUAAUUGAACUGAACGAGUCUCAGAAAUGGCAUCGAAAAGUAAGAUUCUAUUCAUCGGCGGGACAGGGUAUAUCGGUAAAUUCACUGUCGAAGCGAGCGUAAAAGCCGGCCACCCGACGUUCGUGCUCGUGAGAGAAUCCACAAUCUCUGGUCCUUCCAAAUCUCAACUCCUCGAUCACUUCAAAAACCUCGGCGUCAAUCUCGUCAUAGUGCGUUUUCAUUUUUCUCUUUUCUUAAUUUUUUAUUCCGAUCAUUUUUACACGUCGAAGUGUAGCAUCUACUACUUAAUAUACAUAAUGAUAUUAUUAUUUUUUAAUUUUUUUUGGUUGCUGUUAUUAUUAUGCAGGGAGAUGUGUUGAAUCACGAGAGUUUGGUGAAGGCGAUUAAACAAGUGGACGUGGUGAUAUCAACGGUCGGUCACACUUUAUUAGCUGAUCAGGUCAAGAUUAUUGCUGCCAUUAAAGAAGCCGGUAACGUUAAGGUAUAACAUAAUUAAUAUAAAUAUCUUGAAUUCCGAUCAGGAUUGUGCACUCGCGAACACGUGGUGAUUUAUUCUUGGUGUGGAGCUCGCUGUAGAGUAGAGCUCCCAGUUCAGCUAAUAAACACCCCGUCACAUGCGCAAUUGCGCCUCAAAAUAAUUUAAUUGAUUAAUUAAGGAUAAAUACCAAUGGCAUGAAAGCAAUUAAAAUUAGUUGAUGUUUAUAAAUUAUUUAUUACUCAGAGAUUCUUACCAUCGGAAUUUGGAAAUGAUGUUGAUCGAGUCGAAGGCGCCGUAGAGCCAACAAAAUCGACGUAUGACGUAAAGGCGAAAAUCCGCCGAGCCGUUGAGGCAGAAGGCAUUCCGUACACUUACGUAGAAUCUUAUUGUUUUGAUGGCUAUUUCCUCCCCAAUUUGUUGCAGCCUGAGGCCACUGCCCCCCCUAGGGAUAAGGUUGUCAUCUUAGGCGAUGGAAAUCCAAAAGGUAAUAUAAUUUAAUUAAGCUCUGUUUGUUUGGUAUGUAUUGCGGUGUUAAUGUUAUUGUCUGUUGUACAAUGGAUGGUCUUGCUUGGUACUGUUGUUGGAGAGCUGCAGUGUUUUGAUAAACACCUCUAUCCUUAGCUUUCAAGUUAAGUUGAUUUUAUACAACACUUGUUUAAUUCAAAACUUGUAAUAUUCUUACUACUUUGAUAAAAAAAUAUUACGAUUAAAGCAUUAAUGGCACCAUAAUACGAAAUGAAUCUUAAGUGGUCAUUAUAGAUUUUAAGAUAGAGUUUUAAGUGAUUACCAGAUACUUUAGCUGCUGAACCGCCACAUCAUGGUUGCCACACAACAAUUUCAAACAGAACCUAAAUAACUUCAUUGCAAAACAGUUAAAUGAAUCUAACUUAGUUUCGUCGUUUGAUUUUCAGCUGUUUUUAACAAGGAAGAUGAUAUUGGAACCUACACUAUCAAAGCGGUUGAUGAUCCGAGAACCUUGAACAAAAACUUUUACAUUCAGCCUCCCGGUAAUAUUUACUCAUUCAAUGAUCUUGUGUCUCUGUGGGAGAGAAAGAUUGGUAAAACCCUCGAAAAGGAGUAUGUUUCAGAGGAGCAGCUCCUAAAGAAUAUUCAAGGUUGGUUAAAACUCUCUUUUUUAAAUGUAUUAAAGAGAGCCGUAUAUUCUCUGCCGUAAAUGUCAUUGAUCCUGUCUUCUCCAAAAUGUUGCAGAAGCUGCACCUCCACACAAAGUGAUAUUAUCAAUUUAUCACUCUGCUUUCGUGAAGGGAGUUCAAACCAACUUCAAGAUUGAACCAUCUUUUGGAGUUGAAGCCUCGCAGCUUUAUCCUGAUGUCAAGUACACUACAGUUGAUGAGUACCUCAAUCAGUUUGUGUAACCCUUCGCUGUUUCCAGCUGCAGCUUGCAGGAUCUUGGACUGUUGGUAAAUAAAUAAUUGGCUUGUUGCCAUCUUUGGUUUUAUAUGUAAAAAUUAUGGUUGUUGGCCUUACUUUCUUCUGGUUGUCCAUGGAAUUUGUUAGACCAUAUUAUGUUUGCUAUGUCAGUGAUCAAAUGAAGUAGGCCAUGUACUUGAUUUGAGAGUAGUAGUUAUAAAGCCAUCAUGAUCAGGUGGGUGCGUGGGUUGGGCUUCUAUUAGGGUGCGUGUGUUGGGGGGCUUCAGGGGCUUGUGAUAUGGGUUCGACAGCCCCUAACGGGCAGUCAUUAUAAAAAUGAUUAUAGAGUUACAAAUCUAUGUAAAAAGCAAAAAUUAAAAGUAAUUUAUCAAUAAAAAUAAUUAAAAUUAAUAAAAAGUAGGUAUGAUAUUUCAGAAAUUAAAUUAAAGAUAGCAUUCUAAAGAGUUGGAUAAUCCUCCAACUAAACUAAAGAUCUAGUACAUUUGAGAGCAAAUUUAAUUAAAGAAAAGGAUAAGGAAAAACAAUAGAAUAAUAAUAUUAAAAAAUUGCAAAUCUUGGUCUUUUUUUGUUACGAUGAUGUUGAAUUCUUAUAAAUUUAAUCUUAUCUAUAGAGUUAUUUAGUUACUGUAUGUCAAAAUUUCCUAUAAAGAUGAAGAAAAAUUAUAUUAGGAGAAUAUCCAAAUCCGUUUAACUAAUGCAUCAUCAACAACAUGAGUACAACAUUUUCGAAUAAACAAAAGAAACUCGUUAUAUGUGCGAACCAGUUCCAAAAUAAAGAGCAGACUAUUGGAAGGAAACAAAUACGACAAGAAGAACAAAACAUUCUACAGUUCCUACAUGAGCCCGCAACAAUUAAUUAUUAACUCGACAUUCAUUACACUUUUUCUUUAAUUUGAAAGAAACCAAAAAUAAGAUAAAAUUGACUAAGAAAUAAAAAAGUGACCAAAAUCUUUUUGAAGUUUUGCCAGUUCAGCCAUGCACGCUUAUCUUUAUUCACUUGUUUCCUUUCUUUCCUUUCUUUCCUUUCUUUCCUUUCUUUGCUGAAGCCUUCACAGAUCCUUUACCUUUCUGAGCCUUGCCAAUUUUCCCCUUCUUCAAACCACCUGGCCUUGCUGGAUCCACGUGUCCUUGCAUCCUUUUUCAUUCGUGGAUCAACAAGAAUCUCCCCCUUUCCAGCUCUCUCUUGAACUCCUUGCUUUGCGACCAUGUAUUCUUUUGUAGGCCUUUUGGGUAUAAUUGUUCAAUUUGAUUCCGCUUCGAACGAUCAGAGAUGUCCGCUUAGUCUGAUAUGACAUUUGCCUUCUUGCGAACCUUCUCAAGAUUUCGCAUGGCAACCCGUAUCUUUCGAGCUUUGGUCUUAGCCACGCUCUUGGCAGUAAGGGUGGGCGAUUCGGUUUUGGGAUAAACUUUUGGUUUCGUAUCGGUUUAGAUUCAAAAAUAAUAUAAAAAAAUAAGUAGAUUUUAAUGGAAAAAAUCCAAACCGAAACUGACCUAUCGAUUUCGGCUCGGUUUCAGUUCAGUUUCGAUUCUCCUAAUAGUUUUAUUUUGCCUUAUUGACUUCCGGUCAAUGACACUUUUGAAAAAUUUACAAAAAAAAAAAAAACUGGCCAUAACAAAAUUUCUAUAUGCAAAUAUUUCCUAAACAUUGGGCUAUACUAAAUUUUUUUCAAAGGUAGGGAUCCAAACGAUAUUAUCCCUCUACUUCAUCUUCAACCUUCGUCACUAGGGAUGGCAAAAUCCGAGUCCGGGUCCGGGUAUAGCCAUUCCGGAUCCGGACCCGAACGAAUAUUUUCUAUACCGAACCCAGAAAUAAACCCGCAUUUUUCCACUCCGAGUCCGAUACGGGUUCAACCCGGAAAAAUUCGGGUUCCCAGACUGCGGGUUUCUAACCCGGAUUGAUGAAUCCAAUUGAAAAAAAAAACUAAAUUUGACUAAAAAAAUCAAAUAGAAAUACAUAUCUAGGAUUUCAACAAAUCAAAAAAAAAUUAUUUCAUCUGGAAACUAAUUAACAAAAACAACAAUUUUGUUUGGCUGCCCAGAAUCAGCAACCCAAUGUGGCGGCUCGUUCAAUACAUUAGUGUUUUCAACAGAUUUUGGGGUAGGAAAAGCCAAACCUAUCUAGAACAAUGAAUUUGUAUUUUUGGGGGAGAUGGGGUACCUCACUAGUUUGUUGUAUGCGGUGCAGUGUAUCUGAAAUUUGGGGGAGGUGAGAAGGGGAGAGGGAGUGGUAACAAUGGUGAAAGGUCAAAACCAAGAGAGAUGUCCUUCAAAAUGAGCUUCACACCUGUAAAACAGUGAAAUAGAGGUUAGAGGUGAAGCCGGGGUACCCCGGCAUUCACACUCCGACGCUCAAGUUAGCAAACUCAAGCUUUUAUGACAAAGAGAACUGGCUAGCCCUCUGUAAAUUAGGGUUUAAAGUUCAAGGAAACCUAUUUUUUAGAGUGUGAGUGUUAAUGGUGAGUGAGAGACCUCUUGGAGAAUGAAACCCAGGUGCCUUUAUAUAUGGAGUACCUCAGCUGCCACGUGGCGUACCCUUUUUAGCUAACGUCUUUUUUCUUUUUUAUGAUUUUUUGGCCGUUAUGUGCAUGUUCGCGGCGUAUCUCAUCUUUUGGAAAUGUGGCGUGCGCUGGAGAGUGGUCCAGGGUACCUCUGCAGUAGUUUUCGGGUAGGCGGCUGAGGACCACUGUCCUUGGGACAAUGUCCUUCACUUUUGGUAGAGGUGACAGGCGGCUGUCCCCCCUUUUAGCACGACAUUUUUUAUUUCUAAUUCUGGCAAAAUCGAAUAAUAUCUUUUAAGAGAUGGAGACGUUUCUCAUGUUAGAUAUUUUCGGAGGAUUCUCUUGCAUCCGAUCAGCCGGGUUCCUCCAGUUACGCGGGGUACCUCAAUUUAUGUGGGGUACCUCUAAUUGUGCGGGGUACCUUUAUUUGCGCAAGGUACCUUGAAUCAUGCCAGGUGCCUCAGAUUAUGUGAGGUAUCUCUAAUUGUGCGGGAUACCUCUAUUUGCGCAAGGUACCUUGAAUCAUGCUGGGUACCUCAGAUUGUGUGGGGUACUUCUAUUUUCGCAGGGUACCUUGAAUCAUGUUGGGCACCUCAGAUUGUGCGGGGUACCUCUAUUUGCGCAGGGUACCUUGAGUCAUGCGAGGUACCUCUAAUCAGGCCAGGUACCUCUAAUCGUGCUGGGUACGUCUAAUCAUGCGGGGUACCUCUAAUCAGGCCGGGUACCUCUAAUCACGCUGGGUACCUCUAAUCAUGUGGGGUACCUCUAAUCAGGCCGGAUACUUCAGAUUGUGCGGGAUACCUCAGAUUAUACGGGGUACCUCUAUUUGCGCAAGGUACCUUGAAUCAUGUCAGGUAUUUCAGAUUGUACGGGGUACCUCUAAUCGUGCGGGGUACCUCUAAUCAUGUCGGGUACCUCGGAUUGCACUGAAGUUAUUCCAUUCGUUGACACGUGGCGAUAUGCUAUCUUUCCUAUUUUUCCCCCAAACAACAUCCCCCUAGUUUCUUUUGGCGAGAAGUUUUAGAGGCAAAAGAAAUUUACAUAAAAAGUAGGAGCGACACGUGGCGAUAUGAUGUUUAGCUCGAUGGGUAACUAAAUAGAGGGCGCCUCUAGGGGUACCCUGAGAACCCAAAAAGGGAAGAUGAGUUCCCUUUCCUCGGAAAUGACUACCACUUUGGACAUGUUGGAAAUGACAGAGCUAAUUGAUCAAAAAAUUUUCAUCUAUUUCUGGGGAAGAACACUAAAUACUGGUAGAAGGUAUCGUUAGGGUACCCCACCAUUAUCCAUAGUUUGUUUUCUAGUGACUGCCAUGGAUAAAUCGCUCUGGUGAAGGCUUCAAUGCAUUCUUUGGGCAUUUAAGAAGCAAUUAUUUAAUUAUCUCGGGAUCCACCUUAUUUAAGGGUACAUUUCCUUCAUGUUCUUCGAAGACAAAAAUAAAAUCAUAGGGCUUCCUUCCUUGCAACUUCAGAGGUACCCUCGACAGAAGAACAUAGUCGACAAUGCUUUUAAGCGUAUCAUGAUCGAGGAAUGGAGUGCUGAUCUGGGGUUGGUGGUGCCAAGAGUGGAGAAGAUAGUAGAUGAACCGGCUAUCUUGAAGGCGAUUGACGAUAGCGGGGCUCCCAACACAUCUUGGUCUGAAAGCCCAUUGAGAUUAGCUGAGGUACCUCAGAUGAAGUAUCUAUAAGGUACCCCUGAUACUAACCCUUGUGUUUUUGCUACUUUUAGCACUUUUGUUGAUCCCCUCAUCUUAAGAGAUGAAGUUGAAGAUAACCAUCCUGCUGUGUAACCUUGUUCGGCAUUACUGACAAGGUGUAUGGGGUACCUCGGGUACCCUAAUGCUUGGAUAUCCCUUGAGCUAUCUAUUACUUCAUGGCGGAAUAACCCAAUUUCAUCAACCGUAUGACGAUUCCUCCAGAUAUGCUUGUCGCUUAUCUUAAGCUUUCUUAGGGUUCCUCCUGGUGUAUCUGAGGAAUAACUUUCUGGCGUGGGGUACCCUUAAUCAGCGUAUGACGAUUUUCAUAGAAAUGCUUACUGCAAAUCUUCACAAAACUUGUGGCGGUUUCUGUUGAGAGAUGAUGAAAAACCUCAUGAUCCACAAUUCACUCUAAAUCAAAUAUGCAAGACAAAUAGUAAUAAAGGUGACUGCUCGCCUACCCUUAUGCAAAAUAGUGGAAAAUCUCAUGCUCCGCCAUUCGCGUGGAAUCAAAUAGACAACAUAGAUUGAGAUAAAUGUAGCUGCUCACCUACCCUUAUGCGAGAUGGUCGAAAACCUCAUGAUUCAUCAUUCGCAUGGAAUCAAAUAAACAAUAUAGAUUAAGAUAAAGGUGGCUGCUCGCCUACCCUUAUGCGAGAUGGUCGAAACCUCAUGAUCCACCAUUCGCAUGGAAUCAAACAUGACGAAAAAAUAAUGAUAAAGGCGGCUACUAGCGUGCCCUUUUGCUGGGUCUACUGUUGAGUAGAUUAUCAUGAUCGGAGAUUGGUCAGGUACACCUCGGGUACCCUGGAAUAAGGUACCUCGGGUACCCCGGAAUAAGGUGAUCUCUGGAUUCCAUCUUGCUUCAUAAUAAACAAUGCUCAACGACAUAUAUAAAAUUAGUUUAAUGGUGAACAUAUUAUUAUAGCAUUUCAAGCUACUCAUCCAUAUCAAAAAAUCGAGAGGCAAAUAAAAGAGCACACAUUAUCAAAUUUUGUAAAGAAAAUACAUUCACAAAGAGUGGCGAUAUGGAUCAUUAUAUGACACUAUUUUAUUAUCCUAAGGAGAAUAUAGGGGAUCCCGAGAUCACUUGUUAUUGUCAUUAAAGGCUUAGGAAACUGACCAGUUUGGGGUACACUCUGGAUACCCCAUAUAGCCAAGCAUAUAUUUCAAACAUACAAGCAUUAAAGAAAACAAACAAACUAAGUAGAAGGGGGUAAAGUGUUAUCACUUUACUAGUAGUAUGACUUUUCUUUGUUGUUCUUCUGAAAGGUUGGAGCCUAUUUUGACGGUCUUUGUUGGAUCGGUGGCGCAAAUUGAGACUGAAAUUGGGUAUUCAACCAGGGUACCCCGUUUUUCAUCUUUGGGUAUUCGAGGAUCCAAAUGUGCCUCCAAUUCACAUUUGGGCUUAAUCUGGUCCCCUUGGGGUAUCCCCGCAUAACUUCAGAGUAACUAGUUAUGGGGUACCCCACCACCGAGGCCUCGAUGGUGACUCUUGCUGCUUUGAUGGUGGCGAUCUUAGAGGUUGGGGUACUCGUGAGAUACCCUGAGUUUAAACCCUCGUCCCCGCGGGGCAGCCCGUGGAGGGCUCCGAGUUUGGGGUACCCUUAGUAUUGGGGAUUCGGUUUUCUUGGGCUUCUCCUUGUUCUUUGUGACUUCGGCCUUAUCUUCUUGGCGCUUCAAAUGACAUUUUUCAUCCAUCUCCACUUACUGCAACGCCCGAGAACGGGCUUCCACAUAUGAAAGAGGGCGCUUCUUUUGAAAAGAACGUCAUACCUUGCCCAACCGCAAAUUUUUCUCAAAAUGGGUCAAUGUGUAUUGGUUUCCAAAUGCUUCGGUUCGCAGCACCUCUUAGUGGAAACGACUCACAUACUCUGUCAAAGGCUCGGCUUCCCCUUGCUUAAUAAAGGCAAGUUUGGAGACUACCCUAUCUUGAGUAGAAGCGUAGGAAAAUUCUUUAGUAAAUUCGGAUAACAAUUGGUGUUUUCAACAGAUUUUGGGGUAGGAAAAGCCAAACCUAUCUAGAACAAUGAAUUUGUAUUUUUGGGGGAGAUGAGGUACCUCACUGGUUUGUUGUGUGCGGUGCAGUGUAUCUGAAAUUUGGGGGAGGUGAGAAGGGGAGAGGGAGUGGUAACAAUGGUGAAAAGUCAAAACCAAGAGAGAUGUCCUUCAAAAUGAGCUUCACACCUGCAAAACAGUGAAAUAGAGGUUAGAGGUGAAGCCGGGGUACCCCGGCGUUCACACUCUGACUCUCAAAUUAGCAAACUCAAGCUUUUAUGCCAAAGAGAGCUGGCUAGCCCUCUGUAAAUUAGGGUUUAAGGUUAAAGGAAACCUAUUUUUUUGGAGUGUGAGUGUUAAUGGUGAGUGAGAGACCUCUUGGAGAAUGAAACCCAGGCGCCUUUAUAUAUGGAGUACCUCAGCUGCCACGUGGCGUACCCUUUUUAGCUAACGUCAUUUUUCCUUUUUAUGAUUUUUAGGCCGUUAUGUGCAUGUUUGCGGCGUAUCUCAUCUUUUGGAAACGUGGCACGCGCUGGAGAGUAGUCCAGGGUACCUCUGCAGUAGCUGUCGGGUAGGCGGCUGAGGACCACUGUCCUUGGGACAGUGUCCUUCACUUUUGGUAGAGGUGACAGGCGGAUGUCCCCCCUUUUAGCACCACAUUUUUUAUUCCUAAUUCUGACAAAAUCGAAUAAUAUCUUUUAAGAGAUUGAGACGUUUCUCAUUGUGGAUAUUUUCAGAGGAUUCUCUUGCAUCCGAUCAGCCGGGUUCCUCCAGUUACGCGGGGUACCUCUAAUUGUGUGCGGUACCUCUAUUUGCGUAAGGUACCUUGAAUCAUGCCGGGUACCUCAGAUUGUGCGGGGUACCUCUAUUUGCGCAGGGUACCUUGAAUCAUGCUGGGCACCUCAGAUUGUGCAGGGUACCUCUAUUUGCGCAGGGUACCUUAAGUCAUGCGAGGUACCUCUAAUCAUGCGGGGUACCUCUAAUCAGGCUGGGUACCUCUAAUCACGCCGGAUACCUCUAAUCAUGCGGGGUACCUCUAAUCAGGCCGGGUACCUCAGGUUGUGCAGGGUACCUCAGAUUAUGCGGGGUACUUCUAUUUGCGCAGGGUACCUUGAAUUAUGCCAGGUAUCUCAGAUUGUUCGGGGUACCUCAAAUUGUGUGGGGUACCUCUAAUCGUGCGGGAUACCUCUAAUCAUGUCGGGUACCUCGGAUUGCACUGAAGUUAUUGCAUUCGUUGACACGUGGCGUUCUGCUAUCUUUCAUAUUUUUCCCCCAAACAAUUAGUAAAGAGAGCUAAAGAACUAGCUUUAGUUGCGAGUAGGAAGUCAAGAGUCAAGGAGCAGCCAAAGCACUUUUAAUGGUGAUGGGAAAGCUGGAGGGGUAAUGCAAAUAAGUUUACGUUGAUUGGAUAUUCAGAAGAAGUAAUACGCUAUUAAAAGCAACAAGUUUUCCAAAAAGCCAACAAAGACAGACACCAUCACACCACCCCGCACUGGAUGAAAAAAGAUGAAAUCAUGAUAAGUGGCAUUGAGUAAGCCACGUUCUCUCUCUCUCUCUCUCACUCGCACUCGCACACACUGUUACUAAAAUGACCAAAAAAUAAGAUUCCCAUCAAAAUAUUUUCAAGUAUCAUUCUUAAAAGUGACGGCGGCUGAUGAUGAUGAACACAGCCGCGAUUACGAUUGGCGAAGGCGGCGUUCAACCCGUAUCACAGCUGGUUAUCGGUCGCGGCGGAAAAGAUAAGGAAACGACAGUUGAUAAUGAUGAUGAUGAUGUUGAACAACCGCGAAGAUGGGUAAGUGAUGCGACGAUGAUUUGAUUUGAUGAAGAUGAGCUGAAGAGGGAAUAAGAGAGGAAAUGUUUGUGCGGCUGGGAAAGUGUAAUGAGCUGCUAGGGCACCAUUUGGGUUUUUUUGCUUUCCUAUUUAUAUUAAAAAUAAUUUUUAAAAAUUAAUAUAUAUCCGGGUCUGAGUUUCGGAUGUACGGGUUUACCUAGACCCGAACACACGUGGGUUUUUAAAAUGACAUCCGGAUCCAGAUUUUAUUUAAUCCGGUACGAGUUGAACCCGGACUGGAAAAUCCGGGUUUCAUCUAGGUCCGGGCCAGGUGCGGGUUGAAUUGCCAUCCUUAUUCGUCACUUAGCAGCUACCACAAUAUCGAAAUGGAAAAACUAAAAAAGCACCGUAGGAUACGCAUAUCCACACAUAUAUAAUAAAACUAAAUAUUAUUAAUAAUUUAGUAUCUAUAUAUAUAUAUAAAGCUGGGACUUGAGGAGGUGAUGUGGCAUCACCAUUUCUCAUCUUUGUAUAUUCUCUAUUAUCUAAUAAAUAGAGAAAUUUUCUUUUAGAUUUGGUUUUUCAUCUUCUCAUAAUUAAUUUGAUUGUUUUUACACAAUAACAAUUAUGUAAAGAUUUUAAUGAAGCAUAUUCUUUGUAAUGAACAUCCAAGGGGGAGUGUUAUGAAUUUAUUAAAAUAAAUGUAGAUGUUCAUAACAUAUAUCUCUUAGUCUCCCCACUAUCUCCCAUUAGCAACCUUUAACUUCCUUAUAACUCCCACUAUCUCACAAGGAAUUAUGAUCCAUAAUUUUUCAUUAAUUUCAUGGAGUGAUUAUGUAACUAUAAAAGGAGAGCUUAUCUUUUUGUUUUGUACACACACAAUUGGAAUAAAUAAAAUCACUCUAUAAUAUAUUCUCUCAUUUUAUUCUUUAUCUUGUGUUGCUUCUUUAUUUGUAUUGUUGGCUAAUAGCUUUUUUUGUUUUUUAUAAGGCUGCCUCAUCUUAAAAAAAAAUUAAUUCAUAUUUUUUAUCAGUUUCAUCAAGUGUAAAGUAAGAAUAAAAAAAAGGCAAACAUGAAAUUAGAAAAGACUAAAGAGCUAUUUAAAAAAAAAGCCAUUUAAAAAAAGGAAAAUAGCAAGUUAUUUGGCUAGUUAACUGGCGACAGAAGUAAUGGAAAGAAGCAACAACGGCAGCGGCAGGUCGACAGCGAAGAUUCAGCAGCACCGACCACCCACAGACUGGGAUUUGAUUGCAAAGUUGGGACUUAGGAUUUAGGUUUGUGGCUGCUGAAACUGAAAGCGAGAGAGUAGAAAGUAGAGACUGAGAGUGGUGCAAACAUGUGUAAUUGUGUGUGUGUCUAUAUAUAUAUAUAUAUAUAAUGUGAAAUUACAAAAAUGCCAUUAUAUCAGUUCAAUUCGAAUUUUGUAACUUGUGAUCUGAAAACUGAACCAAACCGAACCAUUUGGUUUGGUAUUUAUAUAUUCGGGUUUUUAAUUUAAAAAACUAAAUUGAAACUGAAAAAACUAAACCGAACCGAAUGUUUUUUUUUGUUUCGGUUCAAUUCUGCCCAUCCCUACUUAGUAGGCUGGGCAUCAAUUUCUUUGAAUUGUGCUUUCAUUGCAGUAAUCUCCUUCUUGGUAAUAGGUUUAAUUGCUUGCUGAUGCCUCAUUUCCUCUGGUAAUAACUAGUCUAACAAGCCAUCAUCGUCAAACAUGUACCUAUUAUAAGCAUCAUCCAGAAUUUGCUCUCUAUGCUUUUUGCUUAGUGUCUUCUUUGCACAAGCUAUUAUCUCAGCUUUUGUAUCAAUAUCUUUAUCUUUUGAUUCACUAGAGGAUGAAUCAUCACCGGAAUAGAGUGGUGAAGGCCCCAUAGAUUAGUGUGGUUAAGUUCUAGUGUAGUUUUGGUUUUGAUUUCAGUAUUAGGAAAAUGAAGCGUAUGAAAUUUACUAAGCUAACAUGCUUCACAAAAGUGCUUUAAUACUUGACUAUGAAUACUUGAAGAGGAUAAAUGAGGAUAAAUAAAUUUAAAUAUACAUUAGAUUUUGAGGGUUGGGAUGUCAAAACUUUUGGUGAAAAAGAGUUAGUACAAGCAUUUUAUUGAGAUUGAAAACAUUUUUUAAGAUGAUCAAUGCUAGCUACAAAAUUGGAAUGAAAAAAAAGGCAACAUAGACAAAGGUUUGUUUAUUUGAUUGUAAGAUAUAAAAGACUUGUAUUUAGGUUGUGGAAAGGAUUUGAGCAGCAAUUUAUACAACCUUUUCUCAGCAAAACCUUCCUCUUCAAUGAAUCCUUCACAAAACAAAUAGAUCCAAGAAAUUCGACAAAUAAAUUGUUGUCAACGGUAAGUUUUGAAAUGCUCAAUAGAUUCUUUGUAAUGGAUGGAACAAACAGUACAUCCUUAAGUAAAAUAUGUCUUAUAUUAUCUUUUUUUAAUUCUUUUUAAAAAAAUAAGUGAAUAAUAGUAUGUCAAUCUCAAAUAUCAAUAUGUACAAUUUUUAUUUGUGUAAGAAUUUGCAUCCAAUAAUCAUCAAUACAUAAUUGUCUUUUAAUUGAAUGGUUCUCACCUCCCUUCCAAACUUUGAAAAGGUAAAAUAAGAUCAAUCAUGUCAGUGGCAAUUAAUAUAAAGAUUACUUUUCUUAUUUGUAGUAACGUCCUCUGAUUAUUUAGCUGAUUUUCAAGCUACACAUUUAUUCCAUUUGAUGUUGAUAUUAGUAAAAUUAAUGUAAUAUUUAAAAAGGAAAAAAAUCCGUUGAGCUAAAAGCCGAGUAUAAAAUUGAACCGGACCCAAACCAGAAACGCACGCCAACAACAUGCUUGCGUCAGUCGGCCCAUGCCCAUAAACCCACCAAGCCCGAUCCAAAUAGAAAAAUGAAUUGGACAUCCGAGAUAGCAGAAACAGAUAAGUAACGCUCGCGCUAUCCCCAAUCUCAUAUCUUCAACGGUAUCCAACCAACAUCUCAAAGUGUUCAAUUUGUUUUUAAACCAAAAAAAAAUUCAAAAUUUUCAAGCGGAAUUUGGGAAGAUGGCGACUAAAAGCAAGAUUCUGGUUAUCGGCGGAACUGGAUACAUCAGUAAAUACUUAAGGUGCGUUUGAAAUUGAGGUUGAACAACUAUAACUUUAAAACUACAGCACUAAAAUGUUUGGUAAACACUAACUGUUGUAACUUAAAAGCUAUUUAAUAUAAUUUUUCACUUGUAUAAUAAAAAAUUUAUUAUCUUUAAUAAUUUUGUCAAAAUUAUUAUUUAAAAUAUAUACUGUAAGAGAGAUUGUAACAUUUUCAAUCUUUGGUUUGAUAUUCUGGAAGAAAAUGGUUUGCCGUUUAUGGAGAAAACGGCUAACCGUUUAAUUCCAAAGAGCAUGUUUUCUGUUCUAGAGAAAACGGCUAACCGUUUUGAGAAAAUGGCUAACCGUUUUGAGAAAACGGCUAACCGUUUAAUUCUAGAGAGCAUGUUUUCUGUUCUAGAGAAAACGACUAACCGUUUGGAUAAAACGGCCAACCAUUAAUUACAGAGAGUAACUUAUUUGACAUUCUAGAAUAAAACGGCUCACCGUUAUUGAGAAAACAGCUAACCGUUUAUUUUCAGAGAGCGUGUUUUUGCGUCAAUUGGAAAAACGGUUAGCAAGCUUGGAAAUUUCAAUUGUCAAUCGAUGCAAACUCAAACCAAAAGAGUGUUUUUUUGAAGAAGUACCAUUUUUAAUGGUUGUAUUCUUUCAAAUAAACAUCUUCUUCAUUAAAAAUAGACAAACAAUUAGAUCAUAAUCAGAUUUUGCAGGUUUCAUAUAUGUUAUGGAAAUACAAUCUUAUUUGCUAGAGAUUGUAUUCAGGAUUUGAUAUAUCGUAGGGGUAAUUUGCCAUUAAAACUCUAUAGCAAACCAAGAUUGGUGAGGGCAAAUAAAACCUUAAAGAAAAGUGUGCAAAUACGUCUUAAAUCCUAAGAAAUUUUCUUUGUUCUUUGCCUCCAUAUUCUUAAACUUUGAAAAUUCACCCAUCAAUCUUUAAGGUUUUAUUUUGAUGCAAAUGGAGGCUGAGAAGAGUUUGACGUCAUUUCUUAAUCCUAGUGUCCAUCUCGAUCGUUUUGAUGAAACUAAUUUCACUCGUUGGAAGGGAAAAUUAUUCUUUCUUUUUACUGUUCUUAAAGUGGCAUAUGUUCUUGAUCCGAAAUUGAAACCAUUUCCAGAACCAAGAGAAGAUGAUACCGAAGUUGUUAAGGCUGCAAGGAAACGUCGUAAAGAUGAUGAAUUGAUGUGCCAGGGUCACAUACUCAAUACGCUUUCUGACAUGUUAUAUGAUCUCUACAAUUCUAUGACUUCUCCGGUGGAAAUUUGAAAUGCUCUUGAAUACAAAUACAAAACGGAGAAAGAAAGUACUGACAAAUUCCUUGUCUCUAAAUAUUUUGAAUUUAUUAUGGUAGACACACAAUCCAUUCUUGAUCAAAUACAUGAGUUACAAAUUAUUGUUGCUAAGCUUCGAGAGUUAAAAAUUAAAAUUUCUGAAUCAUUUCAAGUUGGGGCUAUUAUUGCUAAAUUGCCUCAAAGUUGGAAUGAUUAUAGAAAGAAACUCCUUCAUAGUAAAGAGAACAUAACUUUAGAAGAAUUGCAAAAACACUUGGUAAUUGAAGAAGAGACUAGGUCUCGCGAAUCCAAGGAUAAGCAUGAUUCUACUAAAGUUAAUGUUGUUGAAGCUAGUAAAUUCUCAAAGAAUUUUAAAGUCAAGAAUGACAAGAAAUUCAAGAAGUCCAGCACACAAAAGUUUUCUGGAAAUUAUUUCUUUUGUGGUAAGAAAGGCCAUCGCCAAAGUGAUUGCAGAUUCAAGAAGAAAAAAGAAGAAGUGAAUUCCUAUAAAGCUAAUGUUAUUGAAAACAAAUCUGAAGAGAUUUGUGCUAUGGUUUCUGAAAUGCAAAUUGGCAUGAUUACCGAAACCAAUAUGGCUGAAACUAAGUCCUAUGAUUGGUGGCUCGAUUCGGGUACAACAAUUCAUGUUUGUAAUAAUAAGAAAAUUUUCUUAUCAUACAAAGAAGAAACGGAAGGACAAAUGGUUCUCAUGGGGAACAAUAAUGCAGCCAUAAUAGCAGGGAAAGGAGUAGUUGAGAUCAACUUCACUUCUGGAAAUAAAGUCACAUUGUAUAAUGUCUUUUAUGUACCUUCCGUUAGGACUUAUCUUAUUUCUACUAGUUGUAUAUGUAAGCAUGGGCUUAAGAUUGUGCUUGAGGGUAAUACUUGUAUUAUCUCAAAGAAUGGAUUAUUUGUUGGGAAAGGGUAUUCUUGUGAUGGAAUGUACAAACUCAACAUUAAUAAUAAUAAUAUCAAGUUAGCUUAUAUUGUUGAGUCUUGAGAUGUUUGGCUUGCUAAAUUAGCACAUUUGAAUUUUAGAUCUUUGAAAUACAUGUCUGAGCAUGGUUUGAUUAAUUGCAAUGAUGUUAAAGGUCAUAAGUGUGAAAUUUGCAUCCAAGCUAAAUUAACUAAGAAACAUUUUCUUAAAGCCGAACGAAAUACUCAAAUAUUGAAUUUAAUACAUAUCGAUAUUUGUGAGUAUAAUGGCGUUUUAACAAGAGGAGGUAAAAAAUACUUUUAUCACUUUUAUUGAUGAUUGUUCUAGAUACACUUAUGUGUAUUUACUUAGAACAAAAAAUGAAGCUUUUGAUAAAUUUAAAAUUUUCAAAGCUGAAGUUGAGAACCAAAAAGAUAAGAAAAUCAAAGUGGUUCGUAGUGAUAAAGGUGGUGAAUAUUUCUCAAUUGAAUUUAAUAAUUAUUGUGAAGAAUUUGGAAUUAUUCACCAAAGAUCAGCUCCAUUUACUCCUCAACAAAAUAGUUUGGCUGAAAGAAAGAAUAAGAUCUUCACGGAUAUGAUAAAUUCCAUGAUCCUUAAUGCAAAACUACCAAAUAAUUUGUGGGGGGAAGCAUUACUCACUGCAUGUCAUAUUCAUAACAGAAUUACAUCUUUGAAAACACAUGUAUCUCCUUAUGAAAUUUGGAAAGGAAGAAAACCAAACUUGAUGUAUUUAAGGGUUUGGGGUUGUUUAGCUUUUUAUAAAAUACAUGAUCCUAAAUCAUCAAAGUUAAGUGCUAGAUGUAUAAAGAGUGUUUUCGUAGGAUAUGCUGAAAAUUCCAAGGCUUAUAGGUUGUUAGAUUUAGAUUCUAAUGUGAUUGUGAAAUCUAGAGAUGUUGAAUUUAUUGAGAAUAAAUUUCAACAUGAUUCUAAUAUUGAAUUAGAAUCAAUUAUUGAUCAACCAUAUGUUAAUACUCCUAUUACCUCCACUAACAAUAAUAAAAGGAAAGACUCUAUGACAUCUUUCGAACCAAUGAGGAGUCAACGUGAAAAAAAAGAAAAGAGUUUAGCUCCGGAUUUUAUUUCAUCACAAGCACUACUCUUCUUGGUUGAAGGGGAUAGAAAGAAUGUACUUAACAAAGUACCAUUGUUGUUAAAUAUUGAAAAAGAUCCAAAGACAUUUAGCGAGGCUAUGUCUUCUAGAGAUGCUUCUUUUUGGAGAGAGGCGGUAAAUAAUGAAAUGGAUUCGAUUAUAAUGUUGUUUGAUAUAAUGUUGUGGCCACAACCGAUGCCAUCUAUUUCUUUGUACUGCGAUAGUGAAGCUACAUUGUCUAGAGCUUAUAAUAAAGUGUAUAAUGGAAAGUCUAGACAUGUUAGCUUGAGACAUGAAUAUGUGAAACAAUUAAUAGCAGAUGGUGUUAUUAAUAUUGUUUAUGUUAGGACUAAUAAGAACCUAGUGGAUCCUUUAACAAAAGGUCUUACAAGAGACUUAGUUAAGGAUACAUCUUUUGGAAUGGGAUUGAAACCUUUAAAUAAUAAAGUCACCAACGACGGUAACCUAACUAUGUAGUAGUUGCACCGCUACUCCAUAGUUAAAUGGAUAAUAAUAAGUUGUUGUUAUGUGACUGGUUUGGCACCGAGUAAUAAAUAAUCACAUUCGAGAUAUUCGGUGCAAAUAGCUAGGAGGUUGAGGUUGAGUAUUUACUCUUAAUGAAGUUCAAGUCUUAUAGUAGCUAAAGACAUGAUUUGAAACUUCACCUAAGUGAACAUAAGAAAUGGUGCCGUUUCUAACAAAAUCAUGGUUUAAUCUAGUAAAUGUUCAUGAAUCCAAGAUAGAGCACAAGCCCGGAAUAGUGCUAAAUAUUGGAACACAACUUUGAAAAUCUGGGAUAGCUUAUAUGUGAUGUAUCUCCGGUAUUUACUUAAGAGACAAAGUUUAAUGCUUAGCACAUUAUUGUCUUGUAAAUGCUUUGAAAUACACUCACUAAUUAAAGGUUAAAAUCGAAAGAUAUCUUUUUGUAUGUAUAAGUUUAUCAUUAAUAAAUCUGAAAAAUAUUACAAUCUAGUGGGGGAUUGUAAGAGAGAUUGUAACAUUUUCAAUCUUUGGUUUGAUAUUCUGAAAGAAAACGGUUUGUCGUUUAUGGAGAAAACGGCUAACCGUUUAAUUCCAGAGAGCAUGUUUUCUGUUCUAGAGAAAACGGCUAACCGUUUGGAGAAAAUGGCUAACUGUUUAAUUCUAGAGAGCAUGUUUUUUGUUCUAGAGAAAACGACUAACCGUUUAGAUAAAACGGCCAACUGUUAAUUACAGAGAGCAACUUAUUUGACAUUCUGGAAUAAAAAGGCUUACCGUUAUUGAGAAAACGGCUAACCAUUUAUUUCCAGAGAGCGUGUUUUUUGCGUCAACUGGAAAAACGGUUAGCAAACUUGGAAAUUUCAAUUGUCAAUCGAUGCAAACUCAAAACAAAAGAGUGUUUUUUUGAAGAAGUACAAUUUCUAAUGGUUGUAUUCUUUCAAAUAAACAUCUUCUUUAUUAAAGAUAGACAAACAAUUAGAUCAUAAUCAGAUAUAGACAAACAAUUAGAUCAUAAUCAGAUUUUGCAGGUUUCAUAUAUGUUAUGGAAAUACAAUCUUAUUUGCUAGAGAUUGUAUUCAGGAUUUGAUAUAUCUUGGGGGUAAUUUGCCAUUAAAACUCUAUAGCAAACCAAGAUUGGUGAGGGCAAAUAAAACUUUAAAGGAAAGUGUGCAAACACGUCUCAAAUCCUAAUAAAUUUUUUUUGUUCUUUGCCUCCAUAUUCUUAAAAUUCGAAAAUUCACCCAUCAUAUACAUACUACAUAUUAUUAAUUUUUGUUUUAUAACUAUAGUUUUUUUUUUACCGCAGCUGUAGUUUAAAAACUACAGCACCUCAAUUCCAAAAAAGACCUUAGUGGAAUCGAGCGCAAAAGCCGAUCACCCAACAUUCGCGCUUGUGAGAGACUCCACUCUCUCCACUCCUUCCAAAUCCAAAAUCCUCGACCGUUUCAAAAAUCUCGGCGUCAAUUUAGUUCCUGUGCGCCACUCUUUUAGCUUUCCAAUUUUCCCGCCAAUUUGCUUUUAUUGUGAUUAAUUAAUUAAUUAAAGUAAAGAUUUUAUAUUAUAAUUUUGUUUGCAGGGAGAUCUAUACAGCCAUGAGAGCUUGGUGAGUGCAAUAAAGCAAGUGGAUGUGGUGAUAUCAGCGAUAGGUCGCACUCAAUUAGUUGAUCAACUCAACAUUAUCGCAGCAAAUUGCGAUAACUAAUUACUUGGGAUUUUGGGAAAUUUACACCAAUAACCAUAAAAAUUUUGACUUUUUCCAUCUUAACCCCCCAAACAAACUUCUAUCAACAUUAGCCAUAAAAAAGCCUUUGAGACCAAAAUACCCCUCUCUCUCAUCUCUCCCCCAACAAUCUCUCUUUCUCCCAUCUCUCCCAAACCGAAGAACCAAGCUUUGCAAACAAUCUCAGUUGGUUUAUUCUAGUUAUACUCCAUCUUUUUUAAUUCAAAUCUAUAUUUUACAUACCAAGUCUUCACUAAUCUCUCUCCAUGACUUUUUGCAAAACUUAAUCAUGAGCAAAGUAUCCUCCCAGCACAUAUUCUGCACUGCGUCCCCACAAUCCUCUGCUUCUUGAUUGCAGUAAUUUGCUUGGUGGUUAUUGUCCUUCAGUCAAAUGGCCGGAAACAAUUAUCAACCACACGCUCUUUAGUUACAGUGAGACCGUUCGAAACCUCAGCAUAUUCUUCAACUGGGGAUAAUUUUUAUGAAGAUGGGUUGACAGGAGAGGAUGAUCCAGCGUUCUUAGACUCGUUCACCAGCAUUUACACUGCUCCCGUUUGCCACACACAGCGUACGUACAGUGCACAUGCAAUGUUUUGUAGCUUUUUAUAUAAUUAAACGAGAUGUGCAUCCCAUACCAAAAAAAUUCAACAAAAACUAUCAAUAUUAUGUUUAUUUAAGUCUAAUAAACAUUAAACACAAACAUGAAAGACUCGAUAAAAAUUUUCCCUCGGACCGUGCACAUUUGGCGGUUUGCGUUUGACCACUCUUAACAACAGCAAGUAGCAACAGAAAUAAAUUUGAAAAUUCUGAAACUAAGUUUUCUAACGAUCAAUUACGUACUAUGGAUCGGCAUUCACAUCGGAGGCGACAUCACCGGUCAGAUUUUGCAGAUCAACGGCUUACGGAACUCGCACGAGCUCCAAAUAAGAGAUUCAAUAUUAAUACAACGAGGCUUGCCAAGAUUUUGGCAACUGGUUUGAUCAUUCUUCCCAUUCUUGUCAUUCUCUCCUUGAUCACUCGUCAACAUCCGCUGAUCACACCGUUGGAUUAGCCGACGCCAGAAUCUUGGACGCAAGAGUGCGACUAAAUAUCACCACUUGAAGAUAACGUCAGGUAACAGCAGGGCUUCUCCAACAAGUGAGCAGACCAAAACAGCACGAGCUCCACCAAAUGUUGCUUCAAAACAGCACGAGCUCCACCAAGCUUUGGUGCGACAGGCACCUGUCGCACCAACCUUUGGUGCGACAGGCAGUCUGUUGUCAAAUUCACUCACGACUCGCAGUUUCGAAACUCUCGAUCAAGUUCAGAAAAUAAUUCAUACCACUAUGUGAUGCCGAUUAGUAUUGGAUCCGAAUAAAUUAUGAUCAGAUUUUACUUUUAUCGUUGUCUUUUGCCGUCGCCGUUGGUUAAUGAUUAAGCUGCGUUUGGUUUGAGGAUAUGGGAGAAAGAUGGUUGCUUUUGGUCUGUAAUGAAGGGUAAUUUGGGGAGAAAGGCUUGUAUUUGGCUAAUGUUGAUAGAAAAAAGUUGAGAGGAUUAGUUGUGAAAAUAAUAAAAUAUUUAUGGUUAUUUUCGUAAAUUUCCCUGGGAUUUUAAAGAAGCUGGAAAUGUUAAGGUACUGAUUAACCUAAGUAAAUGCGUUAACUAAUUACUUGGGAUUUCAAAUUCAAAUGCGUGAAUUGUUCUCAAAAUUGAUAUAUGUUUAUUAGUCAGAGAUUCUUUCCUUCAGAAUUUGGAAAUGAUGUUGAUCGCGUGCAUGCCGUUGAGCUAGCAAGAACAUCAUUUGCCACCAAGGCUAAAAUCCGCCGAGCUGUUGAGGCUGAAAGAAUUCCAUACACCUACGUAGCUUCCAAUUUCUUCGCUGGUUUGUAUCUUUCCAGUUUCUCACAGCCUGGAGCCGCAGCUCCUCCAAGGGAUAAAGUGGUCAUCGUAGGUGAUGGAAAUGCAAAAGGCAAAGCGCUUCUGGAUACAUUUACUCUGUACACGCAAUGUGUGGUUACUGUUUGGAGAUAAAAAAGGAGAUUAAUUAAUAAAGAAAAUGAAAUUAUUGAGGGAUUUGCUGAAGAGUUGCGUGCACUCCUCAUUUUUCUCCACCACUCAUCUUACUUGCAAAAUGCAAUGACCAAACUAUCCUCGCCAAAGCCUAGACAUUUACUUGUGUUCAAAGGCCAUUUAAGGGAGACAAGUACAAAAAAUUAUAAAGGAUAGUGAGCAAAAGAAGAAAAUGGAAGGAGGGGAGAAUAAAAAAGGGGAGUGGGACGUUAUCUAGGCAGGAUUUUUAUUUUUAUUUUUUUCCUCUCUUCUCCAUGGCAUCUCUUUCUCUCUUUCUCCCACUAAGAAAUUCUUUCUUUUACACUCUAUUUUAUUUUUCUGCAAAUUAUGCAAAAAACUUUUGGUUUUAAGGCAAUAUUUAUUAAGCCACAUGAACUUGAAAAGCAUGAAUAAGGGGAUGAUUUUAACACAUUAAUUCACCAACAUUAAUUGGAAAAGAUCAGUUGCCACUACGAAUCAGAGUAAUUUCUUCGGCAAUAGCCAAAUAUUGAUAUUUGAUCUUGACACUAGAGUUAAAUGAAUGUAACUGGUUUUGUCAUUUGAUCCCCAGCAUUUUUUAACAAGGAAGAUGAUAUUGGAAUCAAUUCUAUCAAAGCGGUGGAUGAUCCAAGAACACUGAACAAAAUACUUUACAUCAGACCCCGUUGCAGUAUCUACUCAUUCAAUGAUCUUGUGUCUCUGUGGGAGGAAAAGAUUGGCAAAGCCCUUGACAGGGUCUAUGUUACAGAGGAACAACUUCUGAAAAACAUUCAAGGUUAGUUAGAACUAUCACUUUAUCAAGUGGAUAGAUGUAACUGACCGAUAAUGGAAAUUUUUUUCCUUCUCCAAAAUGCGAUAGAAUCUAAUCGGUUUCAACAAUCUCAAGAACAUCUAUUCCUGGUUGUGUUGUUUGAAAUCUGUAUGUAUCAGUUUUCUUUCUAGAUCUCAGAUUGCUCGCAAGGAUGUCAAGUUUUGAUGAUGCUUGCCUCUUUUCCUGUGUUUACAGAAGCUUCAUAUCCACUCAAUAUGCUAUUACCUAUUGGGCACUCUGCCUAUGUCCUGGGAGAUCAGACCAACUUCGAAAUUGAACCUUCAUUUGGAGUAGAGGCAACAGAGCUUUAUCCAGAUGCCAACUACACUACUGUGGAUGAGUACCUCAACCAGUUCAUAUAAACCUUCUGAGAUGAGCAGCAGGAUCCUAACCAAAAAUUGGGUGGUUUCCAUCCCUGAUUCUAUAGUAUAAAGAUAGCGGCUUUCCCUGCUUUUGCCAGUUCAAUGAAGUUUGUUAGAUGAUGUUAUUUAUACUAUACUAGCAAAGAUCAAGUUGCCUUUCUUGUCAAGAAGCCAAGCUCUGGCAUUGGUUUAUGCUAGUUUUUCACACUAAUAUUGGUAUUCACUAAUUUUUUUUUUUUUCAUUUCACACCUCCAUCAUCAGUUGAGAUACCCUCUUGUAUGGUACUAACUUUGAUUUUCCUUAUGCUUCACUUGCUGUCUCUGCAGAUUCGUAAAAGAUCAUUUAUGGAUAAGAUCAUAACAUCAAUAUGAUACAGUAUGCAUUGAGAACUCCCACAUGAGUCUUGUUCUAGUUCUGGUUAGACAUGAAACAUGUUACAGUUCCAUAACUUGAGACAUUGUCAUUCAACAAUUAGCAUCGCAUUAAAACAGUGGCCAAUCCCUAACAGCUACCUUUUGACUCUUCACAUUUUUUUUCUGCAUUUUAUGCGUAUUAAUUAUCCAGACCUAGACUUACUCUUCUCAGCUUGGCCCGUUGGACAGUGAGUGAUGAAACAGAAAAUUUUUCAUGUUUAUUACUUUUCUUGCAUUCAAAAUGAUAAAACCGAAGAGGUUGUUGCAUGCACGUCAUUUGUUAGUAGGGGUAUCAAUUUAUGAACGUAUGAAGUAUCUCUUCUGCACUGGCAUCCUCCUUAACUGUCAGUAGGAUCACAAUAAGUCGACCAACCAUCUACCGUAUGGAUUAUCUAUAAAUUGAAAUUGGUGUGUAUUAUGGAUCUGUCACUCUGCUGCUUCUGUUUUCUUUUCUAUUUUUACCAAGAAAGAAACAUUGUUAAAACUGAAUGGUUGUUAUCUCGUCUUGUUGUAAUGUUGUGUAUGCUUUCUAGAAAAUAAUGAAGUGCCAAAUAUGAAAAUACUAGUGGCUACCUUACCAUCCUUAAUAAGUUGUCUGAUUGUCACCGUCAACAAUCACUCUCAGCAACUCAUAAUCCAUUUAAGCAUAUUAUAAAAUAAUCAAUUUUGUAUUUGCACCAACUUUUAGUUUUAAAUGACAAUUUCGUUGAUCCCCACACUUCUGUACUAAUCAAAUCCACUGAAACUGGACCUUUUUUUUUUUUUUUUUAUAAUUACAUCGAUUGCAUUGGCUAUUGCAGGGAAAAGACUGCCUCUACAGGGAACUAAACUUUCAGAAUUGUUCUUAUGAGGGUUUGAAUAUGCUCUCCUACUAGGUCAAUGGCCUAUUGGUUCGAGACCAUUCACAAAGAAAGAAAUGAGUUUUGCUUGUAUAAAUGAAAGAAAUCCAAAUGAUAACUAAUGUAUAGUGGUACAUGAGAAAAAUAAUUUCAGCCCUUGUGUAAAGUCAAAAAGAGAAAAUAUUAAAAGAAAGGAUAAUGUCAUUGAGUUGGUGAAGUGAAAGAAAAUGAAAAACAUGGGAUUUGGUCAAACUUAGUGUCCCAAUCAGCAGAAAAAGGUUUUAGAAACUCACCUCAAGUUAAGCCAACUAUUAGGAGCUUUAUUUAACCAUAGUUGCCUCAACAAUGACUGAUUCUCUUCCCCCCACCCACAUUGUAGCUUUCUAAUGUAUAAUAAUAACUAAUAUAAACUAGACUUGAUAAUGGGUGCUGACGAAACGGGGGCUACCUCUACGCUUGCAAAUGUAAAUGAAAUUGAGUUCAUGACGCACAAUGAAGUGAGCAAAAUGAGUUGAGAUCUGAGAAUAUAUUAAAGAAAAUAUGAACCGAUGAAUUUUGGUUAAAAAAAAAAAUGCUGGUUCUUCAAGACCUGCGUGUAUUGCGUAAAUUUUGUUAGGAAAAGGAAAGCAUUUUGUCUAAAACGCACUAAAUCAGAUUCAUUUGCUUGAUAUCUAAUAAGGGUGAAUUAACCACUCGGCCAUAGCAAUUAGGGGUGGGCAAAAUACCCGACCCGACCCGAUCCGACCCGAUCCGAUUCGAAAAAAAUCGGGUUCGGAUCGGAUCGGGUUGUAAAGAAAACCCGAUCGGGUGCAUUUGUGUCAACCCGAUCGGAUCAUGAUCGGAUCGGAUCGGGUUGACCCGAUCGGGUUGACACAAAAUAAAAAAAAAAAUUAAACCUCAAAUACACACCCCACACACACACCGGAACAUAUAUACGCCACACACACUAGAACACACACGCUGGAACACAUACACACCACACACACUGGAACACAUUACACAUACACACCACCCACGCACUGGAACACACACAUUGGAACACACACACUGGAACACAUACACACCACCCACGCCCUGGAACACACACACCACGCCCCCCACGCACUGGAACACACACACUGGAACACGAAGUGAACACCACACACACUGACACACCCACAGCCCCCUGCCGACCAGCAACAUAAUCGCCCACACCCACCCACAAGCCACAGCCUCCCUCUCUCGCAUCCCACUAUCGACGGAAACAAGCGACAGUUAUACAGCCCACUCCAACCGAGGCUACUCCGUGAGAAUGGUGACCCGAUCUACUGAUCUACUGCUACCAAGUACCGGAUCUGCUGCGCCACCUCCACGCCUCCAAUCCUCCGCCAUCACCCGAUCCGAUUCAAGCUCCAUUUGUCUGUUGAGUUUUGAAAGCUUUGGGUUGUUGCUGUAAAUGUGUAGAUCGUGUGUGUGUAAAUGGGUAGAUUGUGUGUAUUUUUUAUAUCCGACCCGAUCCGAUCCGAAUUAUAUUCGGAUCGGGUCGGAUCGGGUUAUAGAUUCGGGUUGAAUUCGGAUGAGUUCUCAUCUAACCCGACCAACCCGAAACCCGAUCGGGUUGAUCCGAACCCAAUUUUACCCACCCCUAAUAACAAUUCAAAUCCCCACAAAAGUAUUAUGGGGGCUCAUUUUCUUCUUUAAUUAUAACAAAUAAUUGAGCGGAGGAUAAAAAUCUAGGUCAUGUAUAAUAAUAACUAAUAUAAACUAGACUUAAUCAUAAUAUGUUUGUAAAUAUCAGUUGUAGUCUCAUACAAUAUAGGUUAUAGAUUAUAAUAUUAACAUAAAAAAAAAAGAUAUCUAACUGUCAAUCAAUAAAAUGACAAAAACUUAGGGUAACAUACCACAAAGUCAAUAUAGCUGGACGGAUGAAUAUAAUAUGUAAACAAAUUUAAAUGGGAUAAUACCAUACGGUACAUACAUAACAUUUUAAAACUGAAUUUAAAAAAAAAAUUAAAACUGAAUUGGAAUUCGUAUGUGUAUCCAGCUACCUUGCAACAGUUGUAAGGUACCCUAACUUUGCAACAAUUUCAUCCUUCGUGCAUUCAGUCACAAAGUCCAAAUUUGGCCCGUUUAAGAAUCGAACUGAAAAACUAAAAAAAAUGAAUCCGGCGAUAUUUGCGAACCGGAAACGAGCCAGCGUUAUGCUUAUGUCAUUUCAGAGAUAUCAACAGUCGUGCUUUCAGUCCUUAAACCUAGAAACAUUAUGGCUUUUCUCCUUAAACCUCAAGGGCAUUUUCAUCCUUUCACUCAAGCGUGAAACUGCAUGUAAGCACUGCUUCGCUUACACGCUCCAUGCACAUUUAAAGGCACCACUGUCGGAUAAAAAAUAUCUAUCCAUUUGAUCAUUUCAAAACAAAACGAAAAAAAAAAAAAAAUCUCAGGAAUUGAACUGAACGAGUCUCAGAAAUGGCAUCGAAAAGUAAGAUUCUAUUCAUCGGCGGGACAGGGUAUAUCGGUAAAUUCACUGUCGAAGCGAGCGUAAAAGCCGGCCACCCGACGUUCGUGCUCGUGAGAGAAUCCACAAUCUCUGGUCCUUCCAAAUCUCAACUCCUCGAUCACUUCAAAAACCUCGGCGUCAAUCUCGUCAUAGUGCGUUUUCAUUUUUCUCUUUUCUUAAUUUUUUAUUCCGAUCAUUUUUACACGUAGAAGUGUAGCAUCUACUACUUAAUAUACAUAAUGAUAUUAUUAUUUUUUAAUUUUUUUUGGUUGCUGUUAUUAUUAUGCAGGGAGAUGUGUUGAAUCACGAGAGUUUGGUGAAGGCGAUUAAACAAGUGGACGUGGUGAUAUCAACGGUCGGUCACACUUUAUUAGCUGAUCAGGUCAAGAUUAUUGCUGCCAUUAAAGAAGCCGGUAACGUUAAGGUAUAGCAUAAUUAAUAUUGUCAAUAAAAUUAAAAUAAUUAAUUAUAAACCAAUGGCAUGGACUCAAUUAAUUAAUUGAUGUUGAAUGUGAUUAUUAUUAUCCAGAGAUUCUUCCCUUCUGAAUUUGGAAAUGACAUUGAUCGAGUCCACGCCGUUGAGCCAGCAAAGUCUUUAUUUGCCAUAAAGGCGAAAAUCCGCCGAGCCGUUGAGGCUGAAGGCAUUCCGUAUACUUACGUAGCAUCGAAUCUCUUUGCUGGCUACUUCCUUCCCAAUUUGUCGCAGCCUGGGGCCACUGCCCCACCUAGGUAUAAAGUUGUCAUCUUAGGCGAUGGAAAUCCAAAAGGUAUGAAUUUAGGUCAUUGCUUAUAGCAAGACUGUUGAAAUAACCAUGAUUAAGGCUCCGUUUGUUACUACGGUGUUAAUUUUAUGGCCUAAAACUGCUGUACAAUGGAAGGUGUAGCAACCUAACUUACGCUCUGUUCGGUGUGGUUGUUGCAUAGCUGUAACUUAAAGUUAACUGCAAAAGUGUUUGAUGAAUAUUUGCAGACUUAACUUUAAACCGAGAUGAUUUUAUCCAACAUUUGUCUGAUUAAAACUUAUGAUCCCUAAGAAGUUUGUCAAAAUAUAUAUAUAUAUAUAUAUAUAUAUAUAUAUAUUAAAUGGAGCACCUCAAUACUAAAUGAAUCCAUGUAUUCAACUUUGGAUAGACUUUUAAAUAAUGACCAAACACUUUAGCUGUUAAAUUGCCACAUCACAGCUGCAACACAAUAAUUCCAAACGUCUUCAUUGCAAAAUAGUUGAAUGAAUCUAAAUCCACUGGCUUCGUCAUUUGAUUUUCAGCGAUCUAUAACGAGGAAAAUGAUAUUGGAACCUACACCAUCAAAGCGGUUGAUGAUCCGAGAACCUUGAACAAAAUCCUUUACAUUAAACCCCCUGGUAAUAUUUACUCAUUCAAUGAUCUUGUGUCCUUGUGGGAGAGAAAGAUUGGCAAAACCCUCGAUAGGGUGUACGUUCCAGAGGAGCAAGUCCUAAAGAAUAUUCAGGGUUAGCUAUAAUUCUUACUGUUUGAGGGAAAAGUAGGAAAGAUAAUAGAGCGCCACGUGUCAGCCAAUGGAAUGAUAUCAGCACAAUCGGAGGUACCCUGCAUAAUCCGAGGUGCCCGGCAUGACUUGAGGUACCCCGUAUAAAUAGAGGUACCCUGCACAAUUAGAGGUAUCCCACACAAAUAGAGGUACCCCAUAUAAUAUGAGGUACCCCAUACAAAUAGAGGUACCCCAUACAGAUAGGGGUACCCCGCGUAAUUGGGGAUACCCCAUGUAAUUCGAGGUAUCCGGAAAAGCGAAUGCAAGAGAAUCCACCAAAAAUACCCGCCAUGAGAAACGUCUCCGCCUCCUAAAAGAUAUCAUUUGAUUUUGUCAGAAUUAGGAAUCAAAAGCGACGUGCUAAAAGGAGGGACAGCCGCCUGCUACCUCUGCCAAAAGUGAAGGACACUGUCCCAAGGACAGUGGUCCCUAGCCGCCUACCCGACAGCUACUGCAGAGGUACCCUGGACCACUCUCCAGCGCGCGCCACGUUUCCAAAAGAUGAGAUACGCCGCGAACAUUCAAAUAACGGCCCAAAAACAAUUAUAAAGAGGUAAAAGGACGUUAGCCAAAAAGGGUAUGCCACGUGGCAGCUGAGGUACUCCAUAUAUAAAGGUGCCUAGGUUUCAUUCUAGGGCAUGCUCUCAUUCGCCCAAAAACACUCACACUCCAAAAAAGAGGUUUUCUUCAACCUUAAACCCUAAUUUACAGAGGGCUAGCUAGCUCUCUUUGCCAUAAAAGCUUGAGUUUGCUAACUUGAGCGUCGGAGUGUGAACGCCGGGGUACCCCGGCUUUACCUCUAACCUCUAUUUCACUGUUUUGCAGGCGUGGAGCUCAUUUGGAAGGACACCUCUCUUGUUUAUGACCUUUCACCAUUGUUACCACUCUCUCUCCCCUUCUCACCUCCCCAGAAUUUCAGAUACACCGCACCGCACCGCACACAACAAACCAGUGAGGUACCCCAUCUCCCCUCAAAAUAACAAAUUUAUUGUUCUAGAUUGGUUUGGUUUUUCUUACCCCAAAAUCAGUUGAAAACAAUUGGCGCCGUCUGUGGGGAAGUCGCACAAAAAGCCUCCACCGAGGUUACCAAACUAGUUGUUGUGUGUACUCCAAUACAUGGCACCCGACGUACCUCCCGAAGGUUUAAUGGGGGAUCCUACAAGGAUGAGAGAUGACAGCAGCAGUGAAGAUAGUGAUCCCGCAAGAAGGGUAGCCCGCAUCAGCAAGGGCAAAGGUAUCAAGCAAUCGACAGGUGUUCGCCAAGAAGAGGAACCUAUUUCGCACAAGCGUUUUGAGGAUCUUGCCCACGCAAUACUUAGGGCGGUCGGAUCUCGAGCACCCGAAAGUUCGCUUCCACCAGUGAUGCUAGAAGCUCCGCCACCUCAAACGGACGACCAAGCUAUGGUCAGAAGAGGGGUACCCGAGGCCAGCAAGCCAAAGCCUAGGCCAUCGGGUACCCAUUCUAAGUUUCAAACCGUGGGCUCUCGCGACGAGCGUUCCACCGCCUCUUGCAAUUCCCGCAGCAGCCAGGGUACGAGGCGUGCAAAGCGUACCCACGAGGAUCUCCGUGAGAAGCUAAAUGCCAAAAGGGCUUCUCAAAUGGCGGCGACAUCAUCGGGUACACCGAGGGUACCCCUCGAACUUGUGGAAAAGAUGGAGAACCUAGAAGCCCAAGUGAAGCUCCUCUCCGAGAAGCAAAACAUCACAGCUGCACCAACACCAAUGACCUACCAGUCACCAUUCACUAUGGAGAUUAGGACGGCAGCUCUCCCCGAGGCGUUCGCCAUGCCUCAGAUACCCCAAUACUCGGGUACCACUGAUCCCUCGGAGCAUGCUGAGUUAUACCGCGACCAAAUGCUUAUCAAGGGUGUAGAUGAGAGCGCCAUGUGUAGGAUGUUUACCCACACACUCACGGGCCCCGCGAAGUCAUGGUUUCGCUCUUUGAAAGCGGGUAGCAUAUCUUCCCUACACCAAUUGCUAUCCGAAUUUACUAAAGAGUUUUCCUAUGCAUCCACUCAAGAUAGGGUAGCCUCCAAACUUGCCUUUAUCAAGCAAGGGGAAGCCGAGCCUUUGGCGGAGUAUGUGAGUCGUUUCCACCAAGAGGUGCUGCGAACCGGAGCAUUUGGAAACCAAUACACAUUGACCCAUUUUGAGAAAAAUUUGAGGUUGGGCAAGUUAUGGCGUUCUUUUCAAAAGAAGCGCCCACUUUCAUAUGGGGAAGCCCGUUCUCGGGCGUUGCAGCAAGUGGAGAUGGACGAAAAAUGCCAAUUGAAGCGCCAAGAAGAUAAGGUCGAUGUUACAAAGAAUAAGGAGAAGCCCAAGAGAGUGGAGGCCCCAAUACCUAGGGUACCCCGAGCACGGAGCCCUCCACGGGUUGCCCUGCGGGGACGAGGGUAUAACCCUCAGGGUACCUCAAGGGUACCCCAACCUCCAAGAUCGCCACCACCGGAUCAGCGAGAGCCACCACCAAGGCCUCGGUACGAGUCUUACCACCCACUGAAUCGAUCUCCAGAGCAGAUAUUCUAUCAUAUUCGGGAUAGCGGCCUCCUCCGUCCUCCUAAGCCAAUGAAGAAGUACCCCAACAUGAAGCGUAGCCUGAAGUAUUGCGAGUUCCAUGAGGACUUUGGUCACAGCACAGCCGAGUGCUUCACCUUGCGAGAGGAAAUUGAAUCUUUGAUUCUCAGCGGGUACCUCAAAGAAUUUGUUACUGGCAUGAGAGAAGCUCGGAAAUCUGCGGAGCAGGAUAAGGGCAAGCGGGUAGCUGAUGGUAGCCUUGAACGAGAGGUACCCCCUGGACACAAGAAAGGCGUGUAUGUCCGGAUGAUCAUGGGCGGACCGACUUUAGCGGGCCAAUCUAGGAGGGCUAUCAAAGGCUAUGGUAGAUCGUUGUCGAUAACCACCAAUAUGGGCAGAGAAGUCAACCUUAAUGAAUGGGGUACACCGAAGGUACCCCACCAUCCCCCGCCUAUCUUUUUUACAGAAAAAGAUGCGGAGGGCAUCUCGUACCCCCACGACGAUGCCUUCGUAAUUACCCACUGGUAAGGUAGCAAGAACUCUCGUAGAUACCGGUAGCUCCGUUGACAUCAUUUUCAAAAGCGCAUUGGAUCAACUAUUGAUUGAGUCGCCAAAGAUCACCCCAUAUGCUACGCCUCUUAUUGGGUUCGCCGGAGAUAUGGUUAUACCAAAAGGCAUCAUUACGCUGCCCGUUACACUUGGUAAGGUACCUCACCGUGUUGUUCAUAUGAUUGAUUUUCUUAUUGUAGAUCACCCGGGUGCCUACAAUAUUAUAUUGGGUAGGCCGUUCUUAGUAGCAACUAAAGCGGUGGUAUCCAUGCACUACCUCGCCAUGAAAGUCCCAGCCGCCCAAGAAGUUAUCACCAUUAAAGGGGACCAGCAAUCGGCUCGUGGAUGUUAUUCUGUGGCCUUCAAAGUCACUUACCAAAUAGCUUCUGAUCCGCCAAUGAAGGGGUACCCCAGUGGCAGCCAGCCCACACCUUCCCCUUCAAAGCGAGCACUUGCUAGACAGCGGAGAGCAGUACUCAAAAAAUCUCCUCAGGUAGCCCACCCACGAAAACAGUUGGAGUCUUCACCAAUGGGGGUAGAAGCAGUUACGGGGGAUAGCUCGAGGGUACCCCACGGGGACCAGGAGGAGCCCAGAUGUGAAGUUGAGGCACCUUUGGAUCCCCGAAUAUUGAAAGAUGAAAAGCGGGGUACCCCAGUUGAAGACCUUAUUUCAGUCUCGAUUUGUGCCACCGACCCAACAAAGACAGUGAAAGUAGGCUCCAACCUCUCGGAAGAACAAAGAGAGAAGCUCAUCACAUUUCUACGCGAGCACCACGAUGUAUUCGCUUGGUCCCACUCGGAUAUGCCGGGUAUCCCACCUUCCCUCUCUUGUCACAAACUCAAUGUCAGCCCGCAUAAUAAACCGGUCAAACAGAAGCAUCGCGCCUUCAACCAAGAGAGGUAUGAUGCAAUUGAACAAGAGGUAGACCGCCUAUUAGCCGCAAGGUUUAUCCGGGAAGCAGUGUACCCUGAUUGGGUAUCCAACGUUGUUCUAGUCAAGAAAUCAAACGGAAAGUGGCGCAUGUGUGUGGACUUCACUGAUUUGACCAAGUCCUGCCCCAAGGAUAGCUUCCCGCUUCCUCGGGUGGACCAGCUGGUUGAUGCAACAGCGGGGCAUGAGAUGCUUAGUUUUAUGGACGCCUUCUCCGGGUACAACCAAAUUCCGAUGUAUGAACCCGAUCAAGAGAAAACGGCUUUCAUCACCAACCGUGGAUUAUACUGUUAUAAGGUUAUGCCAUUCGGUUUGAAGAAUGCCGGGGCUACCUAUCAACGGCUGGUGAACAAAAUUUUCAAGGAACAAAUCGGGCGCACCAUGGAGGUGUACAUAGACGAUAUGAUCACCAAAUCGGUGCAUGCGGGGGAACACUUGGGGCACCUCAGAGAUACCUUUACCGUUUUGAGAAAACACCAUAUGCGGCUUAACCCUGAAAAGUGUGCAUUCGGGGUCACCUCGAGAAAAUUUCUUGGGUUCAUGGUACAACAGCGGGGGAUUGAAGCCAACCCCGAUAAAAUUCGCGCGGUUCUUGACAUGAAAUCGCCAAGCACCAUCAAGGAGGUUCAAAGCUUGGCGGGCCGGGUAGCUGCUCUGAGCCGCUUCAUCUCCAAGGCUACUGACCGGUGUAAGCCUUUUUUCAAAGCUUUGAAGACUGGCAAGAAGCUCCAAUGGACACCCGAUUGCGAAGAGGCUUUCCAAGAACUGAAGGGGUACCUCGUGAAUGCUCCACUACUUGCCAAACCUGAGCCGGGAGAGGUGCUUUUGUUGUAUCUCGCCGUAUCUGAGCAUGCCACCAGCUCUGUGUUACUCCGAGAGGAUGAUAAUGGGGUACAACGACCUAUUUACUACACUAGUAAGGCUAUGGUUGAUGCCGAAAAGAGGUACCCCACAUCUGAGAAGAUCAUUUUGGCAUUGGUGGUCUCCGCACGGAAGCUCAGACCAUAUUUUCAGGCUCACACCAUUGCGGUCGUCACCAACCUUCCCCUUCGGCAAAUCCUCCAGAAGUUAGACAUGUCCGGAAGGCUUCUCCGAUGGUCCCUUGAAUUAAGCGAGUUCGACAUAAUUUUCAAGCCUCGUUUGGAGAUUAAAGCACAGGCCAUCGCUGAUUUUAUUGCGGAAUUCGCCAAUGACUCAAGUGGUGAAGGUGACUUGAGAUACCUGUUAGAUACCCCACCCACCGAUGAACGGGGGCAGGUCUGGGAAAUAUAUGUAGACGGUUCCUCUAACUCACACGGAAGUGGUGCAGGAGUUAUUAUAAUCGACCCGAAUAAGGUGAAAAUAUGCUACGCCUUGCAAUUUGGAUUCAAGGCUUCAAACAACGAAGCCGAAUACGAGGCCAUCAUAGCGGGGCUGAGGAUGUCGAAGGCUUUGGGAGCGAAAAGGGUACACGUCAAGAGCGACUCCCAGUUGGUGGUAAGCCAAAUUACCACACAAUAUCAAGCGAAAGAGGAAAACAUGAAAGGGUACCUCGGGAAAACCAGAGAGUUGAUGUCCCAAUUUUGUGAGGUUAAGGUGGAACGGGUACCCCGACUGGAGAACAGCGAAGCCGACACCCUAGCGAAAAUGGCAUCCCUUGGGAUAGCCCAAUCAUCUGGCCCCAUCACAACAGAACACAUACCCGCACCCAGUGUUGGUCUCCCAGAGCCAUUGGAAGUAGGAUGGCUGUCCAACGAGGGGCUUUGGAUGGAGCCUAUCAUAAGGUACCUCAAGGACGGAGACCUCCCCUCCGAUAAAAGUGAAGCAAGAAGAUUAAAGUAUAAAGCUGCCCGGUAUUGCUUGAUCCAGGGUACCCUAUACAGAAGAGGCUUCACUCUUCCUUAUCUUAAAUGCUUGGGAAGCGACGAGGCCGAGUAUGUCAUGAGGGAGAUACAUGAGGGGAUUUGUGGCAAUCAUUAUGGAGCACAAUCACUGGCGCAAAAAGCUCUCCGUCAGGGGUACUACUGGCCAACCAUGCGGGAAGAUGCCAAGAAUAUGGUACGAAGCUGUGACAAAUGCCAAAGGUUCGCCAGGGUACCCCACCUACCCCCAGAGAAGCUAACAGUUAUAUCUUCCCCUUGGCCCUUUGCUAUGUGGGGAGUGGACCUCAUUGGCCCGUUACCUACCGGGAGGGGACAAGCAAAACAUGCAAUCGUGGCGGUAGAUUAUUUUACAAAAUGGGCGGAAGCGGAGCCACUAACAAGCAUCACAGAAAGGAAAACCACCGAAUUCAUUUGGAAGAACCUCAUUUGCAGAUUUGGAAUCCCCUAUGCAAUUGUCAGUGAUAACGGCAAGCAAUUCGAUAAUGACAAAUUUCGAAGCUUUUGUUCGGAGUUGGGGAUCGCCAACCGAUUUGCUACACCUGCCCAUCCCCAAUCUAAUGGGCAAGUCGAAGCCGUUAACAAGAUUAUCAAAGGUAUCCUGAAGAAGAAGCUAGAAGAAAGAAAGGGAGCAUGGGUAGACGAGCUACCUGGGGUACUGUGGGCGUACCGAACUACUCAAAACACCUCCACCAGGGAGACCCCGUUUUCCCUCACAUUCAGUGUUGACGCAGUGAUUCCAGCAGAAAUUGGGGUACCCUCUCACAGGGUUGAAUACUUUGAUGAGGCCGAGAACACCUCCUUGGUUGCUUCAAACCUUGAUUUGGUGGCUGAAAAAAGGGCAAGAGCAGAAUUGAGGACCACCAUAUAUCAGCAUCGCAUUUCGGGUCUAUAUGAAAAAAGGGUACGCCCUCGAUCCUUCAAGAAAGGAGACUUGGUCUUGAGAAGGGUAACUCAGAACACUAGGGUACCCUGCGAAGGCGCUUUUGGGACGAAUUGGGAAGGACCCUACCGCAUCGACAAACCCGUUGGGACAGGUGCAUACAGGCUACUCCACAUGGAUGGCACAAUAGUGAGGCACCCCUGGAAUGCUGCAAUGCUACGGAAAUAUUACUAAAGGACAGUGUCUUAACCUUUAGUCUUUUGCUUUAUUUAAUGCUUUCUUUAAUGUUUUUGGGUGGUAGGCCAAAUGGGGUACCCCAAAUGCCCUAUGUUGGUCAGUUGCAACUUUAGAAGUUUCUUUAAUUUUCAAAUGAAAAGAGUAGGAGGUCUUGCGGUCUCCCAUUCUCCUUAGGAUAACAAAGCUAAGUCAUGUACUGAUCAACGCUUUCGUUAUCUAUAAAUGCAUUUUCUUUCUUUGCAAGUAUGAUAUCUCCUUUAUUUUUCGCCAUUUCGAUCUUAGAAUACGGAUUAUAUUCACUUAUCGCCAUUAAUAUACCCUUGCAUCUGGUUAUAUGCAAUUCUCGCCAUACGCUUGUCAAUUAUGACUAACCAAACACAGGACCAGUCAGGGUACCUGAUAUGCCAAGAUCGUGACGAUCUAUGUAAAGCCAAGAGGGGCAACAGAGGGAACAGCCCAGGGAUAGCCUUUCUGCGGAAGCAGGACCGAGCUACAUAGACAAAGAGAGGGAGGGUCAAAGAGGACCCGAGGGUGAAGAAAAACCGUCAUACCCUAGCGGCACGAGGUUCGGCUUAGGUAUGAGAACACCCACACCUCCGUCCUCGUACUUGAGCAAAGUAGGGGGUAAGCUAUUCAAAAAUUCGGAGAGAACUUCGAAAGAAUAAGAAAUUGAUUGGUUGGACCAAUUACGCACUUUCAAUUUUUGAUCGAGAUGUCGCGAUGAUGUUUUGAUGACCUAUUUGUGGGAAAUCUGCCAAGGUUGCCGAGAAGGGCAUGCACCAAACUCGCCGAUCUGUGUAAACCAGCAGGCGCCUGAUGCUGAAUCGUUGUUAAGGUACCAGGGGUACCCCAUUUCAAAAAAAUGAGAGGUACCCUAAGCAUUUACAAGAUAACAGUUUAGCCAAGCAUUCAUUUGCAAAAUAACAAGAAUGCAAAGUAUAAAAGGGCUCGGUGGCAUAGUAUCAUAACAAAAGUGAAGUCUCAAUCAUACAAAAUAUCCCAGGAAACCAAAAGGAAAGAAACAAGGUCCAAACAACAAAAUAUGGAUAGAUCCGAAAAACAAGGGCACAAUGAAAAGGCUACACCGAGGGGGGAACGCCAUCCCCAACAUCCGUCUCUAGAGGGCGAUCUGCAGAGGACUCCGAGGUACCCGGAAUAUGAGCAGCCGAAGUAGGGGCAUCCGAGGCAGGCAACGGCUGGAGCGCACGGGGUACCCUAGGCGACCCGGAAGGGGUACCCGACCGUGCCUGAGAAGACUUCUUCCUUUCUGCAAUCGUCUUCAGAAUCGUAGCCUUGUUGACAAAUUUCUGCACGCGGGGUACCUCCAACUCCGGAUCCACACUCUACACCUCCGUCAUGAUGAGUGAGAAUGCAUCCUCCGCCAUCGUCUUUUGUCGAGAUAGCAGAUCUCCGUUGGUGGCCCUCAACUCCUCACAAUCCUUCUCCACCCUAGCUUUCUCUCCCGACAGGCCAGCAAUGCGUUCUUGCAGAGUUUUAACUUCUCGAGCGAGCUGAUCCUCACGAGAUUGAUGGCUUUGAAGCUCACUCCUUAACUUGUUGACCUCUGACUGUGCGACAACAAGGGAGUCGAGAUCCGGAAGGUAGUGGCUAAGGAGAAAGGAUGCCUGCGGGUCAUGAAAGACAUGUUAAAUAUAUGUGUAUGACAAAAAAGAUUAAAUAAGUAAAAAGAAAAUGAUGAAGAGUACACCCGGGGUACCCCGGGAAAGCCUACCUCUUGGGUAGCCCUAAGUGCUUGACCGUAACGCUGGCUCAAGCUCAUCUUGUCAGCCUCUUCAGCAACCUCGGAGGUAACAUUUUCAGCAGAGUAGUAAAAGUGGCGAGCCAAGUGCGAAACCUCCUUGUUAGAAGCCGGGUCUAAGUCACCCUCACGUAACUCAUCAGGGAAAGUAGAAACCAGCCCGAAUUUUCUCUUCUUCGAGCGAGGGGUACCUUUCGACCCGCUGUGGGAGGUGCCCUGAGAUUUCCCCUUUGGACCGGGAGCUCGAGGAGGUCGGGAGCCUUUCGGGGGUACCGCCGAAUCCUGAGAUCCGGAAGCACCGCCCACUACCGCUUGGAAGAAGGCGUCAAAAGCGUCACCCGUCGAUUCCAUGACUGCACCCAAUGCACAAAAGUUAUGUUAGCUGGACAAGUACUAAGUACUGCAAAAGUAAAAAAUGGGAAAAGGAAAGCGGGGAAGCGAAACGAAGAAUGCAAUGAUAAUGGGGUACCCCAGUCCCAUAAGUAAUAAUAGGAUACCCCCCGACACCCAAAUCAUACAUGAGUCACCCCCAGGAGCAGGUGUAGGACUUCGGUCAAUCAGCCCCGCUCUCCAUAAUCGGCUCUCCUCCAGCACAUCACUACCCCUAUGUGCACCUCGAAGCCUGUCCACAAACUUCUUCACCUCUCUCCCCACCUCCUGAACUGGGCAUGAUCCUUUAGCCCAUGUCACACCUGCGAAAGCAUAAAGAACUCAAGGUUAGCGAGACAUUCAGGCGAAAGAUUCCGAUAAAGAACCAUAAGUAAGGGAGAUACUUACAGUCUACGUUGAAGGAAUGGGGAACCUCCACGGAGUCGCCCUUCUCACCCAGAGUCUCUGUCCCCCACCUACCCUCAGCGACAAACCAUCCCUUUCGGUAACCCUUCUUCAAGGCGGGGUUCCCCUCAACGAUGUAGCCAUGAUCACCCCAGGGGGAGAAGUAAGCAAUGCCGGGACCCUUAGGCUUCUUGAAUUGGUAAAGGCCCCUCAACUCCCGAACAGAAAUGUCGCGCUUCACGACCUCCAACCAUAACACAUGUAAGCCCGUCAGUGUCCUCCACCCUGGAAGGGACAGCUGCCCAGGAGCUACCCCCAAAUAACUAAACAUUUUCAUAAAGAAUGGUUGGAGGGGCAGGCGGAGUCCUAGAUCGAAGAGGUCGAUAUGGAGAGCAAUCCCAUCAGACUUUGGACACUCGGGUCGCUCAUCUACAUGGGGUACCCUAAGCUGGACAGACGGAGGAAUAUUGUAUUUGGCUCUAAUUUGUUCUAAGUCCCCUAAAAUAGCCCUCAUAAUGCCUAGGGAAAAAGGGUUGCUAGAUUUUGAAGGUGUGGCAGGGGGAGACUUAGGCGGCUGGACCGAGGAACGAGCUGGAACCUUAGGCUUGGUUGGCUUACCCUUCUUUCGAGGAUGGGGGGUAGGCCGUUUACUAGGAAAGCGUGGGCUGACACGAGGGGUACUCCUAGGGGGAGGGGGCUCAGAACGAGAAUUACAACUCUUGGAGGAACUAGGAGGGGACCGAUCCCCCUCGCUAAUGGAGAUGUGGGAAGGGGAACCCGCAGAAGGGCUGUCAACCCUACUAGCCCCAACUUUACGUCGUUUCAUCACGGGUCCCGUGUGUUUCUUACCCAUCUACUUUCCCCCAACAACACAUCCACAAGCCCCCAACAACACAUCCACAAGUUCCCCAAACAACACAUCCACAAGCCCCCAACGACACAUCCAGCAAACCACACGUUUCCCAAACAGCAACAUGUCCAUACCAAGCACCAUCCACCACACAUCAACCACCAAAUGCAAACACCAACCAACAAAAAAAAAAAAAAAAAAACAAACAAACACAACAAAAACCAAAAAUAAAUUUUUCUCAGAGUAUGCAAAAUAGCGCCACUGUAAAUACGCCAAAGGAGGAGAAAUGAUGAGGGAUACCUAUGGUUCACCAACUCAGUAGAUCGGGAUUGAAAAUCGUGGCAAGACGAAGCUGCAGGCAACCAAAAACAGUAAGUAAAAAUAUGCAAGUAUAAAAAUAAAAAAUAAAGCUUAUAUAUAUGUAAUUGUUUAUAAAUAAGUAAAUAAAUAAAAUGAAGAACGAAGAAGCUGCAGUAACCGGCGUCGGCUGUAAUGGCUGCAACCACCGAGAACCGACGCCGACCGCCGUAGCCACCGAACCGACGCCGAUCGCCGCAGCUGCCGCCACCAAGAAGAACCGACGUCGGAAAAAUGCAAAGGAGGACGUCGGCCAAAAAAAAAAAAAAAAAAAAAAAAAGAGAAAAAUCGAGAAGCUGCAGCCGUUAAACUAACGCCGGAAACCACCAAACCGACGCCGGCUGCCGCAGCUGCAGCCACCGAACCGACGCCGGCCGCAACCACACCAAACCGACGCCGGAAAUCACAGAGAAAAACACCAAGCCGAAACGAAAAAGAGAAAAGAAAAAGAGAGAAGAAAAAGAGAGAAGAAAAAGGAAGGAAGAGAGAAAGCACCAAGGGAAAAAUGAAGAAACGAUGAAGGGGAGGGUUACCGUGUGUAUCGCCGGACUGAGAUCUCGCCGUGAGCCGCCGGAAAUCGCCUUGAACCGACCAGAUCUGGAGCCCAAAACCGCCACUGCAGCAGCCGAGAUCCACGCCGGAAAACGUACUAGAUCAACGCCAGCCGAGAGAGAAAUAGAAAAAAGAAUGAAAGAAAAGGAAGAAAGAAAAGAGAGAAAGAGAAAGAAGAGAAAACGGAAAGAGAAGGAAAUAAAAGAAAAAGAGGGAAGAAAGAAUAAAACCUAGGGGAAGACGAAAGGAAGUAAAAAAAAAAAAAAAAAAAAAAAUUUUUUGAUGAUGUUGAUGCAUUUAGAAGAAGAGACGAAAUUAUGGAAGAAAAAGGCUACUGGAAAUAAUCAAUUUUUUGGAGUUCGUUUGGGGAUUUUCAAAAUUUUGACACACGUCAGGAGUUUUAAAUUCAACCUGACAGAACACGUUGCCCAAGAAAGGAGUUCGGGGAUGUCUGAGUGAGAUUUGUAUUUUCAAAAUUCAAACUGCGUGUCAGACGGCUGCCACUUCCCAAGAAAAAGGAGAGAGACAUAUGAAGACAACUGUUCUUUCUCAUCGUCAAAAAAAAAAAAAAAAAAGCGGGAAAAGGAAAAGACAAAGAGACGACUUUUAGUUUGAAGUACACAAAGUUUAGUCAAGGGAAGAAGCUAAGCAAGGUACCCUCCGGUCCGGCCGCGUCGCCACGUGUCACUCAUACAAUGAGUUUCUUUUGCCUCCAAUACUUCUCACCAAAAAGAAACUAGGGGGAUGUUGUUUGAGGGAAAAGUAGGAAAGGUAAUAGAGCGCCACGUGUCAGCCAAUGGAAUGAUAUCAGCACAAUCGGAGAUACCCUGCAUAAUCCGAGGUGCCCAGCAUGACUUGAGGUACCCCGUAUAAAUAGAGGUACCCUGCACAAUUAGAGGUAUCCCACACAAAUAGAGGUACCCCAUAUAAUAUGAGGUACCCCAUACAAAUAGAGGUACCCCAUACAGAUAGGGGUACCCCGCGUAAUUGGGGAUACCCCAUGUAAUUCGAGGUAUCCGGAAAAGCGAAUGCAAGAGAAUCCACCAAAAAUACCCGCCAUGAGAAACGUCUCCGCCUCCUAAAAGAUAUCAUUUGAUUUUUUCAGAAUUAGGAAUCAAAAGCGACGUGCUAAAAGGAGGGACAGCCGCCUGCUACCUCUGCCAAAAGUGAAGGACACUGUCCCAAGGACAGUGGUCCCUAGCCGCCUACCCAACAGCUACUGCAGAGGUACCCUGGACCACUCUCCAGCGCGCGCCACGUUUCCAAAAGAUGAGAUACGCCGCGAACAUUCAAAUAACGGCCCAAAAACAAUUAUAAAGAGGUAAAAGGACGUUAGCCAAAAAGGGUAUGCCACGUGGCAGCUGAGGUACUCCAUAUAUAAAGGUGCCUAGGUUUCAUUCUAGGGCAUGCUCUCAUUCGCCCAAAAACACUCACACUCCAAAAAAGAGGUUUUCUUCAACCUUAAACCCUAAUUUACAGAGGGCUAGCUAGCUCUCUUUGCCAUAAAAGCUUGAGUUUGCUAACUUGAGCGUCGGAGUGUGAACGCCGGGGUACCCCGGCUUUACCUCUAACCUCUAUUUCACUGUUUUGCAGGCGUGGAGCUCAUUUGGAAGGACACCUCUCUUGUUUAUGACCUUUCACCAUUGUUACCACUCUUUCUCCCCUUCUCACCUCCCCAGAAUUUCAGAUACACCGCACCGCACCGCACACAACAAACCAGUGAGGUACCCCAUCUCCCCUCAAAAUAACAAAUUUAUUGUUCUAGAUUGGUUUGGUUUUUCUUACCCCAAAAUCAGUUGAAAACACUUACUUUUUAAAUUUUAUCAAAGAGAGCAAUAAAUUUUGUGCCUUAUUGAUACUGUCUUCCCCAAAAUGUUGCAGAAGCUGCACCAGCUGCACCUCCAGUCGACGUGAUAUUAUCAGUUCAGCGCUCUGUUUUCGUGAAGGGAGAUCAAACCAACUUCGAGAUUGAACCAUCGUUUGGAGUUGAGGCGUCGCGGCUUUAUCCUGGUGUCAAAUACACUACAGUUGAUGAGUACCUCAAUCAGUUUGUGUAACCCUACUCUGCUGAGCUACAGCUUGCGGGACCUUAGGAAAUAAAUAAUUGGCUUGUUGCCAUCUUAAUUAUAUAUAUAUAUAAACAUUAUGGUUGUUGGUUGUUGGCCUUUCUUUUGGUUUUCGAUGGAAUUUGUAACACCAUAUUAUGCCCGCUACGUGAGUACACCAGUGAUCAAGUAAAGUAGCCCUAUGUGCCUGAUAUAAAAUAAUUAUAAAGUCAGAAACACCUAGAAAUUAAAAGGUAAUUCAUCAACAUUUGUCACGUAAAAUUUACUUUAUGGAAGAGAGAUUCCAGGAACCAACUUUAUGAGUGAGAAAAGUGUAAAAAUCCAAGAUAUAUAAGAAUCAAUAAUGAUACAGCCACAAAUUAUUGUAGAAAUCUUUUUGUACAAAUUAUUGUAGAAAUCUUUUUGUACAACCUGAGUUGGCAGCUGAUGGGUACUAACCACGUCACUUAGUUAAAUCACCCCAAGUUAACGGCGUAAAAGCUUUUUUUUAACUAUUUUCCUAUUUCUCCCAUUCACGUCUUCGCGAGCUCCUUGGACGACGGCUCCAACAUCUCUCUCUUUUGCCGGCGACAAUCUUUGCUGGUUUCGCUCUAUUUUACGACAACAAUCUUCCUAUGCCAUCGAAUGUUUUUUGGGUAUGUCCUAUAAGAUUUUAUUUUUAGAUCUAGAACUAAUAAUAUUCAUUAGAUUAAACCAGUCGAAGUUAUCAAAACUUCAACAAAAUCCACUAAGGAGAGAGAGAAAGUAAAGAAAUUGAAAUAAUAAUUAUUAGGGAUAUUAUUAUUUUCCCACCAAAGGUAUUCUGACACAUCAUGUCAGUACCACGGUUUGGUAAAACCAUCAAUUUAUUACCAAACGUUUAAACUGUUAGUAUUUUCCCACCAUUCCGUUAAAACUCAGUUAAUAUGUAACAGAAAAUUAAUAAAAGGUCAAUUUUAUCCCUGGAGCGUAAAAGACCAUGUAAUUAACCUUUUAUGAAUUUUAUAAUUAAAUCAUCAUUUGCUGUUCUUCCUUCUUAAAUGGUAAAAAUUACUUUUUAUGAAUUUUGUAAAAUUGACCGUGUGGUGCUAGGUACUUCAUAAAUUGAUUUAAUUUAUUUAAUUUUUAUAAAUUUUAAAGGGAAAUUUUAUUUAUUAAAUUGACGAGCUAAAGACAAUUUAUUCUACUACUAAAAAUCAAUUUAUGAAAGGGAAAAAAAAGAAUGUGCAAAAGAAGCAAUUUAAUCUUUGAUAUGAUGAUAAUAAUUUUACACAAAAAAUUAAAUAAAUAAANNNNNNNNNNNNNNNNNNNNNNNNNNNNNNNNNNNNNNNNNNNNNNNNNNNNNNNNNNNNNNNNNNNNNNNNNNNNNNNNNNNNNNNNNNNNNNNNNNNNGAUGGAGAGUUUUUUAAUUUUUUUCAAAAUGGGGGUUGUUUUUUUUUUAAAAAAAGAAAAAGGGGUUUAAUUCCCCCCCCCCCCCCCCCCAAACAAAAGACUCAAAUUCAAUUAGAAAAAAAUCGAAAUAAUAAUGGCACAUCAUGGAAGAUUGUAAAGAAAAUACCCUUAAACUAUCUGGCAAUUUUAUAGACCAACCGAAAAAAAAAUAUGGUGGCAAAGGAAGAUUGUAAACGAAGAGCCGAAGUCAUAAAAGGAGCCCGCGAAGUCGUGAAGUCAGAGAAACAGAAAAACAAAAAUUAAAAAAGAAUGCUUUUAAUUUGAAUUUAUAAACCGUAUAGGUUUAACUCCGUUAGCUUAGGUUUACUUACCUUGAUGAUGUGGCCAAAGCCAUAUCAGCUGCCAACUUAGGUUGUACAAAAAUAUUUGUACAAUAGUUUGUGGUUGUAUCAUUAUUGUAUAAGAAUAUAAGAGCCAGAUCAUGUUGCAUUAAAUUCAUGAGUUGUGUCUCAUGAUAACUCAAUUAUUUCACAUGUUGCCAUUCUUUAAUUUUGAAUAACAACAAUACUAUAUGUUACAUAUAAUUUAACAUAGUAUGACCUUUUUUCUAAUAUUAUUUUAAUUGAUUUGAAAUUCUGGAACUAAAAAUUGAAAAGAAUGGACCGGACAUUGUUAUGAUCCAAAAACAAGCCAGUAUUAUGCUUAAAUCAUUUCCUUGCACAUGAAAACUUAUUUAUAAUCAUAAUGGUAGGAUCAAUUAAUUUUAUUAUUAUGUAAAGGUUAUAACUUAAUAAAAGUAUAGUUACAAAAAUUAUUAUUUUAACUUAAUCAUCUUUAGUGCGAUUGAUGUAGAGAUAAAAAUAUGCACUAUAUUGAUAAUUAAUUAAUGUAGCAUGUCAGAUUCAAUUUACAGAUGACGACGAAAGAGAUAGACAUACUCUUAGAAAAAUAGUGCAUAUAUCUACGUAGUGUUGGAAUUAUACAAAGUUAUUUUGAAAGUCUAAAAAAUAAAUCAUUAUCCCAAAUAAUUUUAGAAAAAUAUUUUACUCUUUCUUAAACCUUUAAUAUAACACAGCAUAUAUAUUUUUACAAUUUAUUGAUAACUAUUACUAUACAGAGGUAAGUUUUUUAAAACUGGAUUUAGAAAAAUUAUAAGUUAUUAUAAUGUAGAAUUUCUUACUAUUUAGCUUGACAAUGAAUGUUGUGCUUGAGCCAUACCAAGCUCAAGCCCUACCCAACCCUAUGACUAAAAUGAAAGGUCUUAACCCUUAAAAUACCCGACCCUUCAAACCAUGGAAUAGGCUUGGGCUUUAUCCAAGACCGGCCACAAAUUUUUUUUUUUUUUAGAAUAGAACUCUUAUUUUCCAUUCUUUAUUAAUAAUAUUAUAUUAUUAUUGUUUCUUUUUUGUUGAAUCUUUUGUAAGGAAUUUAAUACAUUAUUUUGUUAUUUAACUUUAACAAUAAUACAACAUCUAACAAUCUAACCAAAUUAACAUAUUAACCAAACUAACAACAAGUAAAUAAACUUAGGGUAUAGUUGUAAUUGCGUUUGUGGCAUGUGUGUUUUAAUAACUUUUAAGUAAUACAUUUUUUAUUUCAAAAAUUAAUUUAAGAUUCAUGAGUCAGAUAAGAAUUUUUUUUUUGAUAAAACCUAAAUCUUUAUCUAAAUAUAAUUGUGCUUUGAUUCCUUAAUCUUAGAGUUUUAUUAAAAAAAUAAAAUAAAAUGUAACAUUUGCUUGUUCUUUGUCAUCUUCUUUUAAGCUUCUGCAUUGAGUUCAGAUGAGAUUUCCCCCUCUUCUCAUUUUAUUUUAUAUAUAUAUAUAUAUAUAUAUAUAUAUAUAUAUAUAUAUAUAUAUAUAUAUAUAUAUAUAUAUAUAUAUAUAUAUAUAUAUAUAUAUAUAUUUGUUUUUGUACGCAUAUCUGUAAAACUAUAAAAUGUUGAGAUAAUGUUUAGAUUAGGUUGGGAGGUGGGGAUAGUUGACAUGUGUUUUUAAAUAUGUGUUUUUUUUCUCUUUUCUUUUUCUUUUUAAAAAAUAAUAAUAAUAAUAAUAAUUUUUUGUCUAGGAUGGUUGUGUAAAGACUCACGACUUUUGAGACGCAUCCUAAUAGUAUGUUGUAUUAUAUUUUGAUUUUGAAAUUCAUAGUAAGUUGUUUUUGUUCCCUUUUUCUUUGAAUUACUCAAAUUUAUGAACUCUCCAAUUUGUUAUUAAGUCAUUUAAUUGUUUACUCAUUUAACAGGUAUUAUUGAAUCAUUCUUCACACACGCACUAUUGUUGUGCAAAUUUUAAUGUACUCGCAAGCGCACGAAUCUAUUGUAGUAUAGAUCAAUGGUGACGAGUGUCGAUCCCACGAGGAGGUGGAUUUUAAUUGUGUAUAGAAUUUAUUUUGCAAAUGGUUGAUUGGAUCUGUGGUGGAAAUUGAUUUGGAAUAUUCUAAAAUUGGAAUUGCAAUGGCGAGAAUAAAUUGUAGAGAAAAUCGAUUAAAUUGACGUACUUGGGUAUCUGGAUCCGUAUCAACAUGCAUCAUGGGCUAAAUAAUCCGUAUUAAUGCCAAUUAAAUCAUGAGGGGGGAAUCCACACCUCAUGAACCACGCUCUAAUCAAUAUGGUGCUAAGGGCUUAUCGUGCCAAAUAAUAAUAACCUUAUACUAGAGAGUCGGUGUAACCAAGGCGGUAUCUAGACAAGAUUAUUAUUAUUUGUCGACGAGAAGUCAAAACAUCCACAAAAACUAGAGGGGAAGAGAAAAUAAAUUUACCAAAUUAAGCCCAUGACACAUGUUGAGACUUCACCUUCAACCCAAGCUUGAAAGAAAAUUAGCCACUCAUAAUUGAAUUAGGGGCAAAAUGAGAAUUUAUUAAAAUACAAAGAAAAUACAAGAUGGAGAAGGAAUUACAGAAAAUGGAUCCCAAAAAUGGAUUCAGAGAUAUCAAAUUAGGGGGGGGAGGCCCCCUUUUUAUAGAUACAUGGAGUAAAUCAUGGCCAUCGAAUUAAAAACAGUUUGGACGCUCAGGAUUGCGCCACGUCAUCAGUCAACAGUCCACGGUUUGACCACGCGGAUGAACAGUAACACGGUUUGACCUGGAUGAACAGUAACGCGGUUUGGUUGAAAAUAAUCCUGUGUGAUGCAUGCACCGUACGCGAGAUUUUUCGUCCACUGAUAUGCUGCCACGUCACCAUCAACAGUACAUAAGAAUUUUAGUCCAACAGGAUCGUGACACCUCAUCAGUCAAUGCCACAUCAUCGGUCAAUGCCACGUCAUCGAUCCGUCUAUGUGAACAGUGUCGUGAACAGUAACGUAGACAGUACCGUAUACGUGAAUAGUACCGUACAUGUGAAUAGUGCCAUUUUUCCUUUUAUGCUCCUCCUAAGGUUUUCGACCGUCCUGAGUUCAAAAGUGAUGUCCGUUUUGCCGUCUGAUCUCUCCUUUAUUGUGAAAUGACUAUAAUGCCCCUAAAAUACAUAAAAUACUUAAUUAAAAUAACACACACGUAAUUACAUCACAAGAAGGUUAAAUACAUAAAAGUAAGAGUUGUUAGUAAGACUUGAAAUGUAAAAUGAUGGUUUUCUCCUUUAUAAAUAUGCAUUUUCUAACACUCAACACACCCCCCAACCAGCUUAUUGCUAGUCCCUAGCAAAUAAAGCGAAAACAAAAUUCAAAUUCAAAAUAUAUAUAUAUUUUUUUUAGAAACACUCGUGUUUAUUCAAUCAGAUUAAUGAUAGCAAUCAAAUAAAAGUAUAAGCAUUAUCUCCAGUCUAAAGAAAUAUCACACCCACAUCAACCAUCCACAUGAAUUAGCCCAGUAGACUUUGUUAUAGCUACUUUCAAGAAUGACAUGUCAAACCCCAAAAUCUCACUGGAAGUAGUGACACUCUCACAAAGAAAUUAAAACCCAAUAAACAUAGUCACUCCAAUGAAUGGUAAUUGAGAGAGAAAAUAAUAAAGAAAUGAUAUCACAUGCUCUCACCAAGAUGAAAUAAAUAUGCCCUCAGCUUAGAAAUAAUACGAUCUUAAGUCAAAUAAAAUGUUAGUCAACCCACUUUAUUUAUCUUUUUUUUUUUUAUUAUGCAUCACUACAUCUGUUUAGCCCAUAUAACUAGCUUCUACUUCAAAUUAUAGUUCCCUAAAAUCAAGAAGGACUUUUAUUAGGACGUAACGUAGGCUAGGGAUAUGGCUAACAAAGAAAGGAAAUAAGGAAAACAAAGUGUGUGUUUGAGAAAAAUGCAGAAAUAUUUUUUUUUUUUUUUUGAAGUUGCAAGGUGGAUUUCACCUAUUAUUGUUAUUUUAUUCUUUUGAAACAACAACUUUUGUUUUUUUUUUUUUUUUUUUUUUUUUUUUUUUGCUUUUAUUUGGCAUAACUUCACUGAACAACAUAAUUAUUUACAUUUUCUCAAACAGAAGUAGGUGAUAGAACUUAUAAGACAUCGGGUAAUACUCCAAAUCGGAGUGGGUCAAGAUGAUAAGUUGACAAAGAAAAAGUUUUUUUUUUUUUUUUUUUUUUUUUUUUUUUUUUUUUUAAAGGCUCAAAAGUGGUAACUAUGGAUAUUUAAUAACAGGGAUGGCUAGAAAGGCUCAAACGGAUCAAAGAUGGCGUUUCCAUCGUCUUUUAGGGCUCUAAAUAAUUAUCCAUAUCUACUAGUUAGAUGGGCCUCCCAAUGUAGUAACACACAUUUUUUUCUUUUUUCUUUUUUUUAAUUUUACCAUUUUUUUUUAAAGGGUUAACUCAAAAGAAAUCUAGAGAUCGUGUAUAAAAUAAUAAACUGCUAAGCUGUAUAGAGAAUGGGCAAAAGGGUUACUCUCCAAGAAAAUGAUAGGCUCAACAACUCACUUGGCACUUAUUUAUGAUAUGUUCAUUCCUUCAAGCAACUCAUAUUUGUCUCCGACAUCAACAUGUAAAGUAGCAAACAUAGCGUAACAUCACUUAAGACCAAAGAGAAUACAAAUACUAAAAUUUGAAAUUAAUCAUGUCAUCCAAUGUUAAAACAAAUCACACAAAUUUUUUUUUUUUUUUUUAAACAACAUUCUACCCCCCAACCUAUUCUAAACAUGAAAGGAAAAUAUGCAUGCAGAAAUGUGAAAAUGAUGUAGAAAAUUAAUUUUUUUUUUUUUUAACUAAGAAGAUGCGUUUCUAGAGGCACUACACUCCAUAUUCAGCCAUCUUCGACUCAAAAGUUGGAAAAUGUAUAUUUAUAGAGGAGAAAAUAAAAAGAAGAAGAAAAAUGAACAUCAAAACUUAAUAAAGAAAAAGAAUUUUUUUUUUUUUUUUUCGAACAAUGAAGAUGCAUUUCUAGAGUAACUACACUCCAUAUUCAGCCAUCUUCAACACAAAAAGUUAGCAACAGUUAGUUUCUACAACAAAAAAUUAGUAAAAACUUAACCAAGAUUCCACAAUUGUCGACUAUUCCCUCCCCCCAACCAGAACGAAACAUUGUCCUCAAUGUUUUAAAGGAAAGAAGUAGAGUUUAGAAGACAUCACCUGGGUGGUGCAACACAGAAGAAAAUAUUUACAGGCGGAGAGUUAAAUCUAAUUUGUACUUCUUACUGCGGCUACUGUUACCAUCAUUAUUUGGUCGCUCCAACACAAAGGUCCAGGGGUCUGGCUCCGGUUUAUAAGCUUGUAACAUAUCAAGUAGCUCAUUAGCAGUGUGAGCACAAAUAAAGAGUUUUUUCACAUUAGAAUGAAUGAAAUAGUUUUUUAUUGCAUGGUUAAGAAAUGCGAUAAAGCCAUCAUAAAAGUUAUUGACAUUUAACAAACCGAUGGGUUUCUGGUGGAUGUGCAGAUGGGCCCAAGAUGCUAGUGUGAUAAGUGCCUCUAGUGUUGCAAGAUCUCCUGGAAGGAAAAUAAAAGCAUCAGCAUGAUUAAGCAUUUCAGUUAUUCUUUCUUGCAUACCUGAGACGACUAACUCUUCUCCAGUUGAUGAGUCAGACGAACUGCCCAAUGGUUUUAGGACUCUUGGGAUGAUGCCUAACACUUGACUUCCUCUGAUAAAAGCUGCUUCUGAGACCAUUUUUGAUAACCCUCGGUUACCUCCUCCAUACACCAAAUGUAAUUUUCUCGCUGCUAUGCUUCGACCAAGAUCUAUGGCUGCCUCAACGAACUCUUUAUGUUUGCCAUAGGUAAAUCCAGAAAGCACACAAAUGUUCUUGAAUUGUCUAUUGGGAGUAGCUGCCAUUGUGAUACUUCUCAAAAACAAUUUGUGAGUGCUUGACAAAAGAUAAAUCACAUUUAAGAAUCUUGGUGACAGUGGAUCACAGCUGUGAAUGAGGUAACAUGUCAGUGUCAAAUAACGCGUAAAGCACGUGGCUCGCGAGUCAAAAAGGAAACAGUAAAAAGGAAAAAGCAAACAGUAAUAAAAUUAUUAAAGACAAUAAUGCAAAAAAUAAAACAACAGUGAAAUGAAAUAAAAUAACAGUAAAGUAAAAGGAUAUUUACACGUAGUUGCGACUGUGGCUCACAUCUUCCUCUGGUUUUACGUCCAGAAACGGCUUGAACGCCCUCUAUGGGUCGAGGAUGGGCUUCCCAUCCAGUUUUCUUAUAAACUGGCAAACAGGGUCGUUUAUAGUCAGAUUCCCGAGACUAUAUCGUGUAUGCUCUUUCUGGAAUAAUGGCCAUAACUGGAGAAUCGCUCCUUGCACAUAUCCACUGGGAUGCGUUUCAAGAGACAAAAGGAUAUCAUCCAAUGACUCCUUAUUCAAGCCAUCCCUAAUGAAUUGAAUCUUAUCUUCCCUGUUAUCAGACACCAUUCCUAAAGAACAUGGGUUUCUAUCGCAACUCAUUCUGGCACACUUAUGACAAGCAACAGAAAUUCUUCGAGCUCGUCGUUUUCUUGCAUAAUUUCCUUUACCACAACCAGGCAUGAAUGCAAUAAAUUGUGGAGGUAACUCACCUGCCGAUCGUACUUUAGCCUCGAUUAACCAACGGAUGUCAGCAGGUAUGUUAUUCUUCAUGAACAAUCGCAUGCGUUCGGACCGAGCUUUAUAGAUCGUAAGGAGGGCAUUCUGAGGAAGUGAAGGGAAUCGCUUGUGAAGCUUCGCUAGAAUCUCGUUUCUGUCCAUACCUUUGCCUCAGAAUGUCAGUUAUUGUGGGAAACUGAAGUUAACCGACUUGAUUGUCACGGAGUACCGUUAUCCGCCACUUCACCGGGGUAACAAACUAAAGCACACAAACAGAAAAACAAAUCAAAACACACAAAGAAAAUUAAAAUCGUCCUCUUAUUGAAUUUACCUCAAGCUCCAACUGGAUGUCGUAAACACUUCUCUCAAUGUCUCUGAGUUGGCGUUCUAAACCCUCAACAUAGGCUACUAACUCUGGUGGUUGUAGAGCCCAAAUGCGUUGUGUUUUACAAAAUUGAAUCUGCUUUUUGAGAUGAGUUUUGACACGUUGAAGUGGUUUAAGAAUGUUCAGGAGGAACGGUCUAAGUAAGGUACUCAUGAUUAAAAAUGAUAAGAGAAAACUUAAUAGUUAGACAAACACACUUAUGCAAAAAUAAUUUCAAUUAGCAAAAGAAUAAUAAAAAGAAAGAAAGAAAAAUCAAAUCAACGAAAAGAAAAAAAAAAUCAAUUCAAAUCUGGUGGGUCACUCAAAUUUAUUUCGGUGUCUUCUCCAUGUGGUUGGUACUCAAGAUAUGGCUUUAAUCUUUGACCAUUAACUUUAAACGUGACACCGUUCUUUGGGUCCUUAAUUUCAAUUGCCCCAUGUGGAAAAACAGUAUUAACAAUAAAGGGACCAGACCAUCGAGAGCGUAACUUACCUGGGAAUAGGUGCAAGCGAGAAUUGAAUAAAAGCACUUUCUGACCUGGAGUGAACGAUUUUCUAUAAUGUGCUUGUCAUGAAAGACUUUCAUUCGUUGCUUGUAAAUCUUGGCAUUUUCGUAUGCAUCAUUGCGAAUUUCUUCAAGUUCUGCCAGUUGUAAUCUUCUUUCUGAGCUGGCUUGCUGCAUGUCAAAGUUGAAUUUCUUGAUGGCCCAAUAUGCACGAUGCUCGAGUUCCACAGGUAGGUGGCAAGCUUUUCCAUACACUAGCCUGUAGGGUGACAUCCCAAUCGGGGUCUUGAAAGCCGUUCUAUAUGCCCAUAAUGCAUCAUCAAGUCUUAAUGACCAAUCUUUUCUGUCUGGCCUCACCGUUUUUUCUAAUAUGUGCUUGAUUUCUCGAUUGGAGAUCUCAACUUGGCCACUGGUUUGCGGAUGAUACGGGGUCGCCACUUUGUGUGUGAUUGAAUACUUUGUCAAAAGAGCUUUGAAUGCUUUGUUACAAAAGUGGGCACCACCAUCACUGAUUAUCGCUCGAGGGAAUCCAAAGCGUGAAACAAUGUUGCUUUUCAAAAAUCCUAUCACCACUUUGUGAUCAUUGGUCCUACAUGGAAUUGCUUCUACCCAUUUCGAGACGUAGUCAACACCAACCAAUAUGUAUUGAUGGCCAAAAGAAGGGGGAAAGGGUCCCAUGAAGUCGAUACCCCAUACGUCAAAAAUCUCAACCACUAAAAUUGGAUUUAGUGGCAUCAUGUUCCUUCGUGUAAUACUCCCCAUUCGUUGACACCUAUCACAUGAAGAACAGAAAGUGUAAGCAUCUCGAAAUAUAGUUGGCCAAUAGAAACCACAUUAUAAAACUUUAGUCGCUGUUUUCUUAGCGCUGAAAUGGCCUCCACAAGCUUGUUCAUGGCAGAAUGAAAGGAUAUUCUGAAUUUCACUUUCUGGGACGCAUCGCCUAACAAUUUGAUCUGCACAAUACUUGAACAAAUACGGGUCAUCCCAAAAGAAAUUCUUUAUUUCCGCAAAGAAUUUAGCCUUGUCUUGCUUGGUCCAAUGCUCUGGAAGUUUACCUGUAACAAGAUAAUUAACUAUAUCAGCAUACCAAGGUAAUACUUCCACACUCAUUAAUUGUUCAUCUGGAAAUGACUCAUUCAAUGGUAAUGGUUCUGUAAUUGUGUCAAAGUGGAGACGAGAGAGAUGGUCCGCCACAACAUUUUCUGUCCCUUUCUUAUCUUUGAAUUCCAAGUCAAAUUCCUGCAAAAGUAACACCCAACGAAUUAGUCUAGCUUUUGCAUCUUUCUUUGUGAGAAGAUAUUUAAGAGCAGCAUGAUCUGUGAACACAAUUAUUUUACAACCAAUGAGAUAAGAUCGAAAUUUUUCCAAUGCAAACACUACUGCUAGCAUUUCUUUUUCAGUAGUUGAAUAGUUCAACUGUGCAUCAUUCAAUGUCAUACUAGCAUAGUAAAUAACAUGAGGAAUUCGAUCAACUCUUUGUCCUAAAACUGCUCCUACUGCAUAAUCAGAUGCAUCACACAUAAGCUCAAAUGGUAAGCUCCAGUUUGGGGCCUGAAUGAUGGGUGAUGAUGUCAACAAUUGCUUUAAUUUUUCAAAAGCCAUAAGACAUGAAUCAUUAAAGAUAAAAGGUACAUCCUUAGCAAGUAAAUUGCACAAGGGUCUAGAAACUUUGCUAAAAUCUUUAAUGAAACGUCUAUAGAAACCAGCAUGUCCAAGGAAAGAUCUUACUUCUCUGACUGUUUUAGGUGGAGGAAGAUUAGAAAUGAGAUCCACCUUGGCUUUGUCAACCUCAAUACCUUUGCUCGAAAUGAUGUGACCGAGAACAAUACCUUGUUUUACCAUAAAAUGACACUUCUCCCAAUUUAAGACUAAGUUCUUCUCGAUACAUCUCUGCAGAACUAGCGUUAGAUGAUGUAAACAUUGAUCAAACGAGUCACCAAAGACAGAAAAAUCAUCCAUAAAGACUUCAAGGAAUCGUUCAACCAUAUCAGAAAAAAUGCUCAACAUGCAUCGUUGGAAUGUAGCAGGUGCAUUACAUAAUCCAAAUGGCAUUCUCCUAUAUGCAAAAGUGCCAAAAGAGCAAGUGAAAGUAGUUUUCUCUUGAUCUUUUGGUGCUAUGGGAAUUUGAUUAUAUCCUGAGUAGCCAUCUAGAAAGCAAUAAAAUUCAUGGCCUGCUAAUCUAUCAAGCAUUUGAUCGAUAAAUGGUAAAGGAAAAUGGUCUUUACGUGUGACAGAAUUCAACUUUCUAUAAUCAAUGCAUACACGCCAUCCUGUAGUUACUCUAGUUGGUAUCAAUUCAUUAUCAGCAUUGGUAACUACUGUGACUCCUGACUUUUUGGGGACAACUUGUACAGGACUGACCCAUGAACUAUCAGAAAUUGGGUAAAUGAUACAUGCAUCUAAUAGCUUAAGGACUUCUGUUCUAACAACUUCUUUCAUAUUAGGAUUUAACCGACGUUGCAUUUCCCUAGUAGUUUUAGCAUUUUCAUCAAGGUGAAUGUAAUGCAUGCAGUCUACUGGGUUUAUACCUUUAAUGUCUGCUAUGGUCCAUCCUAAUGCUCCUUUGUGCUCUUUUAAAACAUCCAACAACUUACCUUUUUGUUCGUCAUUUAGGGAUGAUGAGAUGAUUACCGGUAGAGUGCUUUCUUCUCCCAAAAACGCAUAUUCCAAUGUGUUGGGCAAUUGUUUGAGCUCGAGUUUCGGUGGUGAUUCUGAUGAUGGGAUGAGUUUCUUUUCUGACGGUGCUAGUUGUUCUACUCUUGACUUCCAUUUAUUAGUGUCCAUGGAUGGUGCUGAGUCAAGUAGGGCGUUGACCUCUUCGACCGAUCUGUCAAUAUCAAAAUUCAAACCAAAGUGAGUUAAGCAUGUCUGUAAAGGGUCAUCACUAAGGUUUGAAAUAAAAGUAUUAUCGACUAUUGUUUCUAUUAAAUCCACAUCAACAAUUCCAUCAUCUGCACUGUGAGGUUGUUUGGCAAUGUUGAAAAUAUUUAGCUCCAUAGUCAUGUUGUCGAAGGACAACUGCAUAUUUCCGGUCCUACAUUGAAUAUGAGCAUCUGCAGUUGCCAAGAAAGGUCGGCCUAGAAUAAUGGGGAUGUGCUUCCUUGAGUCCUGUAUUGGUUGAGUGUCAAUUACAAUGAAAUCAACAGGAAAAUAAAACUUGUCUACCUGGAUAAGCACGUCCUCCACAAUACCACGGGGUAUUUUCGUGGACCGAUCUGCAAGCUGUAACACCACUGGAGUUGGGUGUAAUUCUCCCAGUCCAAGUUUCACGAAUACAGAGUAAGGCAACAAAUUUACACUAGCUCAUAAAUCCAACAAAGCAUUCUCAAUUGUGUGGUUCCCUAUGCUACAUGAGAUAGUGGGGGAGCCUGGGUCUUUGCAUUUUAAAGGAAUUUUAUGUUGGAGUAUAGAACUAACGUUUUCUGUUAAAAAUGCCUUCUUUUGAACAUGCAUACUUCUCUUUUUAGUACAAAGGUCUUUAAGAAACUUGGCAUAAGAUGGAACUUGUUUAAUAGCAUCAAGUAAAGGGAUGUUGACACUUACCUGUUUGAAGAUUUCGAGAAUCUCACCUGUGGAUUUUCCCUUUUUUCCUUUCGCUAACCUCUGAGGAAAUGGAGCUUUGGGAACGUAUUCUCGUGGGUUGGUUUCUUCUCUCUCCUCCGGUGGUGAGUCCUCAACAUUCACAGGUACAAUUUGAUUUUCUUUUGUCACCGGCAUCUCCAUUUUGUUGUCGACUUCCUUUCCUUUUCGCAAGGUCAUAACUGCUUUGACCUCUCCAUGCUGCUGUGGUGAACUGGUACUUGCUUCAUGUACUCCUUUAGGGUUAGGCACUGGUUGACUUGGAAACUUGCCUUUCUCAACAGUCAUUGCCAAGGUCUGAACUGAAGAAGCAAGUUGUCCCACCAUCUUCUCGAGGCUUGAAACUGAUUGAGCUUGUGAGUUGAAGCCCGCUCUCAACUCAUUUCGUAGUCCAUCAAUGGUGCGGUUCUGUUGCUCAAUCGUGGAGUGAGUAAGAUUCUUGAGAUUCUGGAAUGAAUCCUCCCAUGGUCUGGGUUGAGAGUAGUUCUGGUUCUGAUUGAAUGGUCUAAAUGGGGGCUGAGAGGCUUGAGGAUUUUGAGGAAUUAGUUGCAUUUGUGGAGCUGGAGCUGCUGGUCCAUUCUGUUGGAAUCCUUGAGACCAUGAAAAAUUGGGGUGGUCUCUCCAUCCAGGGUUAUAUGUGUUGGAGUAUGGGUUGUAAUUAGAUGGCUUUCUCAUUACACCUAUGGCAUUGGCUUGAUCUGGAUAUGAGUCAGGGUCAUGUGAUUCUGUUGAUUUAGCAGUCGAUAACGAUGCUAUUUGUCGAGCAAGACCUUCAACCAUCUCCUUGACUUCUUUGAUUCCCGAAGUUGACUCGCCAAUGUGAACCUCAUUCACUCCUUUAAUCCUUCUAGUAUUCCUGAGUGAUCGACUCCGUUGUUGGGAAUUGUCCGCUUGUCGCUGGAAAAACUCCCAAAUUUCUGAUGCACUUUUUGACAUUAGCUCUCCUCCACUUGUUGCCAUUAGCCAUUCUUGCACAUUCGGCAAUAAUCCCUCCAAAAAGUAUUGGCAUUGGUGCCAUUUCUCGUACCCAUGAUGUGGACACUUCAAGAGUAGCCCAUUGAAUCGCUCCCAUGUUUCGAAAAACUGCUCAUCUUCUCUCUGCGUAAACUCUGAAAUUUCCCUGCGAAUAGAAUUGGUUUUAUGCACUGGAAAAUAUUUAUUUAGAAAUUUUGUAACCAUUUGUUCCCAUGAUGCAAUGCUAUUAGCAGGCAAAGUAUUUAACCAUGAACGAGCUCUAUCCUUUAAAGAAAAUGGGAAUAAUCUAAGUUUAACAUCAUCGUCUGAAAAAUUUUCAUAUUUAAAAGUUUGACAAAUUGCAUGAAAAUCAUUCAGAUGAUUAUAUGGGUCCUCAUUUUCUAAGCCAUAGAAUGUGGGGAGACAAUUUAGCACACUAGGUUUUAGUUCAAAACUCCUAGCAGCUACAUUUGGGUAUCUUAUGCAUGAUGUGCUCAAAUUAGCUAAGGGACUAAAAUAGUCCUUAAAUGGCCUCUCCUGUGGUGCUUGUAAAUCCAUUUUAUUUUUAACGUGUUUGUGUGUGCGAAGUGUUUUUUCUAAUUCAAGGUCUAUAGGUUCAAGAUUAGGUAAUAAUGACCUACGACCAUGCAUGCAAAAUAAAUAAAAUAAAAAUAAAGAUGCAAACAAAACAAAAAAUAAAGAUGGGAACAAAACAAAUAAAAAAUAAAGAUGAGAACAAAACAAAUAAAAAUAAAGAAGAGGGAGAAAUUACGAUACUAACCUUAUUACGCUGUUACAACCUUUCUAUAAAAAUACACAAAAAUAAAUACGUGAAAUAAAUUAACUAAAAAUUAAAUUAAUAAAAUAAACAAAAAAUUACAAAGAAAGAAAAAAAAUAAAUUGAAAAAUAAAUUACAAAAUUUUAAAGAAGAGAAAAAGAAAAGAAAUACUAACCUUUAAUUUUAGAUUCACUUUUUUUUUUUUUUUAAAAUAAAAAAUACAAGAAAAAAAAUUAAAUGGAAUUAUUCACAAAAAUUAAUUCUAUGAAUUAAAAUUACUUACCUCCCCGGCAACGGCGCCAAAAACUUGUUGUGCAAAUUUUAAUGUACUCGCAAGCGCACGAAUCUAUUGUAGUAUAGAUCAAUGGUGACGAGUGUCGAUCCCACGAGGAGGUGGAUUUUAAUUGUGUAUAGAAUUUAUUUUGCAAAUGGUUGAUUGGAUCUGUGGUGGAAAUUGAUUUGGAAUAUUCUAAAAUUGGAAUUGCAAUGGCGAGAAUAAAUUGUAGAGAAAAUCGAUUAAAUUGACGUACUUGGGUAUCUGGAUCCGUAUCAACAUGCAUCAUGGGCUAAAUAAUCCGUAUUAAUGCCAAUUAAAUCAUGAGGGGGGAAUCCACACCUCAUGAACCACGCUCUAAUCAAUAUGGUGCUAAGGGCUUAUCGUGCCAAAUAAUAAUAACCUUAUACUAGAGAGCCGGUGUAACCAAGGCGGUAUCUAGACAAGAUUAUUAUUAUUUGUCGACGAGAAGUCAAAACAUCCACAAAAACUAGAGGGGAAGAGAAAAUAAAUUUACCAAAUUAAGCCCAUGACACAUGUUGAGACUUCACCUUCAACCCAAGCUUGAAAGAAAAUUAGCCACUCAUAAUUGAAUUAGGGGCAAAAUGAGAAUUUAUUAAAAUACAAAGAAAAUACAAGAUGGAGAAGGAAUUACAGAAAAUGGAUCCCAAAAAUGGAUUCAGAGAUAUCAAAUUAGGGGGGGAGGCCCCCUUUUUAUAGAUACAUGGAGUAAAUCAUGGCCAUCGGAUUAAAAACAGUUUGGACGCUCAGGAUUGCGCCACGUCAUCAGUCAACAGUCCACGGUUUGACCACGCGGAUGAACAGUAACACGGUUUGACCUGGAUGAACAGUAACGCGGUUUGGUUGAAAAUAAUCCUGUGUGAUGCAUGCACCGUACGCGAGAUUUUUCGUCCACUGAUAUGCUGCCACGUCACAAUCAACAGUACAUAAGAAUUUUAGUCCAACAGGAUCGUGACACCUCAUCAGUCAAUGCCACAUCAUCGGUCAAUGCCACGUCAUCGAUCCGUCUAUGUGAACAGUGUCGUGAACAGUAACGUAGACAGUACCGUAUACGUGAAUAGUACCGUACAUGUGAAUAGUGCCAUUUUUCCUUUUAUGCUCCUCCUAAGGUUUUCGACCGUCCUGAGUUCAAAAGUGAUGUCCGUUUUGCCGUCUGAUCUCUCCUUUAUUGUGAAAUGACUAUAAUGCCCCUAAAAUACAUAAAAUACUUAAUUAAAAUAACACACACGUAAUUACAUCACAAGAAGGUUAAAUACAUAAAAGUAAGAGUUGUUAGUAAGACUUGAAAUGUAAAAUGAUGGUUUUCUCCUUUAUAAAUAUGCAUUUUCUAACACUCAACAACUAUGACACAUACUAGUGGGUUGUAAGUUAAAAGUGAUGCAGCAUUUAGUUCUUUUGAUUUAUUAGGGAUAAUAUCUAAGAUAGUAAAAAGUGUAUAUUGUAUAUUUGAAUGUGUUUAAUUUUGCUAUAUGUAGAACUCGAGUAAUUAAGUCUGUAGGGGUGUUUCAACACCUAAGGUCAACUGGUCUGGGAGUCGUUGGCAUAAAGCUCGCUCAUGAGUUAUAGAUAUAUUGUUUGCUUAUUAGAAACCCGAGUAAUUAAGUCCUUAAGGGUGUUUCAACACCUAGUGCCCUAAGGGCGACUGAUCUGUGAGUCACUGGCUUAAAGCUCGCUACAUGGGUUAUAAAUGUAAUGUUUUAAAAUUCAUGUGAAUAAUCUACUACCUAAAGAUAGAAUUUCUAAUGAAUUUUGGAACGAAAAUGUUAUUUUUUUUCUUUUAAUUACUUGAGUACAAAAGAAGUUUGAUGAUAUUCUAGAUAAUGAGUAAAUGACAAAGAGGUAAAGAAAUUUGGGAGAGUUUAUUUGUUUGAUAGUUUAGAGGAUAGACAAACAAUUAUUAACUUACAUUUGAAUUUUAUAAAUCUUAAUUUAAUAUAGUGCUUUUAUUGCUAGCUGCUAGAAAUAAGUUGGUUGGAGGGUGUGAUUAGUAUUAAAAAUUGUUUGAUUAUCAAGUGAUAAAACUAUUAUUUUAUGCCUAUAUUAUAAUUUAUAUUUGUGUUUAUGCAAUAUAUUAGGAAUUAUUAAUUAUGUCUUAAUUAUAUUUAAUUUUGUGUAUUUUUGUGUGUUUAUUAGGUAAAAUAUUAAAUUGGUGUAAUUCAAGAUGCCAAACAGAUAAACGGAUGACAAAUUUGGAUUCUGGAGGUCCGAAAACUUUAAGAUGAGUCAAAACCGGCUUAAAAUUGAGGUUGUGCAAAAGAGUUGACUUUUUCAGUUGACCGAACACUAAUUGGAUGAUAAAAUGAGCUUACAAUAGAUAUGAGUACACUAGAUAGCUGGCAAUUUUGACUAAAUCUCAACCGUUCAUAAUUCAAUGGCCACGAUUGUGCCACGUGGUAAUGGUUGGUGAAGCAAGUUGUAGGAUCCGAAUCUUUGUAUUCGGGUCGACCCGAUCCACCUAAUAACCUGCCAAAUCUCAACCGUUCUUUGGCCAAAUCGGAUGCGUCACAUGAUGCCACGUGUAAUGUUGACUUUUGAAGUUUGGCCAGUGUUGGUUAAUUUUAAACUCAAUUGCUAUUGAUGCCAAUGUGCAAGUAUACACAACAAGUAAUAAAGUGAUAAGUAUUUAAGAUCGUCUCCAUAGGGAUUGAUGUUGCUAGAAAUGUUACAGCAAUCACAAUAGCGCUAUCUAUCUUAAUUUCAAGAUGAAUAAAUUUAAAGUUGUUUACUCCGAAAUUAACAAUUGUAAAGAAAUCAAACAAAUAACUGCAAUAGUAAAAUAAACUAAGUAAAUCGCGUAAAAUAAUCAAUUGAGAAUGAGGUAGUUGAAUGAUCAAACUCUCUUCAUGGGCUGAUUGCUUUCCAUCAGAUUAACACCAGUUGCUACAACAAUUCCUACAGCACUAGGUAGAAUUAUUUUGCAUCCUCAGCUGUCGCGUGUUGGACUUCUCAUACCUUUAAGUAUCCUAACAAUGACCAGUUGUUAUUCUGCAUGAGGCAUGGCAUUGUGAACAUCCAUUCUAUCAACCCUACAAGGUGAAUGACUAUAUCUAGUUCUUCACAAAUCUUAACUUCAAGUAUAGUCCUUAUGGGAUUCAAGCUAAACUUAAUCCAGGAAACUCAAAUUAAGAUCAAGUAUUACUCUAAUAAUAUCCACUGAGACAGUCCCUUUUGCGGCUCUAUCUUAACUUGAACCAUUAAAUAGGUGGUCAGCCGAAAUAACAGUUAUAAUAAUAGCUACUAGAAUAAAAUGCUAUAGCAAUCAUACAACAACUCAUAAGAACAGUCAAAAACCCAUUCCGAUUGUUUGUCACCCAACUACAAGCAAGUUAAGUUCAUACUUUGAAAAAGAUAAACAAACACCAAACUAAUGGUCACGAAAUACAUUGGUCCAAUCAAAGAGUAGAGAAAAGAACAAGUAAAGGAUGAUGAAGACUAAAUCCAAAUAACUCUGUUGGAUUCUUCACUGAUGCAGACUCGGUUCCCUUGAAUUCUGAUUGUUUUCCUCUUUCCCUAUUGAUUUCUCAAUGUUAAUUCCUUGCCGUCAUUUUAUGUGAUGCGCGCCUCCUUUUAUAACUGAAAAUUAGGGUAAGCAAAAGCCUAGGACGCGCGAGAGUCAAAUUAGGAAACUAUAGAUCGCAAUCUUGUAGAUUUCCCGUGCUAAGUUUUCUCUAUCGUUGUUCCAGAAUUGCUACAGCAAUGGCUGCUCCAACAACGACUCUAGCACUGUACUGCUUCAGAUUUGGUUUCACUUUUUUUGUGGCCAUAUUCUUCAUCUUUUGUGCCAGCCUAUUGCUUCCACAUUCUUUCCCUGAAUCAUAAGCUUCUGGAAACCUACGAUUUUACACACAAUUUGAUCACAAAUUAAUCUAAAUCAAGUAAAAUUUAUUAAGACUAAAAUAAAUUAAGACUAAAAUAAAAUGAAUGUUUAUGCAAAAUGUAACAAAAAUGCAAUAAAAACACAUCAUUUGCUCUCUAAGUGAUCUUGUUUUCAGUCUAGAAUUGCCGUAAUAACUCUCAUUUCAUAGAGUUAUCAACCAGCCAUUAGAUCGUGAUCUAAUGGCUGUGAGGAACGCAUGCAUAAAACUUAUGAUGGGCCGCAAAACACUGGAUUAUGAAUUUAUUUUUCUAUAAAUAAAGCCUUAUUUUUAUGUUUUUUAUCAUCUCUCUUCUUCUCAAUUUCUCUCAAUCUCCCUAUGAUCUUGUUUUUCAGGUGUGUUUUUAAUAUUUUUCUUAAUUAUUUUUAUAAAUAAAUUUAGUUUUAUUUUCAAUUUUAGUUGUUUUUAUUCAUUUUAAUUAUGAGAAAUUUAAUUUUAAUAAUUCUUUUUAUUUCAAUUAUGCUUAACUAAAUAAUAAUAGUUAAAGUUUUACCUUCAUAUUCCUUCUUGUCUUGUCUCUGGGACAAGUUUCGUUUGUCUUGUCAUUAGGGCAAGUUUUAUCAGUGGUCAUUCUAUCCAUUUUUUCUUCUUUUACUUUGCAAUGGCCAAUAACGAGGGACAAUCAGAACUUGAUAUCAGUAAUGGAUAUGCUAGCAUGACCAUUGAUGAUGAGGAGGAUGGUGGGUUGAGUAUUGAAGGAGAAGAUGUAGAUGAAGGGAACAAGGUCAAGAUCGAUUACCGAUGUUGCUUGGUGGCAGAUUUCUAACGAAUAAGGUGAUUAAUUUUGCUGUUAUGAAGAACACAAUGGCUUCUAUUUGGCGGCCAGGAAAGGGUGUUUGCAUUAAGGAUUUAUCACCUACGCUUUUUUUAUUUAAAUUUUUCCAUGAGAUUGAUGUAAAUCGGGUAUUGGAGUUAGGACCAUGGACUUUUGACCAGCACAUUCUGCUAGUUAAAAGGUUAGAGGAGAAUGAACAACCUCAGACUGUUCCCUUGUUUUUUGCAUCUUUUUUUAUUCAAAUAUACAACCUACCCAUUGGCUUUAUGUCUAAAUUUUUUUUGAAGAAUAUUGGAAACUAUGUUGAUACUUUUUUGGAUUCUGAUGAGCAUAAUUUCAUGGGAGUGUGGAGUACCUAUAUGUGCAUUCGGGUAUCCAUUGAUGUUAGAAAGCUUCUUAAGCGUCGAAUGAAACUUUAAAAGGAGGGUGGAGAGUGGAUUUGGAUUGAAUUUAAAUAUGAACGGUUGAAUAUUUUCUGUUUCAUUUGUGGACUACUUGGGCAUACUGAAAAACAAUGCCUGAAGUUGUAUGAUUGCCCGUCGGGUGAGGUUGUGAAGGCUUAUGGUCAUCGGAUGAAAGCGCCGAACAAGAGGAGUCAGAUGAAUUCCGAUGAAAGGUGGCUGAGAUCGGAGAUGCCAAACGAGUUCAACAAUGGAAAAGGUAACAACGUGAAUUUUGCUGGUAUGGCGAUUGAUUCGGUUAUUAGCACAAAUCCUGAAGAUCAUGUGCUAAAAAUAAGGGAUUAUAGUGUCAACGCAGGGAUUGCAGGGAUCAAUAAGGAAAGCAGUAUAUUGCUACCAAAUAGGAGCCAUUUCGUAUCAAUGACAAGUCAACAGUGGGAAUCACUAAUGAUUUGUGCGGGAGUAAGGAUUUUGAAGAGGAACAAGAAGCUGGCAUUAUUGUUAAUGAUUCAAAGAGAAGACGAUCUUAAGUUGGGCAUCGUAGCACUGUGGGCCUUAAUGAUGAGUCAUCUACUCAAGUGAUGGAUAUAUCAGUUGAACUAAAAAAUGGGCAAACGGUGGGACCUGUGACCUAGGCCCACCGAGAUAAAUAAGCAUGCUAAGCUGGAAUUGUCGUGGGCUGGGCCACCCAUGGAUAGUUCAAGUUCUAAUAGACCUUGUCAGAUGUAAAAAACCUUCUAUAAUUUUUCUUAUGGAAACUUUGUGUAGUAAAAAUAUAUUAGAGAGUAUCAAGUUAAAGCUGGGAUUUGAUGGGCUUUUUGUGGUGGAUUGUGUGGGACGUAGUGGUGGGCUUGCUCUUCUUUAGGAUGCUAAUACUAAUGUUUCUUUAUUGAGUUAUGCUAUAAAUUUUGUUGAUGUCCAUGUUGAGGUCUCUAGUUUGGGUGACUGGAGAUUGACUGGUUUCUACGGUUUUCCAAAAUCGUGUCAUCGUCGCCAGUCUUAGGACUUGUUUCGACUUCCUUCUUCUUCCUCUGCUGCCCCAUGGAUUUGUCUUGGGGAUUUUAACGACUUAUUAGCGGCCAGUGAGAAAAGAAGUAGACUUGAUCAUUCUAAUUGGAAGCUUCAGGGGUUUAAGAGUGUUAUUUCUAAUAGUAGUUUGCUUGAUGUUGGGAUGGAAGUUUACCAAUUUACAUGGGAGAGAUCCCGAGGGUCAGCUGAUUGGGUGGAGUUACGGCUUGAUAGAGUUUUCGCCUCGGCUGAGUGUAGUAAAAAUAUAUUAGAGAGUAUUAAGUUAAAGCUGGGAUUUGAUGGGCUUUUUGUGGUGGAUUGCGUGGGACGUAAUGGUGGGCUUGCUCUUCUUUGGGAUGCCAAUACUAAUGUUUCUUUAUUGAGUUAUGCUAGAAAUUUUGUUGAUGUCCAUGUUGAGGUCUCUAGUUUGGGUGACUGGAGAUUGACUGGUUUUUACAGUUUUCCAAAAUCGUGUCGUCGUCGCCAGUUUUGGGACUUGUUUCGAAUUUUUUCUUCUUCCUCUGCUGCCUCAUGGGUUUGUCUUGGGGAUUUUAACAACUUAUUAGUGGCCAGUGAGAAAAUAGGUAGACUUGAUCAUUCUAAUUGGAAGCUUCAGGGGUUUAAGAGUGCUAUUUCUGAUAGUAGUUUGCUUGAUGUUGGGAUGGAAGGUUAGCAAUUUACUUGGGAGAGAUCCCGAGGGUCAGCUGAUUGGGUGGAGUUACGGCUUGAUAGAGUUUUCGCCUCGGCUGAGUGGCUUAAUCGUUUUGCUCGGGUUAAUUUUAUGAGUUUGGAGGCCUCUUGUUCUGACCACUUGCCUAUUUUUAUGGAUCCAAAUCCUAUUGUUCAUAAUAAUAGGCAUAAGAGAUUUCGUUUUGAGAAUUUCUGGCUGCGGGAGGGGGAAUGUGUUGAGGUGAUUAAAAAUAGCUGGGCUGCUUCUUCAGGUUGUUCAAUUCAGCAAAAGAUUUUGAGGUGUGGUGCUGACUUGUUUCAAUGGGGGGGUUAUUUAGCUCGAGAUCUUCGCAAGUGUAUUUCCGAUUGUAAAUGUCUCAUGGCUCGAUUAAGGGGGCGGCGUGACCAGGUUGGUGUGGAUGAAUUUGUUGAGGCCAGGAAUCGUUAUAAUGCGCUCCUCCAUAGUCAUGAAGUCUUCUGGAAGUAGAGAGCAAAAUCCCUUUAGCUUAAGGAGGGAGAUAUGAACUCGCGUUUCUUUCAUGCCACAACUUCAGUAAGGAAGCGUAUGAAUUCUCUUAAAAGGUUGUGUAAUAGUCAGGGGCAUUGGUGCUCUAAUCAGGAUGAGAUUGAUGGAAUGAUUGUGGAGUAUUUCAGUACGUUAUUUAAGACUGAAGGUUGUAGCAGUGCUGAUGUCUUAGCUUGUGUAAAGACGAGUAUUACCGAGGAUUAGAAUAUGACACUCUUGGCUCCAUUCUCUGCUAUUGAAAUUAAAGAUGCCCUUUUUUAUAUGCAUCCAGAUAAAUCUCCAGGGCCUGAUGGUAUGAAUCCUGCAUUUUAUCAAAAGUUCUGGCAUAUUGUAGGUGAGGAUGUGGUACUAGCUUGCUUGACUUUCAUUAACAAUUGUUCCUUUCUUGUAGGAUUGAAUGACACCUCCAUUGUUUGGAUUCCGAAAAAGCAACAGCUUGAGACUUUAGCAGAUAUGAGGCUCAUCGCGCUAUGCAAUGUGCUCUACAAAAUUAUUUCUAAAAUGCUUGCUAAUAGAAUGAAGACAGUGCUUGCUUCGGUUGUCUCUGAUGCCCAAAGUGCUUUUUUUCCUGGCAGAGCAAUCACAUAUAAUAUUAUUAUCUCGGCUGAAAUUAUACACUUUUUGAAGCGAAAGAGGCAAGGAAAGAAUGGUAAUGCGGCUCUUAAAAUAGAUAUGUCUAAGGCAUAUGACCGUAUCGAGUGGCAGUUCCUCCAAGCUAUAAUGUUGAAAAUGGGGUUUGCGGAUAAAUGAGUGAAUUUGAUAAUGCUUUGCAUUUCUACAGUUCAAUACAACAUGCUUCGUAAUGGCAAGGAGGUGGGGCCGAUUAUUCCUAGUAGAGGGUUACGCCAAGGUGAUUCGUUAUCCCCUUACCUGUUUAUCUUAUGUGCUGAAGGGUUGAGUUCCCUGAUUUGUGUGCAUGAAAAGGCUGGUUUGAUUCAUGGUGUAAAGGUUGCUAGAGGUGCUCCAAUAGUGUCCCAUUUAUUCUUUACAAAUGAUUCCUUCCUGUUUUUUCGAGCAAACCAGCAGGAAGCAUAUUUGAUAAAGAGUAUUCUAGCUUCUUAUAGUCGUGCUUCUGGGCAAAAAGUUAAUUUCAGCAAAUCUUCUAUUUCAUUUAGCUCUAAUGUGCUUACUGAUGUUGUUAGCCAUGUGUGUGGGGUGCUGGAUGUUAAUGUUACCUCUGAUUAUGGUGCUUAUUUGGGUCUUCCCUCUUGUAUUUGAAGAAAGAAAAAAGUUGUGUUUCAAAGCAUCCAUGACAAAGUUUGGCAGAGGCUUCAAGGAUGGAAUACGAAGCUGUUAUCUAGAGGCGGAAAAGAAGUUUUACUAAAAACAAUGGCGCAAGCAAUGCUUAACUAUGUAAUGAAUGUCUACCUUCUUCCGCUUGAUCUUUGUAAGGAACUUGAAAUUAUGAUGAACUCGUUUUGGUGGGGUAGUAAGCGCAAUGGUGGUGGUGGAAUUAAAUGGAUGAAGUGGGAGCGUCUAUGCAAGCCGAAGGAUUUUGGGGGGUUAGGUUUCAAGUAACUCCAUAUCUUCAAUGUUGCAAUGUUGGGUAAACAUGUGUGAAAUCUGUUGACAAACCCAACUUCUCUUGUUGCAAAGGUUCUUAAAGUCCAUUAUUUUCCUAGAUCCUCUGUUUUUUAUGUUAGCUUGGGGUUUAAUCCGAUUUUUAUUUGGCGCUCCAUAAUGGCUUCAAAGGAUGUUGUUAUUAAAGGUAGCAGACUUCAGAUUGAGAGUGGGCAUCAGGCCCUCAUUGGGAAAGCUCCUUGGCUUCCUGACUCUGAUUGUGGUUUCAUUACUACUGAUCUGCAUGAGGAACUUGUGAUGGCUCCAGUAUGCAGUUUGAUGAUGGUUGAUCAGCGUCGAUGGGACUAUGAUGUUGUGACCGACUUAUUUAAUGCCAGAAAUAGAGAUCUUAUUCUGAAAAUACCGCUUAGCACUCGUAGGGAUCGUGAUGUGUGGUAUUGGUUGGCCGAUCCUCGUGGUGUGUUUUCUGUUCGUAGCUGUUACAAGAUGAUGACUUAUGAUGCUAAUAACUCUUCCUCGAGUUUUUGGAGACGCUUAUGGAAAUUGAAUGUGCCGAGUAAAGUGAAGAAUUUUCUUUGGCGUGCUGUUAAGAAUGUUCUGCCUACAACUGAUAACCUCCUUAGUCGAGAGUUCAGGUGCUGCCUACUUGCUCUGUUUGUAAUGCCUAUAAUAAGUCUGUAAUUCAUGCUUUGGUGGAAUGUGGUUUUUCCAAAUCUUGCUGGAUUGCUUCUCAUGUUGGCUAUGUUGGUCAAAUGUCUUCUUUUAUGGAGUGGCUUGGUAUUAUUUUUUCUCGUUGUAACAAAGAAGAGUGUGAGCUUGCUACUAUGAUUUGUUGGAGGAUUUGGGCUCAUCGUAAUGAUAAAGUUUGGAAUAAAAGAUGUGGUCGGUUUUACCAAAUUCUCAACUCUGCUAGCCACCUUUUACACUAGUGGCAAUCUUUGAGAAAACAAGUUAUGUUUGCUGAUGUAGAUGAGAGCAGCUUGGUUCAGGGGUUGUGUGCUGGGAAAGACCUCAUGUUGGUUGGGUUAAAUGCAAUGUUGAUGCUGCUGUGUUUUCUUUUCAAUCGAAAAGCAGUUUUGGCUGUGUGGUUCGCAAUUCUGAUGGUACUUUCUUGGCUGCAAAGUGUGAUAGUUUUGCUGGCAGUUUUCGGGCUAGACAAGCAGAAGCGUUUGGUGUUCGGGAGGCACUUAGCUAGUUGAAGAAUCUGCAACUUCCUCGUGUGGUAAUUGAAUUGGACUAUCUUCAAGUUUUUAAAGCUUUAACUAAGAACCAGUCAAGUCCUAAUGGCUUUGGACUCAUAAUUGAGGAAUGUCGUUUUUUAGCUCAGAAUUUGGGAGAAAUGAAAUUCUCAUUUGCCAGUCGAUCUGCGAACACUGCUGCCCAUAGUGUUGCUAGGGUGGGGGGUUCUAUGUCAGGUUCUAGAGAGUGGACUGUUGCUCCAUCUCGUUGGUUACUGAAAAAUUUGUAAUCGUUUUUGUUUAAUGCAUUUCUCUUAAAAAAAUAAUAAUAAUAGUUAGGGUAAGGUGAAGCUCUUAGGAAAUAAAUAUGAUUUAAUCAAAUUCUAUUUUUAAUUUUAUAAAUUAAAUUAUUUUCUAUUUAAUUUUAUACAUAUUUUUUAUUUUAAAAUUUUGAUUUAUUGUAGACAAAUAAGGGAGUUUGGCACAAUAAAUUCUUAAUAUAUUAAUAUAAGAUAUGGUAAAAUUGUAUUUUGACUUAUUGCAGACAAACUAAAUUUGGCACAAUAAAUAUUUAAUCCAUAAUGAAAUUAAUGGGAAAAUAAUAUAAUUUAUAAAAUUAAUCUUUUGGGCAAUAAAUCUAAAAAAAUGUAAAAAGAAUUUAUUAAAUUUUAUUUACUACUAAGAGUGGAUCUAUAACCCUAACUAAUUUAAUAUCAUAAUUACUUUAUUGAAAUCAAGUUGUAUAAGUUUUGUUUUCAUUUUUAGAUAAAGUAAAAUAAACAAAGUAAAUAUUUUUUCUGUAGAUUGAUCUCGGACUCAUCGAGCUAUAAUAUAACAAGACACUCUUAUACUUUGAAGUUACAAAUCACUUUUAAUUUAUGUCAAGUUUUUGACGCCGUUGCUAGGGAAAUGUUUUUUUUUUGUUUCAUUUUUUUGUUUUUCAUUUUUUCUCUUUUUGUAAAUUUUCAUUCACGCCCUUUUCCUCUUAUUAACUUCUGUUUUGUCCACAAAAUCUUUCAGAAUCUUUACAUUCAUAUCACAUGGCUUUGUUCUAAACUUCUAAAAAUUACUAUCUGGCCAUAAAAUUAUAAAGAAUUUGCAAACGAUCCCUAGACGAAAUUUCUCAUAAUAAUGAGACUUGGACUUACAUCUUGCACUUAUUUGGACUCAAUUUGGACCAAUUUGGCCUCAAUUUAGACUAAGCAAACUGAAUAUUGACUCUUAAUUUUUUUUAUUUAAUUUUUCGUAUUUAUUUUAUUUUAUUAUACGGCUGGUUUGACCGCCAAAAUUGUUAUUUAAUUUUCAAUUUUUUUUAUUAUUUUGCAUUUAUUUUAUGCUUUAUUUUAUAUUGUUAAUUCGUAUGGUGGGUUCAACCACCAAAAUUAUUAUUUAUUUUUAAUUAAUGUUUUUUUUAAUUUUUUGUACACUUAUAUUAUUUGCAUAUUUAAUUUUCCUUUUUUUUUGCAAUUUUCAUUUAGUUCUUUUGUUACUAAUUUCUUUGAAUAUUACCUUUGUGAUAUAAUUAUUGCAUGAUAUGUUGGUCUCGAACUUCAAGUGGCAGGUUAAUUCGUAGAUCUCAAUCACCACCACCAAUCACGGACGAGAUACAAGAUGAGAAAAAAAAACAAGGAAAUUAAUAAUGUUAGCAUACCACGGCAUUGAAGUAACAUAAAAUAAAAAUUCAUCAGGGAAAGAAUCAUUGAUAGGUGUUAUAUCAGUGCAGUAUUUAGAUGUGAGUCUUGAUAAAUGAUCAACAAUGACAUUUUUGACACUCUUUUCAUUUUUUAUGGUAAGGUCAAAUUCUUGAAGUAACAAAAUCCAACAAAUUAAUCUUGGUUUGGCAUCCUGUUUUUUUGGACUAAUUUGUCGGAUUUGGUUACAUCAAAAAUUUGACCUUACCAUCAAAGAUAAAAAGGGUUUCGAAAAUGUCGUUACUGAUAAUUUAUCAAGACUCACAUCCAAAUACUACAUUGAUAUAACACCCAUCAAUGAUUCUUUCCUUGAUGAAUUUUUAUUUUCUGUUACUUCAAUGUCAUGGUAUGCUAACAUUGUUAAUUUUCUUAUUUUUUUCAUCUUGUAUCUCGUCCAUGAUUGGUAGUGGUGAUUGACAUCUACGAAUUAACCUGCCAGGUAAUUAUAAGUUAUCUCGACACGUUACCCAAAAAAAUGUCUCAGUAUGUGUGACACGUUGAACUAAGGUAUUCAGAUACUGCCAUUGCACCCAAAAAAUGAAAAUAAAAUAUGCAAAUAAUGUAAGUGUACAAAAAAUUAAAAAUUAAAAUUAAAAUUAAAUAACAAUUUUGGUGGUUGAACCCACCAUAUAAACUAACAAUAUAAAAUAAAGCAUAAAAUAAAUGCAAAAUAAUAAAAAACUGAAAAAUUAAAUAACAAUUUUGGCGGUCAAACCAGCCGUAUAAUAAAAUAAAUACGAAAAUUAAAUAAAAAAUUAAGAGUCAAUAUUCAGUUUGCUUAGUCUAAAUUGAGUUCAAAUAAGUCCAAGAUGUAAGUCCAAGAUGUAAGUCCAAGUCUGGUUAUUAUGAGAAAUUUCGUCCAGGGAUCUUUGUACAAAUUUUUUAUAAUUUUAUGGUCAGACGGUAAUUUUUAGAAGUUUAGAACAGAGUCAUGUGGUAUGAAAGUGACGACUCUAAAAGAUUUUGUAGGCCAAACAUAAUUUAAUAAGAGGAAAAGGGCGCGAGUGAAAAUUUACAGAAAGGGAAAAAUGAAAAACAGAAAAAUGAAACAAAAUAAAAACCUUUCCCCUGCAACGGUGCCAAAAACGUGACACAAUUUAAAAGUAAUUUUUAACUCCCAAGUAUAAGAGUGUCUUGUUAUAUUAUAUUUCGGUGAGUCCGAGGUCGAUCCAUAGAGAAAAGAUUUACUUUGUUUAUUUUACUUUAUCUAAAAAUGAAAAUAAAACUUAUACAACUUGUUUUAUAUGAAAUUAUGAAAUUGAAUUAGUUAGGGUUAUGGAUCCACUCUUAGUGGUAUAUAAAAUUUAAUAAAUUCUUUUUGCCAUUUUUUUUAGAUUUAUUGCCCAAAAGAUUAAUCAAAUAAAUUGUUAUUAUUUUCCAUUAAUUUUAUUAUGGAUUAAGUAUUUAUUGUGCCAAAAUUUAAUUUGUCUACAAUAAGUCAAAAUAUCAUUUUACCAUACCUUAUAUUAAGAUAUUAAAAAUUUAUUGUGCCAAACUCCCUUAUUUGUCUACAAUAAAUGAAAAUUUCAAAAUAUAAAAUAUGUAUAAAAUUAAAUAGAAAAUAAUUUAAUUUAUAAAAUUAAAAAUAAAAUUUGAUUAAAUCAUAUUUAUUUCCUAAGAGUUUCACCUUACCCUAACUAUUAUUAUUUAGUUAAGCAUAAUUGAAAUAAAAAGAAUUAUUAAAAUUAAAUUACUCAUAAUUAAAAUGAAUAAAAACAACUAAAAUUGAAAAUAAAACUAAAUUUAUUUAUAAAAUAAUUAAGCAAAAUAUUUAAAACACACCUGAAAAACAAGAUUACAGGGAGAUUGAGAGAAAUUGAGAAGAAGAGAGAUGUAGAGAGAUGAUCAAAAACAUAAAAAUGAGGCUCUAUUUAUAGAAAAAUAAAUUCAUAAUCCAGUGUUUUGCGGCCCAUCAUAAGCUUUAUGCAUGCACUCCUUACAGCCAUUAGAUCAUGAUCCAACGACUGGUCAAACUUCAAAAGUCAACAUUACACGUGGCAUCAUUUGACGCGUUCGAUUCGGCCAAAAAAUGGUUGAGAUUCGGCGAGUUAAUGGGUGGAUCGGGUUGACCCAAAUACAAAGAUUCGAAUCCUACAAUUUGCUUUACCAACCAUUGCCACGUGGCACAAUCGUGGGCAUUGAAUUAUGAACGAUUGAGAUUUAGUCAAAAUUGCUAGCUAUCCAAUGCACGCAUAUCUAUUGUAAGCUCAUUUUAUCAUCCAAUCAAUGCUCGGUCAACAGAAAAAGUUAACUCUUUCGCACAACCUCAAUUUUAAGCGGAUUUUGACUCAUCUUAAGGUUUUCAGACCUCCAAAAUCUAAAUUUGUCAUCUGUUUAUCUGUUUGGAGCCUCAAAUUACACGAAUUUAAUAUUUUACCUAAUAAACGCACAAAAAUAUACAAAAUUAAAUAUAAUUAAGACACAAUUAAUAAUUCAUAAUAUAUUGCAUAAACACAAAUAUAAAUUAUAAUAUAGGCACAAAAUAAUUUUUUAUCGCUUGAUAAUCAAACAAUUUUUAAUACUAAUCACCAAGUCCCAACCUGACCCAAUGACUAAAAUGAAGGGCUCUAAUCCUUAAAAAACCCGACCCUUCAAAUUAAGCAACAACUUGACUUUAAUAAUUUUUUAAUAUUUUAGUUUUUUUUUAAGACUAGGACUCCUAUUCUUCAUCUUUAGUAAUAAUAAUAUUAUUAUUAUUGUUCCUUUUUUUGGUUGGAUUUGUUUGUAAGGAAUUUAAUAAAUUAUUUUUUAUUCAACUUUAACAAUAAUAGAACAUGUAACAAUCUAACAAAAUUAACCAAGCAACAUGUAAAUAAAUCAAAUACAAAUUAACAAAUUUAAUGUGAAACAAAGACAAAUAUCCCUAAGGUGUAGAUGUAACCAUCUAUGUGGUGUAUGUGUGUCUUAAUAAUAUUUUUAUUUUAAAACUUAAUUUAAAUAUCAAGACUUGGGACAGAGCUUUUUGGUAAAACCUUAACUCUAACACGAAUGUAAUUAGGUCCCGAUUCCUUAAGCCCUAACCCAACGUUUAACCCUUUAAAUUUGAGCUAAAGUAGGUCGGAUCAAUCAGGCCGAGGGUCAGAUCAAUCACACCGAGGGUCGGAUCGACCCUUUUUAUCAUCCUAAUAAUUACCUUAAAUUAAAAUCACAUUUUUAAAAAAAUUAUAUAAAAAUUAUUCUUAUACAAAGUAACAAUAUAUGACCCAUUAAGAAACGAACCUUUUAUCCACAAACAAAAUUUCAAAACCCACUUAUAGACCUCAAAAGCAUUUUAGUCCAUUUAAUCAAACAUAAAAAUACAUGUACCAGCUGGUUAGCUUACACACUUCCCAUACAAAGGCACUGGUCUUAUUUCAUUAAAUAAUAAGAGUAUCACCAAAAAGCACUUCAAAUAAAAUUUUAUUACUUAUUUGAAGAGUCACAUCAAUAUUUAAGGCUCCAAAAGACACUUCAAUUAAAAUUUUUCAAAUAAAAAAUGAUUAUCUCUCUUUAAAUUUAGAGAGUUAUUUUCUCCCUCUUCAAUUUAUAUUUUAUUACUUUUCAUUGGAGAAAGAGAGAGAAGUGUUUUAAUUGCUAUUGACUUUUCCUUUUAAAAAAUAAUUAUUUGAUUAAAAUAAUAUUAAUUUAUUUCUAUUUGAAGAGUCUUUUGGAGAAUAUCAUAUUUUUUCACCCUUCUAUUUGCCACAUAGGUAAGCAAAUAGAUAUUUGAAGAAUAAAAUUUAUAGAGGCUUUUGGAGAUGCUCUAAUAAUAAGGGUCCCUCUAUGAUGCCGUAAUUUUUUUUACGGCAUCAAUAGCGUAAAAAAUAUGUACCGUUGGAUGUAAUCAAAGGUACAUAUUUUUUAAUAAUAAAAAUAUUUAAUUAUUUCAAAAAUAUUAUAACUGGUUAACAAACCGGUUGAAAAGAUUAUUUUAAAUUUUAAAAGAAAGACAAUAGAGAUACGAUAAAACAUGAUCUCUUUCUUUAUCUCAUAAAAUUCACCAUCUAUUUAUCUCUCACGUUGUUGUAUUGAAAUUGGAUUCUUGAAUGCUGUCUCAUUUCCUAAAUGAUUAACCAUUGACAAGAAUUGUAAUCUCAUUCUUUUAGUUCAACUUUUUCUCAGUUUAUUGCCUUGAGUAUUUGAUAGGUAGGCUUUUACAUGUGUUGGUAGAUGGUGACAUUAGACAAGGAAUCAUGGAUUUGAUGUUCUUUGUUGUACUAAAUUCAUAUCAAAUCUUGCUUUAAUGCUAUAAUAUAUUUAGUUACUACCUUACAUUUUCUUUUUUCACAUUUGAAAACAAAUUCUUUUUAUUCAUAGGAUUACGUGACGUGUGCAGUCUUGAAGUGUGAACUUCAAAGCAUAAAGUUGCAUCGCAGCAUGUUUGAUAAGGAGCCAAGGAGGUGCUCAUGCAACUUCAUGCAGACCAUGUUUCACGUGCGGGAUGAAUUUGUUUGAGUGUCAAAACAAUAGCGGGAGAAUCACCAUGUCAAACUAUUCGUUGCUGGUUUGGAAGAGAAUCAAAUUGUGGUUGUCAUGUUUGAUUUGGAUUCGGUCACUAGGUUUAUCUUUAAAUAUUUUUCUUAUUUUAUUUUACUAUAUUCUAGCUGAUAUUGUUGGCUAAGAACCAAAGACUUGUGAUGUUAGCUACUAUAAAUAAGUUUCCCGCUGUGAAUAAAGAUAGUCAGCAAUUAUCAAACCUAACUAUCUCGGGUCGUUCUCACCAAAAGCAGAACAACGUUAUCAUCUUUUUAGUCAUUGUUAGCGAGCAUUUGACUGGGACCUAUCAAUGUUAGGCAGCAAAGUUCCUUCCCUGCAUUAGAUAGAAAACAAAACAACCUAAAUCAGGGAAUCAAGUGAAACCAAGACUUGGCUCAGUCAGCACUCAACAGUUAGCCACUCGUGAUUCGUCUUUUUCAGUGCGUGUUAGGAUCCUAGUCUUAGUUCUACAUUAUUUCCUUUUCUGUUAAGGAUUAGUUACUAAGUUAUUAUGUUAUUAGGAAUUAUUAUUUUAGUAGGAUUUCUUUCGCUCUAUAUAAGGAAUUGUUGUUACAUUAAUAAAGAAUAAGAAUUGCUUCAAAAACUCUCAUUUUCCCUCUGGCCACCUCUCCUCAUUAUUUUUCUCUUCAAUUCAUUGCUUCUAAAUUGCUAUCUAAGAGCAACAGCCUAACAGUGCGCUUUCUCUUUUCGACUCGAAUUCAUCCCUUCGACAAACGACAAGAUGGCAGGCAGCAAAAACAGGGGUUGAGGACCCGGUUAAUCGGUGGAAGCAGCAACCCACCAAUCGUUUAAGAAAAAGGGGCAAAGCAAGCAGAAGCCCACUUAUUAAUCUCAGUCUCUUAUUCCAUUCUCCUUUUCUCCACCCCCAUUUAAUCAUCUCCAGCAGCGACGCGGGAAAGGUUAAACCGGCAUGAUCUUGCCCACUUAUUAAUGUAGUUAUCUCUUUUUUUUCUUUUUUAAUAUCAUUAAUGUUGCCUUUCUCUUUUCGUUCCUCGCAAAAACAACAAGAGGGAUCAAAAUAGAAAGCACACCCGCAAGCCGAAGAAAACCCACACCAAAUAAGAUCUAUAGAAGAUAGGAUAACAUGUUCAAGCUUCUGGAACAGAGGCUACUACACGCUUCAUGGAAGCAAACUUGAUAAGGUGGUUGUAGCUGUCUUUUUCCUUGAACAAUUUGGAGAAAUGAUGUUUGCAAUACCAGAUGCCUUCCAGGGCUGCGUAAUUUGAUGGGCUAAUGGAAUAACCACCAUGUGAGCACUUGAAACAUGACUUGUGAUGGGCCUGGCUUUCCAUUGCUACCUUCUCCGAUGGACACACUAUUUUACUGCAAGAAGCACAUGUUUUUGGGUCCCAGAUAACAUGCUGGCAGCUUUGCUAGGCGAUCUUGUCGAGUUAACUUCUCAAUUAACUUUGCAGGUGAUUGGAAAUUCUUGUUAAAGUUACCCGACUCCUUGAAAAGUUGUUCAAAGUGAGGCUUAAAGUAAAGAACACCUUCCAUGGAUGAGUAAUUGCUCAGCUUGAGUGUGCCUUUGCAGUGAGAGCACUUAAAGCAAGACUUAUGAUAAACAAUCCCAUCAGCAGAUAAUUGCUCAACUGGAUAAACUGUCUUCUCACAGACCUUGCAUUUCUGUUGGGUACCAAUAAAAGACAUUGCUUUUUGAAUUUUGGUUGAUAACUGCAAAAACAAUAUUGAACGUUUUGUUAUUAGCAAACUUGCAUGAUUAAACUGUACUGGCCUAAAAUAUGUAAUAUUACACAGUAUAUACGAUUGGAUACACAAAUGUGUAUAGUUAUAUAGAAAUUUUACAAAUUUUAAUUUCAACUUCUUUUCUUAAAGAUAUUCUGGAUUUAGUAAACAAAAGUCACGGUUGUCCUCAAACUACACAAGAUCAGAUGUUUUCACUUAAAUGGUAUCAAAUAAUGAAGAAUAAUAUUACAAGUUAUGUAUCUCUAGAAAGCUGUAUUUGUCAGGAGUUCAACUAAUUUUACGGUUUUCUAUUUGAAGUUUUCUACAUGACGAUAUGGCUUAAAGAAUGGUGACUGCUCAGAAUCAUUGAAGCAACCAAGUCUAUGAUUAUCAGCCAAAUUUCAUGAUUUAACUAUAUUGAUCUAGAACAUAUGAGUUUGCAUAUUAUAUAUAGUACGAUAGAUAAAUUCGUCCAACUAUAGAACAACUUUAAAUAAUUAAAUUCAGACUUUUCUUCUUAAAGAUAUUCACAAUUUAGUGCGCAAAGGUCACAACUGUCUUGAACCUAAACAAGGCCUGAAGUUUCUGAAUUAACUGAUAUCAAUUAACAAGGAAUAAAAUUACAAACUAUAUAUCCCUAGAAAGAAGUAUUGUCAGGAGUUCAAAUAAUUUUACGGUUUUCUAUUUGAAGUUUUCUACAUGAAGAUAUGGCUUAAAGAAUGUUGAUUGCUCAGAAUCACUAAAGCAACCAAGUCCAUGAUUAUCAGCCGAAUUUUCAUGAUUUAACUGUAUUGAUCUAGAAUGUAUGAGAUUGCAUGCUAUAUAUGUUUGGAUAGAUAAAUAUGUCUAGUUACGACAGAACGUUACAGAAUCAAAUUCAGACAUCUCUUCUUAAAGAUAUUUACAAUUUAGUGUACAAAGGUCACAACUGUCUUCAAACUACACAAGGCCAGAUUUUUUUAAUUAAAUGAUACCAAUUCCUCAAGAACAAAUUACAAGCUAUAAACCCCUAGAAAGUUCUAUAUUUUAGAAGUUCAAAUAAUUUUACAUGUUUAAUUUGAAUUUUUCUACAUUAAGAUAUGACUUAAAAAGUACAGAUUACUCAGAAGCAUUGAAGCAACCAACUUGGAAGAUAUAUUAGUUCUUUCUUUCAGCCUUUCCCCUUAAGGACAACAACCGCCAAACAUUAUAUGCUUAAUUUUCUUAUGUUUCUACAUUUUUUUUUCUUUGGAAAAACAGUAGAACAGUGUUUAAUCUAAAGUAUUGGUUAUUACAUGGUUACACAGCCGAAAUCUCCUCAUGACCAUCUCUCUAGUCAACAACAAAAUAAAGAUAAAAAUCCUAAAUAUCAAAUUAUAAAAAACAGAUGCAGUACUAACUUUCUUUAUCAAUAUCAAUGGCUUUCUUGUAGUGAUAGCUCCCAGAUUUAUCUUGAACAUAAUUUUUUUCAAAACUAAAAAACUUGAUUAAUUGAUAAAAAAAAUCUACUUAAAUUAAAUUGGAUUGAUUGACUAAAAACUCCACUCAAAUUUAAUCUUUGAUGAGAUCCUGUCUGUUGUAUACAAAUAUGAGUUUGAAUUGUGUUAGUUUAUUCUGCCAACAGUCAAACUGGUUAACAUAAACCGUUUGGAUCGUGUAGUGGGCUCAAGUUCGGCAAAUUUCAGUGACCACCCUACAAUUUCAAACAUUCUCACAAUUUCACUUAAAUAAUAUAUUUUAUUUAAUUACACAAAAUUCAAUAAAUAUAUGAUUUUUGUAAAAUAUAUGAACAUGUAUAUGAAACUGAUAUUCAUAGGAAUUUUUAAUUACACUUUAAAAUUUAUUUUAUCUAUGUAUCCUACAUCAUUCAUUAUCGACUUUUCAUAAUUUUAUUAAGUAGUAAUUUCAAGCCAAACAUAAAAGAGUUUCAACAUUUAAUUAAUUUGAAGACUCAAUGUGAGACUCAAAAUUGCUAAAAUAGUAUUUAAAUCAUAUUGUUAAUGUUAUAAGAUAACUUGAUUAUCAUGUAAUUAAACUAAUUUCAAAAUUUAUUUUCAAAGCAUGCAAACAAAUGUAAUCUCUGCUAUGAGUUUUUUUUUUUUUUUUAAUGUAUGGUGUUUGUCCAAUGGUGAAAUAUAAAUAAUAGCCUUCAAUUUCUCAUGUGGUAUAUUUUAUUGGCUUACUAGCUUAUAAAACUAUAUGCAAAUGUUGAAAAUUGGACUGCUGCAUAAAAUAUCAUGUGAUAUAUCUUAUUUGACCUUAGAUUAAUGUAUCGAAUGCCCAUAAAACAUAGUUUACUUUGUAAUUCUACAAAUUAAUUUUUACUAAUAUUUAUAUUUCAUUUAUCAAUUCAUAAUUCAUCGGGAUAAUUACAAAUUUAAUUUCUCUCCUAUUAAUAAAUAGGGGUACAUACAAGUACUCAAUAUCUGUGUGUGUGUGUGUGUGUGUCACUUAAUAUGUUUUAAUAACUAUAAGAAUAAUUUCCUCUACUAACUUUUUCCCAUACAAUUUUUAUUACAUUUUACCAAUUGUAUUUCUAUACUACUAUUUUGUAAAAGAAAGCUAUAAUUGACUACUCAAAAAUAUCUUCAUAUUUUUUAUUACAUUUACAUUAAAGUUUUAGUAUAUUAGAAAUGCAAAGUUUAAUUUUCAAUAACAUAACACUUUAACGAAAUCAACAUAUUAAGUGCAAUGUAUGAUAGAUGAUAUGACACUUUAAAUAUGCUACAAAGUUAAUAGGGAAAAAACCACCCACACCUCUAAAGUUUGCUUAAAUAGUAAAAAAUAAUCCCUUAAAAUUAAAAAAUAUAAUAUAUAAAAUAAGAUAAGAUAAAAUUUAUAAAAUUUUAUGAAUAUUAAAAAAUUUAUUUUAACAUUAUUAAUUUGUCAUAUUCUUUUAAUAAUAUUAAAAUCUAUUUCACAUACGAAUAAUAUUAAAUUAUUAUACCUAACAUUCAAAGUAAUAUAUAAAAUUUAUAUUUUUUUUUACAAUAUCUUAUUUAAUUAUGUCUAUAUUAAUAUCGAUCUUAAAAUCAAUUUUUGGAUUAAUUAAUUUUAGUAAAUCCAUCGGGAUAGACUAAAAAUAACUUAAUAUGAAUAAAAUUUUCAUCAUACACGUUAUUUUAUUAAUUAUACUUAUUGUAAUAUUUUAUCUAUAUCAUAUGAUAUUUAUUUAUCAGUUCUAUACUAUUACUAUAUUUAUAUUUAUUUAGGUUGUUUUAAUUAAAAUGUAUAAUAAUCAUUAUUUGUUUCGGGGGGGGAAUAAAAGGGUCCCCAAAAAAAGGGAAAAAAAAAAAUUUUUUUUGUUUAAAAAAAAAAAAAUUUUUAAAAUUUUUUGAANNNNNNNNNNNNNNNNNNNNNNNNNNNNNNNNNNNNNNNNNNNNNNNNNNNNNNNNNNNNNNNNNNNNNNNNNNNNNNNNNNNNNNNNNNNNNNNNNNNNAAAUUAAAAUUGUAUAAUAAUCAUUUAUGAAAUUAAGAGAGUUAGUAUAACUAUUCAUAAAACUAAAUGGUUUUAUAUGAUCAUUUAAGCAAACCUUAAGGGUGUGAAUGGUUUUUUUCUAAAUUAAUAUUAAUUUAAAAUUUAUAAAUUAAUAUUUUACCUGCUAUAUUUUAAUUAAUUAUUUAAUUAUCUAUUAUAUUAAAUGAUUAAAUUUCUUACAUUUAAGGAUUCACACUAAUCCCACUGUCAAUGCUGUAAAAACACAUACAGCAUCUUAAAGAAAUCCUAAUAAUAAUAAUAAACUCUCCGGAAUUGAACCGAACGAGUCUCAGAAAUGGCAUCGAAAAGCAAGAUUCUAUCCAUCGGGGGGACAGGGUAUAUCGGUAAAUUCAUCGUCGAAGCGAGCGUGAAAGCCGGCCACCCGACGUUCGUGCUCGUGAGAGAAUCCACACUCUCUGCUCCUUCCAAAUCUCAACUCCUCGACCACUUCAAAAACCUCGGCGUCAAUUUCGUUGUCGUGAGUUAUCAAUUUUUUUUCAUUUUUUAUUAUUUCAAAUCAAAAGAUUAAAAUUCACCAAUUGAUCAACUAUACAUCUAGCGCCUAACUAUGACCAACCUCAAUCAACGGACGUCCAUCAACUAGAUUAAUUCUCAAAAACCUGACACUUUCUAGUGCGUGGAAGACACAAAGUCCUCAAAGAAGAUAACUUCACAAUAUAUACAAACUCCUUGUUAUUAUUAUGCAGGGAGAUGUUUUGAAUCACGAGAGUUUGGUGAACGCAAUAAAACAAGUGGACGUGGUGAUAUCGACAGUCGGUCACGCUUUAUUAGCCGAUCAGGUCAAGAUUAUUGCUGCCAUUAAAGAAGCCGGUAACGUUAAGGUAAAAAACAUAAUUAAUAUCAUUAAUAUAAUUAAAUUAAUUAAUUACAAACCAAUAGCAUGAACGCAGUUAAUUAAUUGAUGUUUGUAAAUUAUUUAUAAUUCAGAGAUUCUUCCCAUCAGAAUUUGGAAAUGAUGUUGACCGAGCCCAUGGCGCCGUAGAGCCAGCAAAAUCAGCGUACUACGACGUAAAGGCGAGAAUUCGCCGAGCCGUUGAGGCAGAAGGCAUUCCGUACACUUACGUAGAAUCUUAUUGUUUUGAUGGCUACUUCCUUCCCAAUUUGUUGCAGCCUGGGGCCGCUGCCCCCCCGAGGGAUAAGGUUGUCAUCUUAGGCGAUGGAAAUCCAAGAGGUAACAUAAUUUAGUUAAGCUCAUUUUUUAUCCAACAGUUUGUUGAUUAAAAACUUCAAAUAUUUUUACUAGAUUUGUUGAAAAUAUUACGGUUAAAACCUUCCUUUUUUUUUUUUAAUAUCAUCCCUAUACUAAAUGAAUCCUAAGUAAUCAAUGUAGAUAUUAAGAUAAAAGUUUUAGGUGAUUAUUAGAUACUUGAGCUCCUGAACUACCACGUCAUGGCUACCACAUAAACGAGAGAAAUUUUAGAAUAUUUUACAUGUAUUACAACUAAUUAAUGUAUGAAUGACAUGUGUAGUUGAAUUUAAUACAACCACCACUUUCAUGAUGGUUUUUCAAAAUAAAUACACAUAUAUCAUGACAUUAUUUGCGUGUUGUAUAGUUGACAUGGUACCUCAGAUGUAUUUCUCCACAAACGGAGCUUAACUUAUGGUCUAAUUGGUACUACUAUUAGGAAGCACUUGUAUCCUUAACUUUUAAGCCAAGGUGAUUUUAUCCAACAGUUGUUUGAUUAAAAACUUAUAAUACGCUUAUUAGUUUUGUCAAAAAUAUUACAAUUAAAGAUUUUUUUCUUUCCUCCCUAGGACCCUAAAACUAAAUGAACCCUAUGUAGUCAACUUAGAUAUCAAGAUAGAGUUCUAAGUGAUUACCAGAUACUGAACUGCCACAUCAUGGCUGCCACACAACAAUUUCAAUCAGAGUCUAAAUAACUUCAUUGCAAAAUAGUUAAAUGAAUCUAACUUAGUUUCGUCAUUUGAUUUUCAGCUGUUUAUAACAAGGAAGAUGAUAUUGCAACCUACACUAUCAAAGCGGUUGAUGAUCCGAGAACCUUGAACAAAAACCUUUACAUUCAGCCUCCUGGUAAUAUUUACUCAUUCAAUGAUCUUGUGUCUCUGUGGGAGAGAAAGAUUGGCAAAACCCUCGAAAGGGAGUAUGUUUCAGAGGAGCAGCUCCUAAAGAAUAUUCAAG
RNAcentral lists this long non-coding RNA (97605 nucleotides) under Citrus x clementina. Its description in RNAcentral is "Citrus clementina (C. clementina) long non-coding RNA (CCLE_LNC000810)". The stretch from base 73178 to 73281 matches the Rfam family "Plant small nucleolar RNA R71". Lineage: Eukaryota; Viridiplantae; Streptophyta; Magnoliopsida; Sapindales; Rutaceae. The record is from RNAcentral.